This 90647-nucleotide long non-coding RNA is filed under the name Physcomitrium patens. Its description in RNAcentral is "long non-coding RNA (PPAT_LNC013510)". Lineage: Eukaryota; Viridiplantae; Streptophyta; Bryopsida; Funariales; Funariaceae. The record is from RNAcentral.
AUUGUGCGAAUCCGGAAUCUCGUCCACGGAGAUGGUCACCGACUUUUGCGCCAGUUGGAACAUUCUCACUAGCACUGCACACAUUUCCACCUCGUCAAGGUACUGGAGGGUCGAGACACACACGACGUGGUCGAACGAUGUGGUGGUGUCCAUAAUCACGUCCUGAAGGGGACCAAUCUUCACUUCCUUGUAUGUCUCCGGGAUUGGAUUCUUCUGAACCAUUUGCUCGGAUACGUCAUUGCCCACGAUCGUGCUCAGUUCUAUGCCGUCUUUGCGUUUCCUUUGAUGCUCGUGGAGCAUGCGACUAAACUUUCCCGUGCCGCUGCCCAAUUCAAACAUCGUGCCGGAAUAAUCGUAGUCGGCGAUUAGAAAUUCGUAGUUCGAGGCCAUCGUUCCCAAAUAACUUUCGUAGGUCGUCGAGAAGGAGUCGAAUACCUUGGCCACAGGAGCAGCCUUGAUCUUGUGCUUUCCCAGCUGCUGCAGUCUGCUGUUGAUCAUCACGUUCACAAGCGCGCGAUGACCGCCGGGAAACGUCUCGCGGAUCACGAUGUCCUCCCACUCGUGCUCCCAGCGGUAGAACACCGCCGGCCCCGCGUUGACCUCCAGGAUGAAGGGCUUACCGUCUGACGCUCGAACCCUAAUAUCCACAUUGCCCCAGCUGUUUCCUGCCAUUUGGUUGACGUGCCAGGCUCUCUCCGCCAGAUUGCGCAACAUGUCGAAGAGCGUCGGGUCUUUGCAACGCACCAGGAGCUCCUCACGCAUCUCCGGGUGGAACUUGAUGUCGAAAGUCAUGAAAUCAGCGCCGGCGUUGAUUGCGGGGCAUCGGUAGGUAGUCGGGUUUAGCGCCACGGGCGUGUUGCCCAUCUCGAUGAGAAUGACGGAGUAAUCGCGCCCAGGUAUGUACUCUUGGACGACAAUGUCAGUAUCACUACCGUCGAAAUGAGCAACUCCGUUGACAUUAGCACUGUCGUUAACGUGAUCACUUCCAUCGACAUGGGCGAUUCUAUUGCCGUUGACGCUCCCGUUAUCGUGAUCACUUCCGUUGACAUGGGCACUCCCGUUUCCGUCAGCGCUCCUAUUGCAGUGAUUGGCGAUGGUUGCGGCGGCUUCCUUUCGACCGGGAGCAAGAUACUCAUUGAUGCGGGCCAGCUGCUGAUCAAGUUCGCUUUGGUUCUUGCACACGGACCUUUCGUCGAUAAACAUUGACGCGCACAUCUUCGCCGGUUUCACAAACACCGGGAACUUCAUGUCAGCACCCCUUGCCGGCACUGGCAAUCCAGAUUUCUUGGCCGCGUUGUAGAAGUCGAGCUUCGAUCGUCUCAAGACCUUGCUCUGAUAACCCACAAUUGGAACUCCCAAAGACUCCAAGUAUUCAGUAGCCUCUAUACCCGCGACGGUAUCCUCGAGUUGGCCCCACAUGAAGUUGAGGAACAUGUCGAAGCCCUCGGCGACGGCAGCAUCGAUCUGGGCGUUGGCAGUGGCUUUGUUGAUGUAACGGUGAUGGAAUUCGUGUUGGGAGGUGAACAUGGCGGGGUCUGGAAAGCUGGGGUCAUUGAUGGCAAGGGCUUGGGUGGAGUCUGCGUAGGGAGCCUGGAGAACACAGAUCUUCAUGGCGAAUGGUUUGGUACUAAUUCCGCAGCUUGAUCAGAAAUCGCUGAGGAGGAAUACGCCCGUACGAAAGAAGCUGUGCUUGUUCUCGAAACCUGCAGAUGGCCAGGAAAGUCAACAGAAUGUCAUGCCUGCACAUGCAUAUUACAGUCACAUACAAGAGUAUAAAAACUCUCGAACGAACGAAAUUUGUUUUUCCAUGUAGCAGCAGUCUGGCUAGUACCGUGGGCAGAAGAAAACAUGAAAGGCACGAUGAUAACUAUUCACAUCGGAUGGGACGUGACCGUGAAAUCAGACCAGCGUUAGUAGCUCUUAUUACAAACACCUGAAAUUCAUGCACCGAGGAUUGAGUGUCCAGGACUAUGUGACCCCUGAAGCUGGUCUAUCACAACGUGAAUUGUAUCUUCGAAUUGCACCACCUUUGGAAAAUUAUGACCUAGACUCCCUGCACGAAGUAGACUCUGCGAGUAAACAAGAAUAAGACGCGGCUUCUGCAACAAGGAGGCCUUCAGACCUUACCGAAUAUGAAAUUGCGGCAUGCAGGAACGUCCGCCUCUAAAAGAGUAGAAUGGCUGCACGCAUGUCGAGAGGGAUGAGAACGUCAGGUUCCGGCUUAUUUAUCUCCCCCUCUCUCACAUGAACCUCGUGGGGACCUGGCACCAUUUCUUCGCGUCUUUCCAGGAUGGAUUGUCAGUGCCCUCUCAAGUACAAUUGCUGCAUUGACGUCAGGUUCAGUCGUACUUAUCUCCCCCUGUCUCACAUAGACCUCAUCAUUCCUUCACUUGGGCUGUUUUUAACAGAAGCAGCGAUCAUCGUGAAGUUGCUGUUUUCGAUAUUUUUCAGUUUGCUGAUUGAGUGGAGUGAUCUACAACGGAGAGAGAAAAGUAUCUUGAAGGGUAUAUAUUAUUAUAUUCUUAUAUCAUAUCAAGACAGAGUAGGUCAAGGUACUCUCUAUCACUAUCAAUAACAAAUGACCUUAUUCUCUAGAUAAAUCUAGUACAAGCGUUACAUCUCCUAUUCCACAAUAGUACAUAACACUGUCUUUUUGAAGGACUCAACUUGAAACUUUAAUUAAAAAUAAUAAGUUUGUGCAAAGUAAAAAAAAUCAGAAAUUAAAACAACAGUUCAAUAGAUUGGAAUACGUUGUAAAAACUAAAUUGUUAUUACUGGUGUAUCAAAAGAUAUAGAAGCCAUACAAUAAUAAUGAUUGAAAAAAUAAACUGAUGAAAAUGAAGAGGGAUUUAAUGCUGCCAUUGUAAAAUUUACUCGCAAUGUUAAAAGUUUUUGAUAUCUUUUCAUUCCACCUAUAAUGAUUCUUUAAUGAUUCUUGGACGUGAACAAUUUACAGAAGAUAAUUUAAAUAUAGAACAGAAAAUACAGAUAUUUUAGAAAUAAAUAAAUAAAAAACACAUUAACAUAAAAAAAUAAAAUGGAAUAAAAAUUUAAAGUCUCUCUCUCUUUCUCUAUAAAUAUAUAUGUAUAUAUAUAUAUAUAUAUAUAUAUAUAUAAGUAUGUAUAAAAUAUGUACUAUUUUAUUAAGAUACAAAUUUUUUAAAUAUUAAUACAUAUAAAUAUAUUUAUUUUUUAAUGAUAAUAUUAUUAUUAUUAAUUAUUUUUAUUGCUUCAUAAUAUUUAUUAAUCAAGAUAUAUGAAUUUCUAUCACGUUAAAUUUGAAAUACAAUGUUUAUGUUGAAAAUCAACAAGUACUUGCUUAAUUACAACUACAUAGAGAUUAAGCAUAUUAUUUUGCUAAUAGUCAAAACACAGCAAAGAAUUAAAGGAAGUUACUAUGGUAGCACCUAGGAUUUAGUUAGAUGAAGUAAAAAUGGAUAUAAUAUCAAAAGGAUGGAAGUGGCCUCGUUGCUUACCAAACCACCACCUAUAAGUAAAAGGUGUUGGAAGUAAGAAUUAUCUUACUCCACACUUUUGUUUGUAUGCAAACCUUGCUGAUACUAAGUGUUUGUAGCUUUUAGACUUCUUUUCUUCAAUAGGUUAUGGGCCCACUGACAUUUGCUUGAGUGUUUUGAAGUUCUUUGAAGUGGUUGUUGAUGUGUGGAGUAGAUCAAGUUGUUGUUGGUGAUGUUAGGAUUUAGAAGUACCUAACUUUUAGAUUCAGAUCUAGAUCUAGAUCUUAAUUUACUCUUACUUGUAGUUAAGAGCAUUUUAGUAUUGGUGUUUGGUUUUUCACCUUAAGGCAAAGUUAUACAAUACUUUUAUUGUGCUAUUGCUCAAAUAGAUCUUUGGUGGUGUAACUUUGUAGUUUCAUGUUCUAAAGAUGCUGAUUGUGCUUAAAAGGCCUCUUAUGGUGUAUAGAUAUAAUUUGUGAAUAUAAGAGUGAUAUUUGAGUGGCAAGUCAGAUUUGAGACAUUAAGAUAGGUCAUUAGACUUGUGAGAAGCCUUAGAAGUGAAGUUGAAAGUGUUUUUGAGAGUAAGAACACUAGUUUGUUUACAAAGAAGGAUUCUAUGAUUCUAAAGUAGCAAUAUUUUUUGCUGAUUUUGAGAGCAUUAGGACUUCUUCUUUUAAUUUUUUUUUGAUAAAUCUCUCGCUUCGAUAUGGCUUCAAGUGAAGGUAAAGGAUUGAGAGUUAUUGAGAAGUUUAGAGGUGAGAAUUUUUACCAUUGGAAGGUAAAAAUGGAGCUUUUGUUGGCGUCUUUAGAUCUUUAAGAUAUUGUAGAUCAAAGUGAAGAGGCUCUAAGCAUAGAUGCUUAUAUGAAAGAGAAGAAGAAAUUCAAAUGUCAUGAAAAGAAGGUUUUUGGAUUGAUUGCAACCAAUGUGGAUGAAGCUAACUUCUCUCACAUUAUUUCUUGCAAAGAAUUAGCGGAAGCAUGAAAGAUUCUUUGCAACAUCUAUGAGAGCAAGAACUUAUCUAACAUCAUCUAUACAAUGAAGAAGUUCUUCACUUGCAAGAUGGAAGAAAGUGAAGACCUCAUGGCUCAUGUCAAUAAGGUAAAGGUUCUUACAAACAAACUACCAAUUGUUGAUAAGCCUUUAGAAGAAAGUGAUAUUGUCAUGACCUUGUUGAUGACUCUUCCUGAAUCCUACAACUACCUUAUAAUGGCAUUGGAAUUCAUUAAGCUAAAAGAGCUUAUAAUGGAAUAUGUCAUAAUAAGACUUUCUCAUAAAGUAACCAAGAAGAAAGAAAAUGAGCCUCAAAGUAAAGAUUCAAUACUCUAGUCACGUCAAGGCAAGGACAACUAUUCAAAUCAACAAGGUAAUGUCAAAUCUUGCUUCAUUUGUCGCAAAGUAGGCCAUUUUGCUAGAAAUUGCUACAAAGAUAAGAAGAUAGAGAAAGAGAAUGCAAAUAGUAUGCAAGAUGAGUUUGGAGGACAAGAUUAUAUAUUCAAGGCAACAAAUGGGACCUCUAUGGAUGCCAUGUCAAGAUGGAUUGUGGAUUCAGGUUGUUUUAAGUAUAUGACAUCUUAUAAGUAUUCAGUUGACAUUUAUGAUGCUAUUUCAGCAUUAAAGGUGGUGUUGACAGAUAGUGGUACAUGUGAAGGCAUUGGAAUUGCCUCUAUUAUGAUAGAAGUGGUUGUGAAUAGAAAAACCAAUAGGAUCAGAUUCAAAAACGUCUUUCAUGUGCCUAAGAUGAAGCAAAACCUACUUUUGAUGAGUAAACUUGUAAUAGAAGGUUUUAAAGUUCAAUUCGACAUGAAUGGAUGUUUUGUAAAAAUAUUGAGUUGAAUUAAGGUCUUCAAAGGCUUUAAAGAGGGAAAUUUGUACUAUCUCAUUUAUAAGAAGGUGAAUGGAGUGGAGGUAGCUCCAUUUGUAGAGUUUACAUCAAACCAAGACAAGUUGAAAAUAUGGCAUCAUCGCCUUGGCUAUUUGAAUGUGAAGAGCAUGAGAGAGCUCAAGUCUAUGGUAAGUGGCUUAAAUCUUUGCAAUACGAGCCAAAAUAUAAAAGAACUUGUACGUAAAAAAUGCAUACAAGGCAAACAACAAAAGACCUCAUUUCCAAGUAACUUAGCAACAUAUGCUACCACGUUGCUAGAGAUUGUCCAUUCUGAUAUAUGUGGACUUAUGAAGAACACAAAUAAUGGAAGAUCAAAGUAUUUUUUGACUUUUGUUAAUGAUUAUUCAAGAAAGAUUUGAAUUUACAUUCUUAAAUCCAACAGUGAAUGCUUUUAGAGGUUUAAGGAGUUUAAAGCACUUAUUGAAAAAUAAAAUAAAUGUAAGAUCAAGAUGCUACGUACGGACAAUGGAAGUGAGUACAUGUCUAAGUAAUUUGAUAUUUAUUUGAAGAAUGAAAGAAUUUCUAGACAAACUACAACUCCGUACACUUCACAAUAAAAUAGUGUUGCUGAAAGGGCAAAUCAAACUAUUGUAGAGAUGGCAAGGAGCAUGCUUCAUGCUCAACACCUUGGUUAUGAGUUUUGGAUGGAAAUUGUGGUGAAUGCAGUGUAUACAAGAAAUUACUGUCCAACAAGUGCUCUUGUAUCAAUGACACCACAAGAAACUUGGAGUAGAAGACAACCUUGCAUUUUCCAUAUGAGGACCUUUGGUUGCAUUGCAUAUGCAAAAAUACCAAAUUAUAUGAAGUCCAAACUUGAUGCAAAAGGUACAAAGUAUGUGUUUCUUGGUUGUUGUGAAGGUACUAAGGCAUAUAGGCUAAUAUACUUAAAAAACAAGAAGGUCAUCAAAAGUCAUGAUGUUGAUUUUUUGGAGCACAAGAGUGCUUGUAAACACUUGGAGAUGUAUUCAAGUGAGAGUAAUGGUAUGUUUGUGGACACAUCUUUGAAUUCAGCAAAGAAAUAAGAAGAUGAAGACAAUAAAAUUGAUGACGAUGAAAAGACAAAGAAGGUUGAAAAGAUGAAGGCUCCUAUAAUUGCUAGAAAUAGUAAUAAAAGAAAUGAAGAUGUUGAAGAUUAUGAUGAUGAUGAUGAUGAUGAGUACCAACAUUAAGUGAGAAAUGACAAGGUUUAAGAGAGGAGGUUGAAAAAGAACAUAAAAAGCAGCAACGUAAAUCUUCUUCUAUAAAUGAAAGAAAAUAUCUUUUAAGAGAAAAAAGACAAUGUGGUGAAUGGUGGAAGGAUCACAUCUUUCCUCAAGUAGGUGAAGAACAUGCAAAUAUUGUUCUUCUUGUUGAUCAGUUAUCUUUGUAAGAUGCAUUAAAGUCCCAAGAAACAAUUAAGUGAGAGAAGGCUAUGGAAGAAGAGUAUCAAUCUAUUAUGGACAAUGAUACAUGGAAAUUGACACCCCUUUUAGCAAAUCGAUCUAGUAUUGGUUGUAAGUAGGUGUUUAGAACUAAAAAAGAUGCAAAAUGUUCCAUAUAAGGUAACAAUAGGCUCAAUCAUGUAUGCAAUGGUAGCCACAAGAGUAGACCUUGCAUAUGCAGUGAAUGUUGCAAGCCAAUACAUGUCUAAGGCUAGACCAUUGCAUUUGACAACGAUAAAGAAGCUAUUAAGGUACUUAAAAGGUACAAAAGACUUCAAAUUAUGCCUUGGUGGUAAGAACAUUGAUUUGUUAGGUUACUAUGAUGUGAAUUGGACUGUAGAUGCAAAUGAUAGAAGAUCCACAAUAAGAUUUGUCUUCUUCAUUGGAAUAGGAGCUAUUUCAUGGAAUUGCAAGAGACAACCUUCCAUUGCAAGAUCAACAUUGAAGGUAGAGUACAUGGCAGCAAGUCAUUGUGCAAUGGAGGUGUGUUAGAUAAAGCAACUCUUAGAAGACAUUAGACUAGGGCAAUUAGAAGCAACUCUCAUUAUCUAUGACAAUUAAGGAUGUCUUGCAUUUGCCAAGAAUCCAAAAUAAUAUUCAAGGCCCAAGCACAUUGAUGUUCAACAUCGUUUCAUACGAGAGAGGAUUGAAGAUGGAAUAAUAGGUAUGAAGUAUUGUACUACAAAUGACAUGCUUGUUGAUGUGCUUACAAAGGCAUUAAAGGAUAGAUAUCAUGAGUUGAUACAGAGAUUAGGAUUGAAAGCCUUUUGAAUGUUAACAAAGUGGGAGUGUUGAAGAUUAGCAAGUACUUGCUUAGUUACAACCACAUAGAGAUUAAGCAUAAUAUGUUGCUAAUAGUCAAAAGGUAGCAAAGAGUUAAAGGAAGUUACUAUGGUAGCACCUAGGGUUUGGUUGGAUGAAGUAAAAAUGGAUGUAAUAUCAAAAAGAUGGAAGUUGCCUCAUUGGUUAGCAAACCACCACCUAUAAGUAAAAGGUGUUGGAAGUAAGAAUUAUCUUACUCCAUACUUUUGUUUAUGUGCAAACCUUACUUAUGCUAAGUGUUUGUAGCUUUUAGACUUCUUUUCUUCAAUAGUUUAAAAUAUUUUUUUUUAAUCUAAAUGAUGUUUAGCAACAUUCUUUUUCCCACAAAGUAAAAAUACACUCCAUUAGAACAACCUCUUCAAAAACAUUCUUUACAAAGCUAUUUCUGUCUUAGUAAUAUUUACUAAAGAAUGUCAAAAUCAAGUACAAAGUUAGUAUUGAUAAUAAUUUAUCAUAUUUUUAAAUGUUGUUUAUUACAAUUUGUGCAAUUCAAAUUGAACAACAAAUUACAAGAUGCUUAGACACAAAAAAUUGAACAAGAAAACAAAUAAUAAACAAACAUACACAAGAUUGUACAUCUGAAAAUGUGAACUCACCACAUAUCAGAUAAAAAUAAACCUAAUUAUAACAAAGCAAGUUGAACAAAUGUUUAGAAUAACACAUAACAUAAAUGCAAUAAGAAAAGAAUGAAAACUCACAUCUCAAUAGGAACUAGAGAUGGCAUCGAUAUGGAUAAUAGUCUGAACUCUGGCUAGGAAAUUUCAACUGCACUUGAUGCUCGCUGGUGUCCAAAGAAAAAGUAUGGACGUUAACACGCAUGUACAAAAAGAAAGUAAGAAAUUGCAAAAAGUGAAAUAGGAUAAAAAGUUAACAGACAAAGCCAGUCGUGGAAAGAUAAGUGAAUGCGAGGAUAUUGUAGAGCCCUGCGAAGCGAAAGACAGGUUCGUGAGAUAAAUGUUUUGUGGCUCUUUGAGAACCACGCUUCGACAUCUUCGAACUGCGCUGCGUCUUUUGCCCACAAACCCAAAUGUGCGAACCCGUCCAGGAUCUACAGCGAAAAAGAACAAACACGAAAUACUGGAACACUGGGUCAAAAGCACGACCGAAUCCUGCCACAUUUCCACUCCUCGAUGUUUUACCUUGCAUUGCUUCAUGCACCCAUGUGCACUGAUACUUCAAGUUGCCUUUCACUACUGCCUGCUGGUUUACAGGCAAAAUUUUCUAAUCUCCCUCCUUCACAUUAUCGUGUGAAGCUGAGUUGGUGUAACGAAAGCCUUGUAGAGGAAAGCGUUUGGUGUGAACGGGUACUGUGCAAACCUGUUCUUCGUCUGUUUUGAAUCAGAAACGGCACACGUUUGGUCAUUGUACUAGAAAAUUGUUCUUAGAUUUUCUGACUGCAAACAGUACGAUCAUUUUCAACAUACUACGUUAAGCGUUCCAGUGAAAUGCAUACAUCCUUCUGCGGGUGCAAUCGCUACAUGCUGCAUUGUGUGGUUGUUGGUGUUAGCAACAUUCAUCUUGGUGACGCUGUCUACUGGUCACAAAUCCCAGCCGACUCGUUCUGUCUCUCACACAGAAUAUGCAAAGAAGAACACCGCGACAAUUUCCACAAUUCCUGAUUUGGAUCAGAGAAUAUUGCCACAAGAAGCUUGUGUUUUGAAGACAGACGCUUACAUUGUGCGGUUACGAGGUCUAGAUCUUGCUAACUGCGUCCAGUACUUUGAGGCUGGUCGCUGGUCAACGAUUAAAGGGCAAUGUUAACAGAGAGAUCAUUGAGGCUGGGAAACGCUCCAUUGCAGUGAAAUUAGUAUUAGUGAAAGUAACAAUUGUAUUUUAGUAUUAGCCAAGGCCUAAUUAACCCUAUCCCCACCCAGCUAUGUAAUGGUUACUCCCUAUUUGAAUUAUUUCCAUUUAAGUCAGAAAAAACAAUAAAAAAAUAAUAAUAAUAUAAAAGACGAACAAAAAGAAGCUAAUUGGCUAGCUAAAUUCGCUAUGCUAGGUCUCCUACUCGAAAAUCCAAUCAUCCUAACAAAGCGUCUCAAUGUCCACCCAGCAGCCAUGCAAUUCUCCAUAAGAUGGAGUUAAAGAGGCGGGAGUGCCUCGAAUCGGAACAGUACCGUAUCGACGUUGUGGCCAGUGUUCGGCGAGGUCCAUCCGAACUUACGUACUCGCCGACCCACUCUCCACCCUCGCGGAACUCCGAAUCCUUCCACCAGCUGUAAGUGGUUCCUGACCCGCAUGUAAGGCAAUCCGGCUUUGACCAGAAACUCAUUGUACGAGUCCGGAAUCUCGUCCACGGAGAUGGUCACCGACUUUUGCGCCAGUUGGAACAUUCUCACUAGCACUGCACACAUUUCCACCUCGUCAAGGUACUGGAGGGUCGAGACACACACGACGUGGUCGAACGAUGUGGUGGUGUCCAUUAUCACGUCCUGAAGGGGACCAAUCUUCACUUCCUUGUAUGUCUCCGGGAUUGGAUUCUUCUGAACCAUUUGCUCGGAUACGUCAUUGCCCACGAUCGUGCUCAGUUCUGAGCCGUCUUUGCGUUUCCUUUGAUGCUCGUGGAGCAAGCGACCGAACUUUCCCGUGCCGCUGCCCAAUUCAAACACCGUGCCGGAAUAAUCGUAGUCGGCGAUUAGAAAUUCGUAGUUCGAGGCCAUCGUUCCCAAAUAACUUUCGUAGCUCGCCGAGAAGGCGUCGAAUUCCUUGGCCACAGGGGCAACCUUGAUCUUGUGCUUUCCCAGCUGCUGCAGUCUGCUGUUGACAAUCACGUUCACAAGCGCGCGAUGACCGCCGGGAAACGUCUCGCGGAUCACGAUGUCCUCCCACUCGUGCUCCCAGCGGUAGAACACCGCCGGCCCCGGGUUGACCUCCAGGAUGAAGGGCUUACCGUCUGACGCUCGAACCCUAAUAUCCACAUUGCCCCAGCUGUUUCCUGCCAUUUGGUUGACGUGCCAGGCUCUCUCCGCCAGAUUGCGCAACAUGUCGAAGAGCGCUGGGUCUUUGCAACGCACCAGGAGCUCCUCACGCAUCUCCGGGUGGCAUUUGAUGUCGAAAGUCAUGAAAUCAGCGCCGGCGUUGAUUGCGGGGCAUCGGUAGGUAGUCGGGUUUAGCGCCACGGGCGUGUUGCCCAUCUCGAUGAGAAUGACGGAGUAAUCGCGCCCAGGUAUGUACUCUUGGACGACAAUGUCGAUAUCACUCCCGUCGAAAUGAGCAACUCCGUUGCCAUAAGCACUACCGUUAACGUGAUCACUUCCAUCGACAUGGGCGAUUCUAUUGCCGUUGACGCUCCCGUUAUCGUGAUCACUUCCGUUGACAUGGGCACUCCCGUUUCCAUCAGCGCUCCUAUUGCAAUGAUUGGCGAUGGUUGCGGCGGCUUCCUUUCGACCGGGAGCAAGAUACUCAUUGAUGCGGGCCAGCUGCUGAUCAAGUUCGCUUUGGUUCUUGCACACGGACCUUUCGUCGAUAAACAUUGACGCGCACAUCUUCGCCGGUUUCACAAACACCGGGAACUUCAUGUCAGCACCCCUUGCCGGCACUGGCAAUCCAGAUUUCUUGGCCGCGUUGUAGAAGUCGAGCUUCGAUCGUCUCAAGACCUUGCUCUGAUAACCCACAAUUGGAACUCCCAAAGACUCCAAGUAUUCAGUAGCCUCUAUACCCGCGACGGUAUCCUCGAGUUGGCCCCACAUGAAGUUGAGGAACAUGUCGAAGCCCUCGGCGACGGCAGCAUCGAUCUGGGCGUUGGCAGUGGCUUUGUUGAUGUAACGGUGAUGGAAUUCGUGUUGGGAGGUGAACAUGGCGGGGUCUGGAAAGCUGGGGUCAUUGAUGGCAAGGGCUUGGGUGGAGUCUGCGUAGGGAGCCUGGAGAACACAGAUCUUCAUGGUGAAUGGUUUGGUACUAAUUCCGCAGCUUGAUCAGAAAUCGCUGAGGAGGAAUACGCCCGUACGAAAGAAGCUGUGCUUGUUCUCGAAACCGGCAGAUGGCCAGGAAAGUCAACAGAAUGUCAUGCCUGCACAUGCAUAUUACAGUCACAUACAAGAGUAUAAAAACUCUCGAACGAACGAAAUUUGUUUUUCCAUGUAGCAGCAGUCUGGCUAGUACCGUGGGCAGAAGAAAACAUGAAAAGCACGAUGAUAACUAUUCACAUGUGAUGGGAUUUGGCCAUGGAACUAGACCAGCGUCAGAAGCUCUUACCUCAAACACCUGAAGUUAGUGCACCAAGAAUAAAGUGUACAGAAUGUCCAGGUCUGUCUUAUUUAUCUCUCCCUUACUCACGUGAACCUUGUGGAGGCCAGUCACAAGGUUUCUCUGAAUGGCUUUUUGGAAGGCACUGAGACCCUAACCUGGAAAGGUGCGCCAAGUUGUCAUAGUCCCCCCCGAAAGGGCUGUUUUUAACAGAAGCAGCGAUCAUCGUAAAGUUGCUAUUUUCGAUAUUUUCCAGUUGGCUGAUUGAGUGGAGUGAUCUACAACGGAGAGAGAAACGGAUCUGGGUUAAAACUUCGGAUCUAUUGCGACACUUUUCCAAACGGAGAAGAUUGUCCAUUCAGGAAAGUCUCGUAAAAGUACAUAUUGAUGGGGUGAAUUAGGGAAUGAUAACUUCUGCACCAAUCAUUAUUGAACUAGGUUGAACUCUUUAUCAAUUUCUUUCAACAAAAACGGACAAAUCUUGAAGGGUAUAUAUUAUUAUAUUCUUAUAUCUUAUCAAGACAGAGUAGAUCAAGUUACUCUCUAUCACUAUCAAUAACAAAUGACCUUAUUCUCUAGAUAAAUCUAGUACAAGUGUUACGUCUCCUAUUCCAUAAUAGUACAUAAUAUUGUCAUAUAGGAAGGACUUAACUUGAAACUUUAAUUUAAAAUAAUAAGUUUGUGCAAAGUAAAAAAAUCAGAAAUUAGAAACAAAAGUUGAAUAGAUUGGAAUAUGUUGUAAGAACUAAAUUUUUAUUAAUGAUGUAUCAAAAGAUUUAGAAGCAAUAAAAUAAGAAUGAUUGAAAAAAUGAAUUGAUGAAAAUGAAGAUGAAUUUAUUGCUGCCCUUGUAAAAUAAAAAUAGAAUAAAGAUCCACAAUAUCUUGAAAUAUAUAAAUAUAUUUAUGUACAUAUACAUACAUAAGUCUUAUAAAAUAUGUAUUAAUUUAUUAGAAUAAAAAAUGAUUGAAAUAUUAAUAUAUAUAUAUAUAUAUAUAUAUAUAUGAUAAUUUUAUUAACGUUAAUUAUUUUUAUUGGUUCAUAAUGUUUAUUACUCAAGAUUUAUUAUUUUUUUUUCAAGUAAUUUUUUAUAUAUUUUUUUUAAUCUAAAUGUUGUUUAGUAACAUUUUUUUUUCAACCAAGGACAAACACAUUUUCAUAGAUAAAUAUAUUUAAUUUAAUAUUUUUAUUUUUGAUUAAAUUGAAGUAGAUAAAAGUAGAUUUAUUUCAUAUACCUUUUAGGCAAGCUUCUUAGAAGCUUUAUAAACAUUGCUUUAACUUUACAUGUAUUUGUAAUUGAUUGAUAGGUUAGAAACUUGGUCAUUAAAUUAACCAUGUGUUGAUAGCUUAGAAAACAAGCUAAUUUAUGUUGCUAAAUUCAAACCUUGCUUGUAAUAAGGACUAGAAUGACAAAGCUCUUAUCAAUCAAUUUUGAUAUUCAUGAAGGAUAAUGUCAACGAUUUGCUAUUGACAAUGUCUAAGGCAAAAUCUUUGAAAUAAUUAACCACUUUAGCUAUUAUAUAUGACAAUCGAUUAUUUGAAAGAUGUCAAGAAUAAAGAUUUUGUUAGAAAAGAACAAGUUAAAUAAUGACUACACUUCUAAAGUUUUCAAAAACUUAUUUAUCAAGGCUAAGCCAAUGCAAAUCGAUAUAAUACGUUUUAAAUCUCCUAUAGAAUUGAAAAAGACUUAACAAUAUGAUAAAGACUUAUAUUAUGGAGAAGCUAAAUACACUACUUAAUAGUGUCUAAAGAAACAACUCAACUACGAAAUGAAAAGCAUGGUUGCUAAAAAAGACAAUGUGUCGAGAAACAAGUUUUUUCAGCUACAAUAAAAACCGUGUGACUAGAAUCUUGCUUAACUUCUAAUAAAGGUCAUAUUCUCUCCUCAAUCUCCUCACCUUGUUUUACAAUAAAAGUUUAUUUAGGAUAAAAAAAUCACAAAAUCAUAGCUUUGUUAGAUUUAAGAGCCUUAACUUAUUUUAUAUACAAAAAUUUUGUCAAAAAAUAAGAAAUAUUAUUAGUCAAGAAAAUUAAAUCCGUAUAUGUAGAGGUCACAAAUGGUCAUUUUUUUAUCUUUUAGAGAUGUUACACAUGAGACAAUUCCUUUACAUGUAGUAAUUAAAGAUUAUAAAAGUAUAAUAAUAUUAAAUAUAAUAAUAUUUUUCUUUAAUUUGGUUAUUUUAGUAUUAUCUUAAUUAAAAAAGUAUAAUCCUCAAAUAGAUUAUAUUUUUCAUAACUUUAUUUUUUUGGAUAAUUUAAUCUAAAAUUCCAUUAGUCAAAUAAAAAUACAUAAGUAUAAUACACUCAAAUCUAUCACGGAUGUACAAAUUUACCCUGAUAAUUAUUUAGAUAAUAAAAAUAAGUCAAUGUAAGUAAAAGUAGAUAAAUAGGAUAAUUUCUUGUGGAAAGCUUCCUAGAAGCUUCAUAGACACUGCUUUGUAUUUAUAUAUGUCUAUCAGUAAUUGAUAGGUUGAAACUUGGUGAAUAAUGAUGCGACAUGUCGACAUUUUGACUACUUGUAUAUUUUGACUACUUGUAUAUAGUACAAGUUGGAUAUAUGGGGCACACCUAAGAAACUUGUCUUAUAAAUUAGACAUGUAUCUUGCAAGUUGGACACAUAUUAGAGGUCCUAUAGUAUGUUGUCACGUAGUUCUUACUUAAGUAGUAUAUAUAGAGGCAAGAGUAAGGCCUUCUUUACUCUUGUCGGCUCUUUUCUUAUUUUUAGUCUAGUUUCAAGAGUCUUAUGUUUUCUAGUCUUUGACAAUAGCCAUUCUAGUUCUUCCUUGAAUAUACAUACUUUCUUCUAUUUUGUCAUUUUUCUUUUGACACAAAUUCCACGAGUUUAUGCAUCUUUUUCUAGUUUGUGUCCUUGACAGAUUGAUAAGAGUAUACAUACAAUAUCAAAGCUUUGUCCUUUCUUGAUUAAGAGUGGUUUACUGCUUUGUCUUAAUAAGACAUAAGCAUAUUAGAAGUUACGGAUUACCUUCUUUUAAAUUGAUAUUACUUCUAAAAAUUCCUUUUCUUAAUUCUUAAAUAUUGUAUUCUGUGAAAAUAGACACCUUUCUUUGUAUUAUGCUAGUAUGGCAAAGCUUACUGAAAUGAAGAGUAUAAUGGCUCAAAUGCAAGAGCAAAUGAGAGAGUUAAUGCUUGCAAUAUAUUAACUCAAUCUACCACCACAAGGAGCAACAAGAUUAUCAAAGAAUGAAGAUAUAGAAAUGAUUGGAGUUGCAUCAACAUCUACACCAAGCCAUACUACUAUUCCUACAAUGGAACAUCGUUCAAGUUUCAAGAAACCAAAAAUUGUAUUGCUUGAGAAGUUUGAUCAUACAAGAUCUAAGUUUCAAAGAUUUAUCAAUCAAGUACAACUGGUGAUUUAACUACAACUUCAAAGUUAUUCAAUUCAAGGAUCACAAGUCAGGUUUAUUAAUAGACUACUUUUAGGUUUUACUUUAUCAUGGUUUUUAUCAUUUCUUAAAUGACAUGAUCAAAUAUUGGAUAAUUUGAAAGCAUUCUUGGCAAAGUUUUGAUCUUUGUAUGGAAAAUAUGAUGCAAUCCAUGUUACAACCAACAAGAUUUAUAUCUUGCAAUAAGACAAUUCAUUAGUGAUAUUGUAUGCAUCACAAUUUUAACAAUUGGCAACAAAUAUCUAGUGGGAUGAUGUAACACUCAUCAGCCAAUUUUUCUAUGCAUUACAAGAUGAAGUAAAUAAAUUGAUGUUUAAUUUACUUGAUCCUCAAACAUUGAGUAAGUAAUUGACUUUGCUGUGAAAUGUGAUAAUCAACUUCUUGAGUUUUGAUGUAAAAAUUACACAAAGGAACUUCAACGUUAUUAUAAUUCAAUGACAAUACCAACAACUUUUCAAUCUAAACAUUUGGAAGUAGAAGAUAGGUAAAUUGAUGGAGUACAUUUUAAACCUCUCAUUGAAUAAGAAAAGAUUCAUUGUCAUCAAGAAGGACUAUGUUUAUAUUGUGGAGAAGCUAAGCACACUCCUCAAUAUUAUCCAAAGAAACGAUAUAACUACAAAAUGAGGAGUACUAUUGUCAAAGAUGAAAACAUGUGAAAAAAUAAAUUUGUCCAGAUACAAUAGGAAUUGUGCGAUUGGAAUCUUAUACCAUUUCUAAUUAAGGUCAUAUUCUCUCCUCGGAACCCUCUCCUUAUAUUAUAAUAGAUAUGUGUUUAGGAUCUAAUAAUCACAAAGCCUCUGCCUUAAUAGAUUUAGAAGCCUCAAAUUAUUUUUUAGAUGAAGAAUUUAUUAAAAGUCAUACUAUAUAAUUAAUACAAAAAAUUAAAUCCCUACACAUAGAAGUCAUAAACGAUUGUCCGUUAUCUUCUAAAGAUAUUACUCAUGAAACACUUCCAAUACAUGUAGUAAUAAAUGGUCAUAAUAGUUGCAUAAUUUUUAAUAUAAUUAGAUCUCCCUUUAAUCUAGUCAUUUUAGUUUUAUCAUGGCUAAAAAAAUAUAAUCUUGUAAUAGAUUGGAUUUCUUGUAAACUUGACUUUUCUUCAAACAUCAUUAAGAGUUUUUCUAAUCUAGUAGAAAGCCAUGAGUCUAAUGUAGCCAAACCUAUACUUGUAGAUGCAAAAGCUUUUUUGCAUGCUAUAAAAAAGGAUUGUCUUUUUUUAUUUGUGCUACACCUAUUUUAAAUGAUGGAAAGAUUUGAAGUGAAAUUCCUAGUCAAUAUCAAUACUUUUAAGAUGUUUUUGAAAAAAAGAAUGCAAAUAUUUUUCCAAAGCAUCAUCCAUAUGAUUUUUCAAUCGAUCUUAAAGAAGGAACUUAGCCACUAUUUGGUCCAAUCUAUAGUUUAUCACAAAAUGAGUUGGCUAAACUCAAGAAGUACAUUGAUGAGCACUUGGCCAAAAAUUCAACUAUCACUAAGAUGAUUGGAAAAUUCUUUUGCCAUUGGCAAAGUUUGCUUAUAAUAAUUUGGUACAUUUUUCUACUCAACAAACACCUUUUUUUGCCAAUUAUGAUUAUCAUCCAGGAUUUGAUACUUUUAACUUUUCAAAGGUUGAUAAUCCUAUGGCGGAAGAUGUGGCAAAUCUAUUGUCAGAGCUACAUGUAACAAUGAAGGCAUAAUUAAAAGAAGCUUAAGAAUGACAAAAAGAUAACAUAGAUGUUUAUUAUAAGGAACAAUCUCAAUUCUAUAUAGAAAAUAAUAUAUGGUUACUUCAUAAUAUUAAAACUAUUUUUCCUUGUGACAAGCUAGAUUAUCAUAGACUUGGACCAUUUCAUAUUUAUGAAUAAAUCAAUCUAGUUGCUUAUCAAUUAUACCUAUCAGAGUUUGAAAAUCCAUCAUGUAUUCCAUAUAUAUUUACUUGAACCAUACAAGAUAAUGGAUAUAUGAGAAAGGAGACAAAUGCCACCAUCUCUUAUAGAAAUAGACGAUAAUAAAGAAUUUGAAGUAGAAGAAGUCUUAGAUUCGAGGUAGUACCAAAAUAGGUAAGAAUAUGUCAUACAUUGGCAUGGAUAUGACAUUAAUGAAUGUAUAAGGAAGCAAUCUAGGAAUGUAGUAAAUACAUCAGCCAAAAUUAAAGCUUUUUAUCAAUGACAUCUAUCUAAAUCAAGAUGAAGAGUUAAAAAAUUCUUUGCUAUAAAGUAAAACAAAUCCAAUAGAGAUUUCAUUCUAUCUUGUAUCAUUAUUUCUUUAGAUUUUUUUAGUACUUAGGAGAUGGAGAACCAAGAUUUAAUUCAAGAGCUAUCAAUUGUUGAGUAAUCAAAUUAAACAUUAUAACUAUUAAAACCUUUGAGAUGACAAAAUUGACAUAAAGAUCCUCAAGAAUGAUAUGUUCUUUCUUAAAUAGAUGGCAAGAUACAACGCAUUUGGUACCAUGACCUUGGAAGUGACUCCUAGUAUUUAGUGAUACUUUUGGAGGUAGAACCCACUUAUAAUGGUAUUACUAAUAUUUUAUUUGAAGGAAGUUAUGAAGGCUUCAAUAAGGAUCAAAUAUCAGGGUAGUCUUAUUGCCUUGGUAUGGGACAUUAUUGAUGGUUGAAGGAACAUAUCAACUACUUUUAAAAGAAAACAAAGAUCAAUAUAUGUAGCAAAUACAAUUUGGUGCAUCUUAGACUUCUUCAACAUGUAAUCACCGCUUCUUGUAGAACUCGUUCCUAGAAAAGAGGAUAAUGUCACAAACAUACAUAUUUAUCUUAAUAAUUAUCUAGAUAAUAAUAAUAGGUAGAAAUAAGUCAAAAUAAAAAUAUGAUAAUAUCUUGUAGAAAGCUUUAUAGAUGCUUCACAGAUGCUGCUUUGCCUUUAUAUAUGUCUAUAGGUGAUUGGUAGGUUAAAAACUUGGCCAACAAGGAGGCCAUGUUGUUGAGAUAGAGAGAAUUUGCUUCAAGAAAGCAGUGGGCUCCUGACUGCUACUAAUUGCUCAAUGAAGUCUUGAGAUAAGAAGGACCAAGUUUGCAUAUAUAUAUAUAUAUAUAUAUAUAUAUAUAUAUAUAUGACACUUUUAGAUACUAUUAUACCAAAAAUAUAAGUCUUAAGUUUCCAAAAAUAUCCAAAAUAUGAUAAAACCUAUAAAUCCUUAAAUAUCCUUAAAGGGUAUUAUUUGUGAUUUCAAAAAACUCAUAUCUUUCACACACACUAUUUUAUACACACUCUCAAAUUAUAUGAAGAGUUGAUGUACUUUUAACAACUACCACAACAAAUUUCAAUUACAAAUAUCCUUAUGGGAUAUUAUUUGUGAACUUCAAAAAUUCAUAUCUUUUAAUUGGACUAUUCAAACACAUUCAAAUUCUAUAUAAAGUAUUGGUAUACUUUUAACAACUACCAUAACAAAUUUCAACUAUAAAUUCAUUGCGGAUCUUAUGAUAUCACCAAAACCCUAAUAGUAGCUUCAAAUCCUAAUUUUUAUAUACCUACAUGUAAUUUUUUUCAUAUCUCACAAAUUAAACAAUCAAAUGCUACAAAUUACAUAUAUAUAUAUAUAUAUAUAUAUAUAUAUAUAUAUAUAUAUAUAUAUAUAUAGCUUUUUAAGACAAUAUUAUAUCUUCUUUUAAAGGUUUGAGCUAAAAAUUCAUCUAAAAACUUAAGAUAUGGCUCCAACCAUUACUAUGAACAAAUCACUUACUUAUUGCCUUUUAUUUGGAUGCACUGAUUUUAAUUCUCUAUAACUUCUUCAUCUGAACUCUAAAUUCAUAAAGUAAUAUAUAAAAAGUUUAGUCGAGGAAUAGCUCUCUUCAAUCCUAAUCAUUGAUUCUUUGUUUCUUUCCAUAAACAUAUGUUAUGCCCCAAAGAGUGAUAAUAGGUAUAAAAUUGACACCUUAACUUUGAGCGCCAAUAACUCUUUUAUAAAAACUCCAAAUCACACAAAAUUUACAUCCAAUCCAUAUCCAAAAACUUUAAAUUUUUGAUCCUAGCCUCCAAAUUUCGAAUGACCUUAAAAGAGAAAUCUUAAUCCCUAAUAAGGCCUCAGGUAGCCUCGUUGAAGUCCAUUGGGUAUGGCCAUCGAUCAAUAGGAAUGAAGAACUCCAUUCUUUGCCUUCAUCCACCCAUGUCUUGCUUUCAUCCUUCUCAAUAACCCUCAUACUAGUUAAGAUUUUCUUCUUUAGGUUCCAAUCUCUUCUCAAGGCUUCAUACUAAAUAUUUAAGUCCUAUAAUUUUUUUAAAUGCUAUAAUCAAAAUAAAUAAAACUUAAAAUAAUAUUUUUUAUAUCUAAUCUCUUUAAAUUAAUCUAUUAAUUAUUAUAAUAUACACCAAGACUUAUUAACAUAUUAUAUAUUCUAAUUUAUUUUUACACAUUAUAAGCAAUUACAAUAUGACAGCGUGUUGACAUGUCAACCUCUUGUAGUAUAAGUUGGACAUAUGGGACACACCUAAGAAACUUGCCUUAUAAAAUUAGACAUGUGCCUUACAAGUUGGAUACAUAUUAGAGGUCUUAAAGCAUGUCGCCAUGUAGUUCUUACUUAAGUAGUAUAUAUAGAAGCAAGAACGAGGCCUUCCUCACUCUUGUCAACACUUUUUUUGCUUUUAGUCUAGUUUCAAGAGUCUUAUAUUUUCUAGUCUUUGGAAAUAGCCAUUCCAACUCUUCUUUGAAUAUACAUACUUUCUUCUAUUUUGUUACUUUUCUUUUGACACAAAUUCUAUGAGUUUAUGCAUCUUCCUCCAAUUUGUGUCCUUCCCAAAAUCCUUAUUAGUAGCUGCAAGAGCUUUGAUGCAUGCCACAAAAAAAGAAUCAUCUUUUGUUAUAAAUGCCACGCCUAUUUUUGAUGGUGGAAAGAUGUCAAAUAGUAUUUUAAACUAAUAUCAAGAUUUUUUGGAUGUAUUUUGAAGAAAAGAAUGCAGAUAUUCUUUCAGAGUAUCAUCCUUAUGAUUGUUCCAUCAAUUCUUAAGAUGAGAAGGCAUGACAAAUUCUAUCUAGUAGAUUUUUAUUUGAAAAAAAUUUCAACAGUUGAGAUUAAUUAUGAGAUCUACAACAAAGAACUUCUAACAAUCUUAGAUUCAUUUUAAGAAUGGCAUAAUUAUCCAAAAAGUACCUCGAGUCCAAUAAAUAUAUAUAUAUAUAAAUCACAAAAACCUCAAAUACUUCAUGUGGGCACGUAUUUUGAAUUGUCGCCAAGUUUAUUGGUAUAUAAUUAUGUGUUAUUUAAACUUAUUAUGAAUUUUUAGCAGUCACAUAUUUUGGAUACAACAAGACUUUGGAGCUAAUAUCGAGAGAUUUUUGAUCGCCUUAAAUAUAGAAGAUAGUAAAAGACUUUGUACAAUCAUAUAAUAUUUGUUCAAGAUUCAAAACUCGUCAUUAUUGACCUAUGGACUUCUUCAUCCAUUAUAUAUUCCAAAACAACAAUAUUUAUCCAUUUCUAUGGAUUUUAUCAAAGAUCUUUCAAUCUUAGGUUUGUAUAAUUUUAUAUUCAUGAUAGUAGAUUGUUUUACUAAGAUAGCAUAUUCUAUACUAUGUACAAAAUAUAUCAGAGAUGAAGAAAUACUAAUCUUUUUCUUAAAAAUAUCUAUUGCUAUUAUGGAUUGCUUAAAGAUAUUAUAUCAGAUAGAGGGACUUAGUUUAUAUCAAGAUUUUAGAGAAUCCUUUUUAAGAUUUUAAAGGUGGAUAUAAAGCUCUCUUUUGCUUUGUAUCCUUAAAGAAACGUGCCUAAUCUAUCUCAAGUAUCCAAGUCUCCUUCUAAUUUACAACAACAUAAAACCUCAUGACAAAGUAGGACAAACUGGUUCAAAAUAAAAUUGAAUAGGAUUAAAUAAAAUGAGACACAAAAUACAAAAUUAAACAACCAAAAUUAGAAUAAAAUAAAACAAAAUUAAAUAGGACUAAACAAAAUGAGAUACAAUAGACAAAAUUGAGCAACCAAAAUUAAAACAAAAUAGAAUAAAAUAGAACAAAAUAUGAAGAUAUAAAAUUCAAUUUUAUUAAGAGAAAGGUUCAAAGCCAUACAUGAUCAAAUAUCCCAAAAGGCCCUAGACAGUUCUAUUUAUAUUUUAUUCUACCACCGUGGAUUUUUUAGAAUAUUCUUAGAUAAUGGACCCUGCUAAGAUAAUUGCUUUAAAUUCUUUCUAAAAGGUUUUAUGAUAGGCUCCACUUAGAUAACUGCCCUAAGCCUUUUUUUAAAAGUUCCAUCGUAGGCUCUACUUAAAAAUCUAUCUUAAAUUCUUUCUAGAAUGUUCUCUAAUAGAUCUUAUCUAGUCCACUAACCUAACUCUAAUUCUAAAAAACUUCCAUAACUUCUCUAUGAUAAUUCUAACUAUCUAUUUCUAUGUAUCAAUAAUACAAAUAUCUUAUCUAUACCUUGUCACAAUUAAUCUCCCUCUAUUAAUAUCAAACAUCUUUAUUUUGCUUCCAAUAUCAGUGAUUAUCUGCAUACUACUUUUGUGAAUUCUAUGUGGUAAAGAGGUGAUGUUGUGCCUCUUGUAAGGCCGUUGUAAGCCAUUGUAUACAUUCCUUUGUUGUCAAAUUAUUGGUGUCGAUUGGACGAUAGAGAGUUGUUAGCAAAAUUGGAUACUAAUUGGUGUUAAAGAAAAAUGGUGAAUGACCACUACUUGUUUGAAUACUAUCAUUGUAAGCAAACUUUAAGGGCAUUAAGUAUUCAUCUUAAUUAUUAUAAUGAACCACCUUAAAUACUCAAAAUAUAUCUUCCAAGGUCCAAUUUAUAUACUUUAUUUAUCCAUCUAUUUAAAAAUAGAAGGUUGUAGACAUAGUAAUUCGUGUACUAAGUAGCUUGAACAAGUCUUGUCAAAAAUUUCUUGUAAAGCAUGGAUCUCAAUCUAAAAUGAUCUGUUCUAGAGUCUUUGCUCACCUUAAAUAUCCAGAUAUUGAGAUAUCAUGUCUCUCUAAAAGUAUACAUGUCCGGAGUAUAGCAUUAUUGGAUACAUAAAUCUACUUCUUCAAAUAGAACAAGCCAUUAUUAAGACUAUAAUUUGAUACUAUAUAUUAUCUAUCUUCAAUCGAUCGCUAAUCACCUUGAAAUAAGCAUCCCAAUGUGUAGCUUUCUUCUAUUCUGUCUCUUUGGUUAGAUUUGAAAUGACAUUACUAAUCGUAGAAACUUCUGUCUAUUUUCUUGAUUUGUCUUUCAUGUAUGGUCUUUACAAUAAGUUGUCUGGCAUAGUAUAUUGUUGGCCUUGCUUAUAUUCAAGUUACAUAUCAAAAAGCUACAACUAUUCUUCUCAAUAAUGAUAUUGUGAUUUUAUAUUUUUUAAAUAAAAAUUAUAUAUUAAAGAUCAUUGAUCAAUCCGAACAACCACAUGCUUCUCCAAUAAAUAGUGUCGCCACAUCUUUGUGGCAUGUACAAUUGCUAAUUGGUUUUGAUCAUAUAAAGAGUAAUUUUGCUUUGUUCUUUUGAGCUUAGUAGUUCAAAUGCCACAUAUUGAAGGCUCUUACUAAAGUUUAGUUAAAAGACCACUCUAAUAGCAAAGUUGGAAGCAUCAAUGUGAAGUGUACAAAGUAGGUUGCGAUCAUAUGAUUGCAAUAUUAGAAUAAUAAUGAGUGCUUCUUUCAACAUAUCAAAGGUACUUUGCUACUCGAGUUUCUAUUCAAAUAGGACACCCUUCUCCAAUAGGUUUGUUAAUGAGAGAGCAAUAUGUACAAAUCUCUAAAUAAAACGAUGAUAAUAUCUAGCAAGGCUUAAAAAUGAGUGGCCUUUAGAAGCAUCUUUGGAGGUUUGUCAAUCUUCUACCACUUUCACCUUAUCUUGUUCUAUAUGUAUGUCUUUGGAAGACACCACAUGCCUCAAAAAUAUCACUUUUGACUUCCAAAGUUUAUAUUUUGAUUGCUUAUAAUAGAAACUUAAAUCUUCUAGCCAAUGUAAUACUUUUUAUAGAUGUUACUCAUACUCUUCAAGGAUUUUAUUAUAUACAAAGAUAUCAUCAAUAAAAACAACUACAUACUUAUCUAAAAGGUCCCAAAAUAAUCUAUUUAUAUGACCUAUGAAAGAAGCUGGAGCAUAUUUGAAGCCAAAAUGUAAAACCACCCAUUCAAAAUGUCUAUAGUGCGUACAAAAUUUUAUCAUUUUUACAUCUUUUUUUGUAAUAAAAGUUUGCCAAUAACUGCUUCAAAGAUUUAAUUUAUUAAAGAUGGUCACAACUUAAAGUUGAUUAAGAAGAUCAUCCACAUGCGAAAGUAGAUAUGCAUUCUCAAUAGUCUAUUUAUUGAGACAUCAAUAAUUGAUGCAAAGGCAAAAUCCACCAUCCUUCUAAGGUGCAAAGAAUGUAGGUGCUCCUCAGGGUGAUGUCCUUUUUCAAAUGAGGUCUUUUUUCAAGAAUUUAUUUAAUGUCUUCUACAAUUCUUUAAGUUCUUUUGGUGUUAGGCAAUAAAUUUUUCAACUUAUUAGUUUGGCUUCAAGCAAUAAUUCUAUUUGAAAGGAAGCACUUCAAUCAAGAUGCAUGCCACUAGGUAGGUCAGUUGAAAAGAUAUUUUGAUAUUCCCGUAUGAGUUGAUAAGUCCAUUCUAUUCCUUCGGCUUUUUCUUCUACCAUUGAUGCAAGAUUUAAAACCACCAUAUAUAUAUAUAUAUAUAUAUAUAUAUAUAUAUAUAUAUAUAUAUAUAUAUAUAUAUCGAUUACUUAUGUUGUAUUUGUUUAUUUAUAAAGGUCAUUUCUACAAAUAAGACUUGAGUUGUAGAUUAUCUUUCUUCUUUACUUGAUGCAGAGGUAUAAAGAAUUACUUUGCAUCUACCAUAUUUAAAGGAGAUUGUCUUUACUAUCAAACCAAAUUACUUAUUUUUCAUCUUUAGCCAUGGUAUACCAAAAAUAAUAUCAUAUCUUAGAUUUAUCACCUUGAAUUUCUCUCUUAAGACAAAGGUGUCAGUCAAACUCAAGGUUUUUAUUUCACAUGUCUCACUCAAUACUUUUUCUCAGUCAUCUGCAAGGUAUAUACUUCCUCCCUUUAUUUCCAUAGUUUUAAUUCCAAGUCAGUUGGUAAUUUCACUUCAAAUGUAAUUUUUUAUAGAGCUACAAUCUACAAGUAUUUAAAAUGGUUGUCUUCUUAGUAGUGCCAUUAGAUGUACCAGUUGACUCUUUUUAUAGUUUUUUGAGGCCAUACUAUUUAUCUUUGAGAGAUAGUAGCUAUUCCUACUACUAGCCUUUGGUGUCUUUACUGGGAAGCCUUAUUUUCUUACUUUGUCUCAUUAUUAACUUAGUGAAUUUUGAAACUAUGAACCAGCCUUAUUUUGCUGGUACUUGAAUUUUGAUAUUUUAGACAACCUUCAAUGUGAUGGCUUGGCUCUUGACAACUUUCAAUGUAAUGUCUUGGCUAACUUUACAUAAUCUCCAUUAAUAUUGGUUAUUAUAUCAUGGUAUUAGAUAGUUACAUAAGACUUUGUACUAUAGGUCAUGCUCUAUGAUUUUUGAAAUUUAAAGCAUUGAUCCUCUUUGUCAUCCAAAUUUUCUUUUUGAACAUUUAUUGAUUCUUUAAUUUUACCUCUCGUUAAACUCCACAUUUCAAACCUUGUAGAAAUCGAUCCAUCAUCUCCCUUCCAAAACAUUGUCAAUUAGGAGACAUAUAGACUUAAAUCUAUAGAUAUAAUCUUUGACUAAUCUAGAUUGUAUAAGACUUACCAACUAAUCAUGUGCUAUCUUUUCUACAUUGAUGGGCCAAAAAGUGAUUCCUAAACUUGGUCUCAAAUUCCUCCCGAUCAUAAAAUCUACCUUGAACUCCCUAUCUUUGAAUUCAAUGUGGCUACUAAAUAGCUAUUGCAUCUUUCAAAUACUUGGCUGCAUACAUAAUUCAUUUAGUGGUCUUUUCCUCAAAUAGUUGGAGGUAUUGUUGUAUAUUGAAGAGCCAUUAAUUGUCUUCUCUUAGAUGCUUCUAUUUACUCUUACAAAGUAGCUAUUUAGUCUAAGAGGUGUUGUAUUUGAGCCUCCAUUUGAGAUUGCUUUGCUAUAUCUCUUAUGUUGUAAUUUGUCCACUGGACUCCAUUAUUGUAAUGCCUUUCUACCUUACAAUUGAUUUCUUAAGAGUAUCUCGUAGUUGCUUUAAUAUAGUACCUAGUGUGACUACAACAAUUGAUCUUGGACUAGAUGAUAUCUAUUGACAUACUAUGAAAGAAUAAUCUAACACUCCCUUUGAUAUCAAUAAAACAGGACCGGUCUAUCUCAAAUAUCAAAGAUCCCUUCUAAUCUACAUCAACAUGAAACCUCAUCUUAAGAUAAGAUAAAAUAGACCAAAAUAAAAUUGAAUAAAACUAAAUAAAAUAGAAUACGAAAGACAAAACUAAGCAACCAAAAUUAGAACAAAAUUAUAUAAAAUAUGAAGAUACAAAAUCAAAUUAUAUUAAGAAAAAAGGUCCAAAGCCACACCUGACUAGAUGUCAUGAAAGGCCUUGGCUAAUCCUAUUUAUAUUUUGUUCUAUCAUCCUAGAAUUUUUAUAAUAUUUUAAGAUAAUGGAUAUUAUUUAAAUAAUUAUUGUCGUUAGAUGUUUUACUUACUCCAAACUAAUUUAAUGGGAAUAAACCCAUAUAGGAGGAUUUGAACAUGAGAAAUGACUAGUUGCUUAAGCGUUCACAUUAGGGUCACACAAUCAACUACCUCCUAAACGUAUUGUCUCUAUUUUCUAUAUCCAAAUACACAAGGAUACUAUAAUCUCUUCCUUCACUCAAUCGGUCUCUUCCUUACAGUAAUUUAGUCAUACUAAUAACUGCUAUUUCCACCAAUAUAUAUUCACUCUCAUAAUCUCCAAUCAUAAUACUACACCAUCACCACUUUCAGCACACAAUUACCUUCAUUCUAAUUCUUGGAAAUCCUCACUUUGAACUAUUACUCUCAAUGUUGUGCUUCUCACACCCACACACUGAUUUUUUUUGCUAAACUACAAUCAGAUUUCACCAUUCAGUCUUUCUUUUUUUUAUUCAAUAAUAUAUAAUCCCAAUCACACUUUUAUUUCAUAAUUCACUUGACAAUAUUCAGAAACUCUCAAUCCUCUUAUUCAAAGAAAACAAACAAAAAAAAAGAGGUAGCACUAAGCUUACCUCGGCUCACAACUAUCACAGUAAUGGCAUUUACUUCCUCUCUCUCAUCCUCUUUAUGCUACUCCAAGAUACCCACUGCUACAUUUGUAAUGAAAACUACUUCUGCUAACUAUUCAUCUAUUUUACUUGCUGAACUACCUUUUCAGUAGUCAUCUAUUCGUGUUUAUACUAUACACUAGAUAUCUACAUUCUUAAAAUAACUACUUAUUGUACAUAGCUCCAUUCCUAACUGUGCAGCAUUCUUACAAACAUCUAAGAUAAAGCCAAACUGGUUACUCCCCAGCAUUACCCAAACUUCGAUCCACUGAUUCUAAUUUCAAAGGUCCAUCGUCAUCCUCCUCAUCUCAUACAUUUAUUGGUACUAUGUUCAAUCUGGCGGUUAAAUCUUCAUUAAGUGCACCCAAUUCUCGUGCUUGGCUUUCCAAUUGCACAAUUUAGGUAUCCUUUGCUUAUAAUUGAUGUUGCUGUUGCUUCACCUUUUUUUUCAAUUCACCAAUUGAACCUUCUAUUGGAGUAGAUAUUUGUGACUACCGAACGCAGGUCAAUUCUUCCUCCAAUUUCUUUGCAACCUCCUUCAGAGUGUUGAUUUUCUCUUACAUCUCCUUUGUUUUCACUCUGUAUUGGUCACUCAUCACCCUCUUUUUUUGCUCCAAAGUCGCCAUCUUCUUUUGGUUCAAUUCCAAUUGAUGCUGCAUUUUUUCAAAUUCCAGUUUUGCUUUAUUGCGAGACUUGAAGAGUUCUUAUUUCUGGGGCUCCAUUCCUUGGUAAAGGCAUUUUUUUUUUUUUUUUCCCAUGCUUGCUAUUUUACUCCAAAUGCAUGCUUCAGAUUCAAAUUGACUUCUUUGGUGGCCUUGAUCACCCGAUCUAGUUCCAACAAUCUUUGACAUUGUUCUACCAUUUCCUUCUUACACAUGAGCAAUUGUUGCUUUAAUGCUACAUUGUCAACCAAUUCGUUUAUCUUCAACUAUAAUUGAAAUAUUUGUGCCAAUAAUAUCUCCUUUAAACUAUUACCCUCCAAUGUUCGAUAUUGGAUAUCUACUAGCCUCCUGUCCCUCUACCACAUUGAGAUUUUUCUUGCGGUUUCGUCUCUCUGAGCUAUUGGAGCCCGCUCUUGAAUACUGCUUGGUUCCCUUGCCUGCUGGCUGCUUUCUCUCGGUACCCAUGGAAGUGCCAAUAGAUUGCUCCUCGGUUGUGCUAGUGCUAGAUCUGCUAUCAUCUUUCUUUUCUCCGGCAACGAUUGAUUCAUCUCAUAUACAAUUGCAGAAUGUAUAUAAUUGGAACACAGAAGCGUCACAAUUCUCUUUGUCUUGUGCUUUACUCCCAACUCUGCGUGAAUUCUGGUGGCCACGUACACUGCCCAAUUGAACACCAUAUCUUAGAAGGAUCCUAUUGUCACAAAUAAUAAUCUUUUGGCCAUUUAUAUUGUAUGUCUAUUUAAUUCCAACCAUUUCUAAAUGAAGCGCAUCAACUCCAUCAAUUUUGGUGUAAGUGCCUCCGUCGUCCGCCAUCCUUGAUUUGUUUUUAGCAACGUCAUACCUCCUUUGAAGUAAUUCCCUAGAUUGAAGUGUGAAGACUCAUCGAUUCUAAUCGUGAGCUCUCCUAUUGGUAGAUGCAAUGCCUUAUACAAGAUAUUCUCAUCAAUUCCAAUAGUCCUCUCUUUUACGACACUCGAACCAUCCUCAGGGUCAUAGUUUGUCAAGUAUUCUUCUAAUAAUUUUAUAUCGAUUGAUAGUAAAUUAUCGAUCGCUCGUAGAAAGAGAUAUAACUAUACACUUCUAAAGUCCUUCUGCCGUGCUGCGUUCCAACAAAUUUCUAACCUCAUGAGUUCCAUGUUUGUGAGAAUACAUGAAGAAAGAUCAUCCAUAUUACUCUUCAACUUCAUUCUUCUACCAUCUUUUUCCUUCUCCAAGACUCUCUUCACUUUCUCCCUCGACAUUAUGAAACAUUACGUAACACUCCUCACUCCCACUACUACUGCGUUUAAGAUUAUCGUUGUAGACUUUCUACUACCGAAACUAUGCUCCAAAAAAAAAAACUCUAAACAAAAUACUAAAAAUAGCCAACAUGGAGUGUCCUUUUCUUUACUGUUUAUUCGGUUAUGGAUCAAGAAUCCGUAAUCUUGAUUAUUGAUGUUCUAAUCCACUAAUCAACCACCACCUUUCGCCUCUCAUUAUACACUUGUGAUUGCGGCAAGUCAUCAUGAACGGGUACGUCUUUCUCUCUUCCAAUAUUGAUAAAUUCACCCCCAAAUUUAUAUAUAAUACAUGCAUAGUCAUUUGCCAUUGAUACGGGUUGUGAAUUGGUUUCCUAUGAAGUCUUCUAAUUGGACUAAACCAUUGGGAAAGCCUUCCAAUAUGCAAUAGGGUCCAUGCCACCAAAUUUAAAAUUUUCUUAGAAAAUUGUAAAAAUGGCUGUCAUACAACAUUACUAGAUCACUUGGCAUAAAUACUUUUGGGUGGAGUUUACUAUCGUAAUAGCUCUUCUAGUGGCACUGAAUAGCUUCCAUUGUCACCAAAGCUGAAGCCCUAAUCUCAUCUAAUUUUUCCAAAUCUAUCAACCGAUAUUCGAGAGAUUUAGUGUCACCCAAUCGUUCAUCCAAUGUAAUUCAUAAACUUUGAACCUCCAAUUCUAUUGGUAAUAAUGCCUCUUAUCCAUAUACCAAUUGAAAAGGUGUAGAAUUAGUUGACACUUUAUACGCAGUACAAUAGGCCCACAAUGCAGUAAAUAAUUUACUGUUGCAAUUGAUUUCCACUCCUGAAAUAGCCUUGGUUAAGAUCUUAUAUAGGAUACUAUCGAUCUUUUCUGUCUAUCCAUUGGCUUGUGGAUGAUAAGGCGUGGUUUUGCGAUGCUUGAUCUCAUACUUUGCUGUUAAUGCUGCAAUUGUUGCAUUAAUAAAAUGUGUUCCGUGAUCACUUACCAAUUCUUUCGGACAACCAAAACGAGUGAUAAUACUCUCAUAUAAAAAUAUUGCUAUGAUCAUGGCAUUAUCAAUUUUUGUUGUCAUUGCCUCCGCUCAUUUGGUGGCAUAAUCGGUGGCUACUAGAAUAUAUCGUUUCUGUCCAUUUUGAGAAGCAGGUGCAAUUGGUCCUACAAAAUCAAUACCCCAUUUUUCGAAUAGUGCCUGUGCCAAAAUUGGUACCAAUGGCAUUGCAAAAGUUUCAGUAGGGCGAUCAAUUCAUUGGCAAGGAUCACAACCACGAACAUAUUGGUGUGCAUCUAAAAACAUUGUUGGCAAGCAAUAUCCAGCCAUUAAAGCUUUACGCGCGGUACUAUUACCUGCAAAAUGUCCUCCACAGUUGUUCACGUGAUAUCCUUUUAAUAUUGUACAAACUUUACUUUGAAAUGUGCAAUGGCAUAAAAUUCCAUCCCGUCCUUGUAUGUACAAGGCAUCACCAAUCAUGGUAUAUGAUGCACUUUUUAAAAUCAAACGCUUCUUUAAUUUUUCACGAUAGGAUGUCAAAAAAGUCUAAAACGUGAGAUAUUGGAUCAAUUCACCAUAUUCGGAUGUAAUGACAUCUAUAGCGAAUAAUUGUGCAUUUGAAAGGGCAUCGUUUAUCGACUCAUUACCUAGUAUAUUAGAUAAGCAGGACAAGUAAUCCGCAUUAGCAUGUUUCUUGUGAGGUCAAACAUUAAUCAUAAAGUUAAAUUUCUAGAGAAGUAACACCCAUCGAGAAAUUUGGCUACUCAAUUGAGGUUUAUAUAUCAUAUAUUUAAGUGCAUCAUGAUCAACGUGAAAUACAAAUGGAUAUCCGAGUAGAUAGUGGUAGAAUUUUUGUACAAAGUAUAUCAUUUCGAGGGCUUCUCGUUUGAUAGUAUUAUAGUUGUGUUAUGCCAUAACCAAUUGUCGACUCUCAAAAUAUAUUGGAUGAUCACGAUUAUUUUUAUCUUUCAGACUCAAUAUCGAUCCAAUCGCUACAUUGGAUGUAUCGACAUAAACCUGAAAUGGUUUUGUCCAGUACGGGGCAAUCAGUAUUGGUACAAAUACCAAUUUUUGUUUUAACACCUCAAAGGCAACACUACAUUCUGCCAUCCAAAUGGGGCUAGAUCCAUCCAAUUGUGGUUUCUUUAGCAGAUUUGUCAAUGGCUGACAUAGCACCACAAAUGAAUGAAUGAGUCGCCAAUAAUAAUUAACAUGGCCUACAAAAUUACGUACUUCUAAUACCGUUUUUGGCUUUGAUAAAGCCAAUAUUCAAGUUACUUUAUCGGGGUCUGUAGCAAUACCACGUCUAAAAACUAUGUGUUUCAAGAAUUUUUUCGAGGGUAUCCCAAAUUAACACUUCUCCAAAUUCAAAGAUAUCUCAUACUUAUCGCAUUAGUCCAGACAUUGUUCUAAAGAGUCCAAAUGAUCAACUAUAGUACUGAACCUGCAAAAAUCAUCUAAAAAUAUUUCCAUUGACACUCGUAAGUAAUCUUGAAAUGUUUGUGUCAUAACCCGUUGGAAUGUAGCUACUACGUUGUAUAAUUCAAAUAGCAUCACUUUGUAAGCAAAUGUGCCCCAAUCUGUUGUAAAUGUAGACUAGGACUGGUCUUCCUUGGCAAUUUUGACUUGAUUGUAACCUGAAAAACCAUCCAAAAAUGAAUAACAUUCGUGUCUAGCUAUGGCAUCCAAUAUACUGUCUGUAAAAGGUAGAAGAAAGUAGUCCUUCUUGGUAGCAGCAUUGAAUUUCCAAAAGUCUUAACAGAUUUUGAUUUUGCCAUUUUUUUGAGGUACCAUUAUCAUUGAUAAAACUCAUUUGCUAUACGAAACUGGAUAAAUAAAAGCCACGCGUAAUAGUUUAUCCAAUUCUUCUUUCACCAUCAAAGAAUAUUUUGGGUUGAGACGGUGCUAUCUUUCACAAACUGGUGUAACAUCCUUAACCAAUGUAAUGCGAUGUUCACACAUGCUUACUGGAAUACCUUUCAAAACUACAUACGUCCAAGCAAACGACGAUUUAUGCUUGAGAAAGAAUUCUUUCCACUUAUUCAACUCAUUACCUUGAAUACCCUCAUACAUCUUUACAUUCUGGGGCGCUUCAUGGAUUCCUAAGUUUAUAACCUAGAAAGUAGAUUCCUCCCUAGCUUCUGAUUUAAAAUUACCUGCUGACCCAUCAUCUUGCGUAGGAGACAACAACUGCUCGUGGCUCAUUUCUGACCUCAUUCCACUCACAUAAUUGACAACAUAUCUGAUCAUCCAUUCGGUAAAAACAUCAUCCGAGUUAGUUGCAUCCUCCUGAUGUAGUAGAUAUUUGUUGGGAUCUCCACAUUGGUAAACUCCUCUCUUUGCUAUUGAAGUAUUUUGUCCUCCCUUAAAUUGCGGUGAACCUAUAGCAUCAUUGUCUUCCUCAAUCGAUUGACUCUUGUUGUUUGAUGUAAACUCUGAUUCUGGUACUUGAGAUUCUCUGUGAUAUUGUACCGAGUAUAUCUGUAGAACAAUCUGGUUACGACCUUUUCUAAUUAUCAAGGUGCCUCGGCCCCAAUCGUUCUUAGCUUUGGCUUGAUAAAGCUAAGGUCUGCCCAAUAAAAUUGGAUAUGAUAAUGUAGAACUCUGUAAUUGGAAUACAAUAUAAUCAAUUUUGUAUAUCAAUCCCAUGAUUACAGUGGCAAUAUUGCGUAAAAUUUCUAUUGGCUUUAUCCAAUUAUGAUCUGCCAUUUGGAAGACCAAUGUCGUAGGUAGCAAUUGCUUUAGAUCCAAAUCCUCUAUUAUAUCCGCCUUCAUUAAAUUCACAUUCGAGCCACCAUCGACUUGUACCUCUAGAAUUAAAACUCCAUCGAUUGAUAUAUCGAUUGUUGAUGCUCCCGGAUUUGGAUUUAAGCUAACUUCAUGAAUUUUUCUAGUGCAGGGAUCUUCAUCAUAUUAACACUGAGUUCAAUGUAGAUCAACAUUCUGGUGCUAUAGCCAAAAGUUGCUUCAUUGUAAUUGAAGGUUGAAUAACAUCCAAAUCUUUUAGAAUGUCAUAGGGUUCCAUAUUGAGAGUAAUUCCUCAUACUCUUUUGCGUUUCAUUGGUUUUGAUUUUACUCCGUUUGGCAACAAUUCUUUCUUGACAAUUGGAAUUGCCGCUAGUAACUUUGCCAACAUUUCUAGUACUAAAGAUUCUUUUAAUGCAUAAGAUCUUUUAUUGGGCUGUACAAGUUUUAGUACUUGGUUAGUUGGGAUCGUUCUUGAUGGUCCCGGUAAAUUGGCACGUGGAACCGAAUUGAGUUCCUCGGUCUGCUGAGGUCUCAAUAUUGGGGUACGUCCCAAUACUGAUAUUGGUUCAUUUAGCCCCAUAGAUGAUGCUACUUGCUCUUCUGUGAUUGGUUCAUCUAGAUCCUGAAUUAAAUUCUUGUCUUUUUGUUGGCCUUUGAUAAGCAUUGCGUUCACUACCUCGACACAAUGUAUUUGUGAAUCCCGUUGAACAGGAUUUUUGUCCUCCGCUGGUUGGCUUAUUUGCAUGUGUUGGUCCCGAUUACUAUAAUUAAAGGACGCAUUGCACUACUGAGAAGUGUGAUCGGACUGCUUAUAAUUUCCACAUACUGAAACAUAGUCAUCACUUGCUCUUGGAUUAGGACAUUUACUUGUAUAAUAUCUGACUUGUCUGCAACGAUAGCAAUAAAGUGGUCUCUUGCCUGCUCUUUCAAGGAUAUUGGGUGUCUCUAUUAGUAUAUAAUGGCUAGGUCUGUUCCAUGUUGAAUGAGUAAAGGACCCUGGUUGAUCCAUUGGUACUGUAGGCUCUGACAUUAGCUUCGUCAUGGAUAGAUAUUAGUGGUAUCUUUGUUGGUUCAUCACCAAUCCAUGAGUAUUGGAUAUACCUUCUUGAUAAAAUUCAGAGUUUAAGAAAUUGGAAUCAUUUUUAUUUUGUUUAUUCGUUCGAUUUCCAUUCCAGCCAAAUCUAUUAUUCGUUUGUACUUGAUUGACAUUCUACGAAGUUGGUUGAAUCAUGGUCUGUUUUCCAACUUAUUGUUGCUUCCUUAAAUUCCAACAAUUGAUAGUCGUAUGCUUAUCUCCACAAAAUGUACAUUGGACCGUCAUUUGGGGUGGUGAAGAACAUUCAGUUUUCAAAUGACCUUAUCCUCUAUAAUUGUUGCACCAAACAUUGGGUUGCAUAUUGGUUGGUUUAUGCCGUUUUUCUUUAACCUUAGCCAGAUUCACAGCCAAUUCAUCCAUUUUUUUCAUCAAUGAUAACAGUAAUGAUUCAUAGGGAUCUCUUGAUACUAAUUCAUUUGACAAUUCUUUUAUAGGUAUUGGUUUUUGAUAUGCGGAAUAAGGCGCAUACGAGUGUGAUGAUGAAGGUGGUACAACUGACAAUAGGAUGACGUUCUCUAUUUCCUAUGGAAUUGUACCAUAAUCAUUCCUUCCCAAAUAACUGUCUGAUGCGUCAUUCCAAUUAUUCAUUUAAUAACCUCCUUGAGAUGGAAUCAUCGUGGCUCCUACGAUUAAGUUCUUAUCAUAGUGACAUUCCUUCCAUACUUUUGCUCGAUCAAGAGAUGAUGCAAUGGUGGCUAAUUGGGCCUCCUUUACAAACAUCUUCAACUUUGGUGGGUGUAGUCCAUUAACCAAUAUGGACAACACAAACGAUUUUGGGAUUUGGAUAUUUGGCCAUUUUCAAAGUAUAUUUCCUACACGACUAUAAUAUGACUGUAUCGCUUUCUCUGGUACCAUUUUGUUGUUCAUUAAUUUUUUUCUAAGACGUUCUUUAAAACCAAUUGAUCGAAAAUGGACUAAAAAUGUAUUUUUUAAUGCCUCCUAAUUGAUAAAUUGUCCCACAUGUUCGUGGUUAUAUCACUCAAACUCUGUAUCUUUCAAUGUUGUUGGCAGCCAUCUCAGCCAAAUACCUUUUGUUUUUCUAUUAUUGGCUACACACGCUGUCAAGAAUUGAGACAAAUAUUGAUCUGGGUCCGCACUUGAUAAUCCCUAAAAAGUAGAUAGUGGCAUGACACUAGUCAUACGAUCGCUUACUACACCCAUUUGAAUUGCAAUCGAAAUGACUGGUGCUCCUAAUGCCAUUGAAUUUCUUGUUUCACUAAACUUUGUUUUAAAAUAAACACUACUUUUCUUUAUUCUAAUUUUUGAGCUCUCAGUGCUCCUCGAUUUACUAUUAUUUUCUGCAAAUAGUUUUAUUGAUUGAAUUACGGGUGAAAAUAUCAGAUUUUGAAAUAUAAUAUAUUUAUCUUUAUUGGCAACCAAUUUGUGCCAAUCUUAAGAGUCACUAUUGCUCGGUUCGACAGUACCCACCAUUGAAAAAAUACCCAAUGGAGUACCCAACUCUUCUACGCCUUCUUCACUUUCAGUUAACAGCCUCAAGAUUUCUGCUGGAAUGUCAACAAAGUUUUCCGCGAGUGUUCUUGGCAGUUUUUUAAAUAAUACAUACGACUAUAGAAUUAACAGUUUGUCCGAUUUUCUGAUAUGUUCGAAUGCACCAACAAGCUUGCAACCACAGUUUAAUCCAACUCUAUUGAUGCUUUCUUUUAAAAUUACAUUCUUUCUCCUCUCUAAGCAAGUUCCUUCCUUGUGCUCUUUCCUCCCUUUCUCUCAAUUGAUGUAUUUUCUUCGAUGCAAAGCUGUCGUUCUUAUUAACCAUAAUCUUGUUUCAAACACUACUAAAAUCGUCUUCUAUUAUUCAUUUUAUCACACAUUCAGUAAUUAAUUCCUAACACUCAAAGCCAUUAUCAAUCCUGGCAACGGCGCCAAAAUCUGGUUAGACGUUUUACUUAUUUCAAACUAAUCUAAUGGAAAUAAAUCAGUAUAGGAGGAUUCAAACACGGAGAAUGACUAGUUGCUUAAGCGUUCACGUUAGGGUCACACAAUCAACAACCUCUUGAAUGUAUUGUCUCUAUUUUUUAUAUUCAAAUACACAAGGAUACUAUAAUCUCUUCCUUCACUCAAUUGGUCUCUUCUUUACAGUAAUUUAGUCAUACUAAUAACUGCUAUUUCCACCAAUAUAUAUUCACUCUCAUAAUCUCCAAUCAUAAUACUGCACCAUCACCACUUUCAGAUCACAAUUACCUUCAUUCUAAUUCUUGGAAAUCCUCACUUCGAACUGUCACUGUCAAUGUUGUGCUUCUUACAUCCUCACACUGAUUCUUUCAACUAAACUACAAUCAGAUUUCAGCAUUCAAUCUUUCAUUCAAUAACAUAUAAUCCCAAUCACACUUUCAUUUCAUAAUUCACUUGACAAUAUUCAGAAACUCUCAAUCCUCUUAUUCAAAGAAAACAAACAAAAAAAAAGAGGUAGCACCAAGCUUACCUCGGCUCACAACUAUCACAGUAAUGGCAUUUACUUCUUCUCUCUCAUCCUCCUUAUGCUACUCCAAGAUAUCCACUGCUACAUCUAUGAUGAAAACUACUUCUGCUAACUAUUCAUCUAUUUUACUUGCUGAACUAUCUUUUCAGCAGUCAUCUAUUCGUGUUUAUACCAUACACUAGGUAUCUACAUUCUAAAAAUAAUUACUUAUUCUACAUUCACCUUAAACUUCUUCUAGAAGGUUCUAUAGUAGAUUCCACCUAGAUAAUCACCUUAAAUUCUUUCUAAAAUAUUCCUUCGUAAAUCCUAUAUAGUCCACUAACCUAACUCCAAUUCUAAAAACUUCCAUAAUUUUUUUAACAUGGUUCUAACUAUUUAUCUCUAUGUAUCAAUAAUACAAAUAUCUUAUUCAUAUCUUGUGACACUCAAACUGAUGGAUAAACAAAUUGAAUGAAUCAAGUUCUGAAGCAGAAUUUAAGUUAUACCAUUAAUUAUCAUCAAAAUGAUUGGAUAACUCUUUUGCCAUUGAGAGAGUUUGCAUAUAAUAAUUUAGUUCACUCUUCUACUCAAUAAAUAUUUUUCUUUUUCAAUUACGGUUAUCAUCUAUAAUUUGAAACUUAUGACUUUUCAAAAGUUAAUAAUCUUAUAGAUGAUGAUUUUGCAAAUUGUUUGUCGGAGUUACAUGCAAUAAUGAAGGUGCAGUUAAAGGAAGUUCAAAAAUGACAAAAGUUUAAUGUGGAUGUCUAUUACAAAGAACAACCAUAAUUCAAUGUGAGUGAUAAGGUAUGAUUAUUCUAUCAUAAUAUCAAGACUACUUGCCCUUGUAAGAAGUUGCACUACUAUAGGCUUGAACCUUUUUCAAUUUGUGAAUAAGUCAAUCUUAUUGCUUAUUAAUUUCACCUAUUGGAGAUUAUGAAGAUCCACAAGGUAUUUUAAAUGUCUCUUCUUCAGUCAUAUAAGACAUUAAAUAUCUUCAAAAGAAGUCAAAUGCCACAUCCUUCUAUAAAAGUAAAUAAUAAUUAAAAAUUUGAAGUGGAAGAAGUCUUAGAUUCAAGGUAGUAUCAAAAUAAGUUAAAAUAUCUUAUUCAUUAGCACAUAUAUGAUAUAAGUGAAUGUACAUGGGAGCUAGUAAAGAAUCUUGCAAAUUCAAUAAAGAGAAUUGAGGCUUUUUAUUGAUGACGUCAAUCAAAAUCAAAAUAAAGCAUAGCAAAUCUUCACUAAAAAAGAAAUAAGAUCCAAAGAAGAUAGCAAUCUACCUUCUACAAUUAUUUGUAGCUUCUAUAUAUUUAUAACCAUAUAAAAAUAGAGAAUCAUUAAUCAACAUAUUCAACUCAAGAACUUUCAUUUAUUAACUUACUAAACAAGACAUUGUGAUUGUCACAAAUUCUAAGAUGAUAUAAUUAAGAUAAAGAUCCUUAAGAAUGAUAUGUCUUAUCUUGAAUCAAUGGCAAAAUAAAACAUAUUUGAUAUCAUGACCUUAGAAGAGACUCUCGAUGUAUGGUGAUUUAAUUAAAAGUAUGAACAAUUUCUUAACAAUAUUCAAAUAAUUUAUUUGAAAAAAGUUAUAAAGGCCUCAACAACAAUGACUAACAAGAUAAUCUUUUCACCUUAGUAUGGAAUAUUAUCGAUCGUUGAGAGGAAAUAUCAACCAUCUUCAAAGAAAAUAAAGAUUAGAAUAUGUGGCAAAUACAAUUUUCUACAUCUUAGAUUUCUUCAAAAUUAGACAUCUUCUCUUUUUUAAGUGCUAUCAAGGUAGAACUUGCUAAAAUGAAGUAUACAAUGGCACAAAUGCAAGAGCAAUUGAGGGAGUUAAUGCUUGCGAUGCAUCAACUCAAUUUAUCACUAUAAGAAGCAACAAGAUUGGCAAGAAGUGAAGAUAUAGAAAUGAUUGGAGUUGCUUCAACAUCUGCACCAAAUCAUGUCUCUUCUCUUAUGGUGGAACACCCUUUUAGUGUUAGAAAACCAAGAAUUGUCCUUCCUAAGAAUUUUGAUGGCACCAAAUCAAAGUUUAGAAGAUUUAUCAAUCAAGUACAACUUACGAUUGAACUUCAACUCCAAAGCUAUCCAACUCAAAGAUUGAUAGUUAGAUUCUUUAGUAUUCUUCUUUUUGGUUGAGCAUUAUCAUGGUUUUCAUCUUUUCUUGAACGAUGAGAUCCAAUAUUGAAUAAUCUAGAGGCUUUUUUGGUAGAGUUUUGAUCCAUGUAUGGAGAACAUGAUGCAAUUUGUAUUGCAACCAAUAAGAUCCAUACUUUGCUAUAAGAUAAUCGAUUAGUAACAUUGCAUGCUUUCCAAUUUUGACAACUUGCAACUGAUAUCAAGUGGGAUGAUGCUGCACUUAUUAGCCAAUUUUUCUACAAAUUACAAUAUGAGAUAAAAAAAUUAAUGCUCAACUUAUCUGAUCCUCAAACAUUGAGUCAAGCAAUUGACUUUGCUUUGAAAAGGCACAAUCGUCUUUUUGAAUUUCAAUGUGGGAAUUGUACAAGUGAACCUCAACGUUACUAUAAUUCAAUGGCAACACCAAUAUUUCUUCAAUACAUACAUUCAGAAGUACAGAAUAUGCAAAUUGAUGCGGUACGUUUCAAACUUCUUAGUGAGCAAGAAAAGACUCAUCAUUGUUAGGAAAGAUUGUGCUUAAAUUGUAGAGAACCUAAGCACACUGCUCAAUAUUGCCAAAAGAAGUGACACAACUAUAAAAUGAGGAGUACGACAAUCAAAGAAGAUAGCAUGUCAAAAAAAAAUAAUUGUCUAACUAUAAUAGGCCCCAUGUGGCUGGAACCUUGUACAACGCAUAGUGAAGGUCCUAUCCUCUCCUCAAAAUCCUCUCCAUGUUUUAAAAUAAAUAUUUUUCUACAACCUAAAUAUCACAAAGCCUCUGCCUUUCUAGAUUCACGAACCUCACUAUGUUUCUUAGAUGAAGAAUUUGCUAAAAGACAUAGCAUAUUUUUAGUGAAGAAAACUAAACCUGUUCAUGUAGAAGUCAUAGAUGAUCGUUUGUUGUCUUCAGAAGAUGUUACUCAUGAAAUCCUUUCUAUAGAAAUAACAACUAAUGGUCAUAGUAACUUUAUAAUAUUUAAUAUCAUUAGAUCUCUUUUUAAUCCAGUCAUUUUAGGUUUAUCAUGGCUACAAAAAUAUAAUCCUAAAAUAGAUUAGACUUCUCAGAGUCUUGAUUUUUCUGAAAGUAUAACUAAGAGUGUAGUUAAUUAAGUACAAAGUCAUAAGUCUAAUAUAUUUAAACCUAUAUUUGUAGGUACAAGUGCUUUCUUGCAUGUUGCAAAAGAAGUAUCACCUUGUAUCAUUUAUGCCACACUUGUUCUAUUAGUGGAAAGACUACAAGUGGCAUUCCAAGCCAAUAUUAAAAUUUUUAAGAUGUAUUUGAGAAGAAGAAUGUGGAUACUCUUCUAGAACAUUGUUCCUAUGAUUGCUCAAUUGACCUUCAAGAAGGAGCAAGACCACCAUUUGGACCAAUCUACAAUUUAUCUUAAAUGAGAUGGCUGAACUCAAGGAAUAUAUUUUAGAGAAUUUGGCCAAGAACUUCAUACACCAUUCCAAAUCUCCAGCAGAAGCUCCAAUUUUAUUUGUGAAGAAAAAAGAUGGAUCAUUGCGGAUGUGUAUCGAUUAUCGAGGACUCAAGAAAAUCACUAUUAAAAAUAGGUAUGCGAUAUCUUUGAUAUCUAUACUCUUUGAUCAGUUGAAUCAAGCUAAGAUCUAUAUAAAAAUAGAUCCACGAGGAGAAUACAAUCUGGUAUGGAUCAAAGAAGGAGAUGAAUGGAAGAUUGCAUUUCGAACAAAGUAUGGACAUUUCAAAUACAAUGUCAUGCCUUUUGGACUUACAAAUGCAUCAAUGGCAUUCUAACAUCUAAUGAAUGAUGUCUUUUGGGAGUUUUUAGAUGAUUUUGUUGUCUAUUACCUAGACGACAUUUUAAUCUAUUCUAAAAAUAUUGAAGAAUAUGAAUAUCAUGUUUGUCAUGUAUUACAAAAAUUAAGAGAUGCGGGAAUCUAUGCCAAGAUAGAAAAGUGUAUAUUUCACACUACUCAAGUCGACUUCUUACGAUACAUCAUUUCAAAUGAUGGACUUAUGAUGGAUCGUAAGAAAUUUCAAACUAUUAUGGAUUGGAAGAUCCCAAAAAUGGUAAGAGAUGUCCAAUGCUUUUUGGAAUUUUUCAACUACUAUUGGAUCUUCAUCAAAGACUUCUCUCAAGUUGUAACUCCACUUACACGUUUGACUUGCAAAGAUAAACUUCAAUAGAAUCAAGAAGCAAAAGUAGCAUUUGAAGCUUUGAAGAUAGCAUUUGUUUUUACACCAAUCUUAUAUCGUGUCAAUUUUUCUAAGCCAUUUUUUAUGGAAACAAACACAUCAGACUUUGCUUUGUAUGCCAUAUUUUUACAAAUGGGAAUAGAUGAUAAACUUCAUGCAAUAGCUUUUCAUUCCAAAAAAAUUUCAGCAAUUGAGAUCAACUACAAGAUCCACAACAAAGAACUUCUUGUAAUCAUGGAUUCAUUUCAAGAAUGGUGCCAUUAUCUAGAGGGUGCUUCUAGCUCAGUUGCAGUAUAUACGGAUCACAAGAACCUUGAAUAUUUUAUGUCAAUACUUAUUUUGAAUCGUUGUCAAGACCAUGGAAGUAUGUCUUUGUCUAGAUUCAAAUUCAAGAUCACUUAUCAACUAGUAAAACAACAAGGUUUGUCACAUGCACUCUCUAGAUGAUCUUACCUUUUACUAAAGAAAGAAGAUCCUACUUUUAAUCAAUAAUGGACAAUUUUCUUGAAGCAAAAGUAACUUCAUCUUCAAGCAAUAAAAACAAUACUAAUAAUUGAUUCAACUUUUAUUAAGCAAGUUCACUCAAGUAUGUCUUCUAAUCCUCUUAUUCUUGAUAUUAAGGGAAAUCCUUCAAAGUUUCAUGAUACUUCCAAGUUUGAAUUCAAAAAGAAUCUAAUAUAUUUAGGAAGAUGCCUAUAUGUUCAAGAAGGAGAAGCUCGACUACGUGUCAAGGACAAAGACUCGAUGAGGAAAAAUAUACACCAAAAGGCUAUCUCGAUAUAAUAAGUCAAAAUAUAAACAAGUAGGUAUAUUAAAAGGAAACUGGAAUGGCUAUUGCCACAAGACAAGAAACUAAAGACUCUUGAACCUGGACUAGAAUCAAGAAAGGAGUUGACAAGAGUGAAGAAGCCUUCACUCUUGUCUCUAUAUAUACUAUCUAACUAGGGGCUACGUGGCGACGUUCUAUAGGACCUCCAAUAUGUGUUGCCUUUGUAGGACACAUGCCUUGACUUACAAGGCAAGUUUUUCUACGUGUCGGCCACAUAGUUAGCUUGAUCUUCAAGCUAACAACAUGUGUGGCACAUGGCCAACUUUUUGAUCACGUUUCUAAUCCAAAAAGUCAAUUAAAGACACCUAUGAAGUCAAAGCAGCGUCUAGAAAGUUUCUAGAAAGCUUCUAUAUUAAAUAUUAUAGAAUUAAUUUACUUUUAUCUACUUUUACUUACUUCUACCUAUUUCUAUAUGUAAUUAUUAGCUUACAUGAUUAUGGCCGUGACAUUACCCCCCCUUCUAGAGACGAGUUCCAUGAGGAGCGGUCAUCAUAUGUUGAGAAAAUCUAUGAUGCGACGAAUUGUAUUCGCCACAUACUCUGAUCUCUGUUCUCUUCGAAGAUGAUUGAUAGGGCCUCUCAAUCAUCGGUAGUGUCCCAUACCAAGGCGGGAAGACCACCCAGUUAUUUGAUCAUUGUUGAGGCCUUCGUAACUUCCUUCGAAUAGAAUAUUCGGAACACCAUCAGGAGUUGUUCCUACCUCUAGCAAAAUCACCAAACAUCGGGAGUCCCUUCCCAAAUCGUGAUACCAAACGCGUUGUAUGUCACCAUCUGUUCGAGGAAGAACAUGUCGUUCUUGAAGAUCUUCAUCUCGAUUAUGUCAUCUUGAAGGUUGUGACAAUCGUAAUGUCUCGUCCGGCAGGUCAGCAAACAAAGGUUCUUGAGUUGAAUCCGCUGGUUGUUGGCUCUCCAUCUAAUUAGCGUCACAAAUACAAAGAAGUUACAAACAAGGAUAGGAAAUUGAAUGUUAUCUUGCCUCAAUCUUGUCUCUUUUAUAAGAGAGAUUUUCAUCUUGGUUUUGAUGGAUGUCAUUGAUGAAAAACUUUGACUUUAGCUGAUACAUUUGCUAGAUUCCUGGAUGGCUCCAAUGUGCGUUCACUAAUAUCAUAUCCAUGCCAAUGAACAAGAUAUUCCAGCUUAUUUCGGCGCCGCCUUGAGUCUAAUAUCUCUUCCACCUCAAAUUCUUCAUUAUUAUCUACUUCUAUAGGAGGCGGUGGCAUUUGUCUUCUUCCUUGUAUAUCCACUGUCUUAUAUGGUUCAAGAAGAGACACGUAGAAUACAGGAUGGAUCUUCAUAGACUCCGGUAGAUGUAACCGAUAUGCAACUGAGUUGAUCUGUUCAGAAACAAAAAAGGGGCCAAGCCUACGAUAGUCCAACUUGUCACAAGGUCGAGUAGUCUUGAUAUUGCGACGAAGUAGUCAUAUCUUAUCACCCACAUUGAGUUGACGUUGCUCCUUACGAUAUAGAUCUGCGUUUAUCUUUUGUCGUUCUUAAGCUUCCUUCAAUUGCGUCUUCAUUAUUGCAUGUAACUCUGACAACCGAUUUGCCAUAUCUUCUGCUGCAGGAUUAUCAACUUUUGAAAAAUCAAAAGUAUCAAGUCGUGGAUGAUAGCCAUAAUUGGCAAAGAAAGGUGUUUGUUGCGUGGAAGAAUGUACCGUAUUAUUAUAAGCAAACUCUGCCAAUGGCAGAAGGUUUGUCCAAUCAUCUUGUUGGUAGUUGAUAGUACACCUUAAACAUUGCUCCAAGACUUGGUUUACGCGCUCUGUUUGUCCAUCAGUUUGAGGAUGGAAAGCCGAAGAUAGUUUUAUGUCUACUUUUAAAAUCUUGAAAAGGAUCCUCCAAAAUCUUGACACAAAUUGAGUUCCCCUAUCUGAUAUGAUAUCUUUAGGUAAUCCAUGAUAGCGAUAGAUAUUAUCAAUGAAAAGCUUAGCUGUUUUUUCACCUGUGAUAGAUUUUGUACAUGGCACAAAAUGUGCCAUCUUGGUGAAACGAUCUACUAUCACAAAUAUAGAAUCAUAAGAUCUUGAGUUUGGAAGAUCUGUGAUGAAAUCCAUAGAAACAAAAGACCAUGGUUGUUCUGGUAUAGGUAAUGGCUGAAGAAGUCCGUAAGGUCGAUGAUGAGGAAUUUUUGAUCUUGAACAAAUAUCACAUGAUUGUACAAAGUCUUUGACUGACUUCCACAUUUGUGGCCACCAAAAAUCUCUUGAUAUGAGUUCCAAAGUCUUAUUAUAUCCAAAGUGCCGUGCUGCUGGAAAGUCAUGACGUGAUUAAAGAAUACGUAAACUUGCUUCUCCUUUUGGAACAUAUAGGCGUCCUUCAAAAUAUAAUAGAUUAUUCUUAAACUCGAACUUAGAAGGAUCAUGAGACUUGAAAGAAUUAUUCUUGAUAUCAUAAAUAAAAGGGUCUGAGGACAUACUGGACUGGAUUUGCUUGAGAAAAGUUGAAUCAACAAUCAAUGUUGAUUUCAUUGCUCGGAGAUGAAAUUGCUCCGGUUUCAAGAGGAUCGUUCUUUGUUGCUCAAAAGCUGCAUCUCGUUCUUUUGGUGCAAAAUAAGAACGUCUAGAUAGGGCAUCAAACAAACCUUGUUGUUUUCCUGGCCGAUAAGUGAUAAUGAACUCGAAUCUUGACAAAGACAUACUCCAACGAGCAUGACGACGAUUCAACAUGCUGUCGUAUUACGUGCUUUUCUGCUCGAGAACGCCCCGGAUGUCUGGCUGUAGAAGGUAGUAUGGAGAUUCACCGAUAGUCAAGUAGUCUAUCAGUUUUUGACUGCUGGAAUAUAAACGACUGCAACAAUGUACCGUAAAUCUAUACGGAUGCUCUUCGACUGCUUGUCGAAGUCUUUUUUUUUUUUUUUUUUUUUUCGAGCCGAUAGGUCUCUAAACGUUACAGAGAACCCCGUACAUUCCAAAUUCUUAAUCUUCAAUACCCCUUUGUACUUACGAUCUUGUAUCCACUGACUAUCCUGUUAGAUUAACCCAAUAAAUUUCAUUCACUCCGCAUACUCAAUCCUAUAGACACCCCUUUAAUCCUUCAAUCACAGACGUAACUUGAUUUUAUAAAACAGUCAAGAGUAUUCAACCCACUUCAUUUAAAAAUCCCGAUUCACCAUUACAACACUGACUUCAGCAACGAUUGCCUCAGUGUUCCCAAAACUCUAUGAAGAAGAAAAAUCCAAAUUCUAUGUCUUUUCUUCCCCGACCCGAAGCAUGAAGCUCCUCUCUCUAAUUCCCUAGAUCUUCAAAAAAUUCCAAUGAAACCGAACUGGUAACCUUGCAAAAGCUUUGAAAACUCGCUCCCCCCCGAUUCCCCUGAAAAAAAAACCCCCCCCUCAAAACUAUAUCCCCCCUAACCUUAUCCUCUGAAUUUCUUCAAUCUUCCGUCUUAGAUCCGGAAUUGGCUCCCACUUCAAGCUUGGAUCCGAAAUUGGCUCUCGCCGUCAAGCUUUCUCCUCCGUUUUUACCUUUAAGAAAUCCAUUUACCGAAAACAAUGUUCCCUGAAAUGGCACAGAGAACAGGACAGCCUAAAACAGAAUCGAAUCCCGAAAUCGGAACCACAUUGAGUCGCCCGACCAAUUCAGGUCCUAUAUUGGAAAAGAUGCCCCUAGAAACCGGGAUGUUCCCAUAAUUGAAUCAAAUUGGUCUUCGCAUCAGAUUGGCUAAGACCCGUAGUAAGACCUGGAUUUCUCGUAAUUAGACUGCAUUGGGUUGACCGGCCAAUUCAGGUCUCAUAUUGGAUAAGAGGAUAGAUUAGAUUAUCGAAAUUGGAUCCAAUUGGCUCCUCGAACCCGUCGUGUGAAUUGGUCCUUCUCUUCCUACUGACUCCCGUUAUUGAAAUCAAACGGGGCAUUUCAGUAUGCCCCGGCUGACUAUAACGGAGUCACUGAACCUGACCACUCAGUAUUUGUACUCGAGUUGGUCGAUGCUCCCAAUAUUCGAGGCAACUGAAUAUUAAUAAAAUUCCCCUUCCUUUUUAUUUUCACUGUAUACUCGUGUUACAACACGACAUCCACGCCCUCUAAACCUGUGCAUCCUCCGGUAUGCACCAAUUUACCCAAUUGUUGUUUGAUUCAGAAUAUAUCCCCUACGUCUUUAUCUUUUUCGUCUUCGUCACCUUCAUUAUCCAUAUCACUUUCAUCUUUUUCCUGUGGAAUCUCUGUACCUUCAUUAAGGUCUUCCAUAUUCAUCUCUGCGUGUCUUCGUUUAAAUAUUUUUACUCGCUUCCCUGCAAUUGGUAUUUUCAAUUUUAAACCAUCUAACUCCCGUAAUGAGUAAGUCGCAUUAUCAUGAACAGUUGUUACAACAUAUGGUCCAAACCAACGUUUUGAAAAUUUCCGCAAAGUUCUAUGUUGAUUAUCCAGACUAUUGUCAUAAACAAGUAUCCAGUCACCUUUCUCGAUUGCUUUUGGUCUCAAUCGAUGUUGCUUAUCAAAUCGCGCCUUGUUUUGUAACCUUGCUCUUUUUAACCUUUCCAAUGCUAUCUGGACAUCUUCCGUUCUUUGCUCCAAUUGUCGAAUCCUAAUAGCCAGAAGUUCUUCUUUUGUCAAUCCAUCUUCCCAUGGUAGCAUACUCCAAAUAAGUACCUUUUCUUCAAUCGGCAUAAUUGGUUUUUGACCUGUCAUAAGUUCUACUGGCAUAUAUCCUGUCACCGAACUAUGUGUUGUUCGAUCAGCCCAUAAUGCAAAUGACAAAAGCCGUGGCCACUCUUUAACCUUCCCAUUACAAGCUUUAACCAAUGCUUUCACAAUCGGCAGGUGACCAAGUUCGCUUUUUGCAUUCCCUUUCGGAUUAUAAGCAGUAGUCAGUGAUAGCUUAACUCCACAUUUUUCAAAGAACUUACGAGCUUCUUGUGCAUUUAAUUCUCCAUGAUCUGCAGUGAUUUUUUCUACGCACCCGUAACGGCAAAUGACAUCUUCAAGCAAAAACCUACAAAUUCCCUCUGUAGAUUUUGUCCUCAAUGCUCUUCCUUCUACUAGAUUUGAUAAAUCUUCACGAGCUAAAACCAAAUAUCUCAUCUGCCAUAACCCAACCGGCAUAAUAACCAAAUCAACAACCCAUUUAAAAUGAAUAGCUAGAGGAUAUGUAGGAUGAAGACCAUCUCGAUGUCGGAUAUUAGAAUACGAUUGACAGAUUUCACAUGACUCUACAAAUGAGAGCACAUCUCGAUACAUAUUUUUCCACCAAUAUCGUUCCUUGAGUUUAGCAAAAGUAGCCCAGAUUCCUCUAUGCCCUGCCCAUAAACUAUCAUGAAACUCUUUUAAUAAUUUUAGUUUUUCUUCCCUUUAGCCUAUCACUCGUUGUGGCAUCCCAAUUCCUUUCUUCGGUCUCUUCCAUAAGAAUCCAUCUCGAAGUAAAAAUCCAUAUGCUUCUUUUCUUAUUUGUUUGAAUUUUUCUGUAGACAAAUUCCCCUGUUUAGACAAGGUAUUCAAAUAAUGACCAAUAUCCAAUAAUUCUCCUUCAUAAGAUUCUUCAAGAAAUAGCUUGUCUUCUCUGUUGACAUUUGAGAUUGAAUAGAAUUUCAAUCCGACAUCAUCAAUGUCUUCAACCAUUUCGUCCUCCCUCUCGUAUCUUGCUCGAGAUAGCAUGUCUGCUACUAAAUUGUCCUUUCCAAUGAUAUGCUUAAAUUCUAGAUUUAGUGACUUAAUAUAAGCAAUCCAUCUCAACAUUGUAAUAUCUGGCGUUGAACAGUUAAUAAUCAUUCCAAGCAAUGGCAAGCAAUCUGUUUCAAUUACUACUACUGCCCCAAUCAAAUAGUCCUUUUCAGCUUUCAUAGCCGAAACGACCCCCCAAAGUUCUCUUUUGAAUUGCGAAUAUGCAUGUUGAUGAAUAGUUAAAAUUUUAGCCCCAAAUCAAACUGCAAAUCUACUCCCAUUCGAAUCAUCUUGACCCACAGCCCAUCCAACAGUAAUUGGACUAGCGUCUACAGUAUGAAUCACUCGUCUAUUGCACUUAUAAUCAACCUUCCUCAAUAUUGAAGGUGACAUCAAUAAUUUCUUCAAUCUUUACAUUGCUAGAAUUUGCCUAUCUUCUCAUUUAAAUCGGUAACCCUUGCGUAACAGUUCAUAUAAUAGAUCCGCUAUGUAAGCAAAAUGAAGGACCCAGAUUCGAUAAAAUAUACAUGCACCUAAAAACCUGCGAACCUCUGUUAAAGAAUCACAAUCCUCUUUCAUCCUUCCAAUUGCAUCAUUUAAGUCGGAUCUGGUUUUCUUCCGUAAGAUCCACAUAAAUGUCCAACAAUUACAACCUCUCGUACUCCAAAUAUGGACUUCAUACCCGAUAAUGUAAGAUGAACUUCUCCAAGCUGAGUUAAAAACUUUUCACAAUCUUGUAUAUGAUCAACAACAUAUUUGCGACAUCCCCUCGUAUCUAAAGUUUCAUCCUUGUCUCUUUCUCUGCAUCCUUUUAUAGGAACAUCAUCCAGAAAAGGCAUAGUCUUUUCCGGAAUAAAAUCCCUCAAUACCUUAUUCAUCCCAUUCAUCAUAUGCGCAACUGAAUUGAUCGCGCCUAGAGGAAGAGUGCACAUUCUAACCAAUCCAAGUGGUGUCCUCAUCGUUGUCAUAUCUCUACUUCCUUCGGCAAGUUGAAAUUGAUCAUAACCUGAAUACAAAUCACCGAUUGAAUAGAUCGCCCUUCCAGCAAACGCCUCAGCAAAUUCAUCCACAAUAGGUUUAAUUCCUGCAUUCCUGACAGUUAAAGCAUUCACUGGCUGCAUAUCUUGAAUAAACCGUUUUGACCCAUUCUUCUUAUGUACCGUAAACCAUCGACUAGAAUACGGCACAAAUGAAGUUUUUAAUAUUUUCAUCUUUAUCUUUUCUUUCAAUAGUUCCACCAAUUUAGGUAAAUGUGCCCUCGGUACUAGAAUCGGUCUUAGAUUCCAAGGUACAUGCGGUACAAUGUAGGUAACCAUAGGUGUUAUAAUAUUUGGAUCCACACACCCAAUUUCAUGAGAUUCGAAGGCAAACGAUCUACCUUGUUUAGCCAACAUCUUUUUGAAGCAAGUAAUUUCCUCCGGCAAUAAAGAACCAUCAGAACCAAUCUUCAAUUCUUCAAAAGUCUCUUCAGUAAAUUGAUGUCCAAUACUCAUUGGAUCUCUUAAACUUGCUUCUUUUGAUGCUUCUCCCAUUUGUUCUUUAGAAUCCUCUGGUAAUGGUCCAGGCUUUACCUUCUUAUCAGCCGUUUUAUAUCUCGUCUCUACUGUGACUUCUGGUGCUUGAAAAGAUUCAAGCAUGGUAUAAACCUCUCUUGAAUGAAUCUCAACAAUCUUAUCAUUAUCCCCUAAUCCAAUAGAUGUAAUCAAUUCCAAUGAAUCUUCCAGUCCAUUUUCAUCACAAACACCCAAAAUCUUCUCAUCGUCUUGCAAUAUACCUAUCUUGCGUAAUUGUCCUUUAAUAUCAUAUAAUCUUUUUCUUUCCUUUCUUUGAAAAUCAUCAACCUUCUUAUACAUAAUAUUUCCAUUCUCCAAUAUACCAAUAAAACUCGCAUCAAAGGCACCUUCAUCUCGCGAGAGUACCUCCUCUUUUGUACCUCCAUAAUCUCGCUUUACAAUGGUACCUCCCCAAAAUCCUUAAAUCCUUCAACAAUCUUUGGCAAUGGUUUCUCCCUCAACCUAUCUCGAUUCCGUUCAUGGUUAGGAGGUACUGUUAGAAAUUGUACAGCUUUCCUCCCAUCUUCGCUCCGUACCCUUGCAUAAGCAGAACCAUGGUCAAGUACCUUUGUUUCCAUCCGUGUUGCCGUGAUAUAAGGUUGUCCUAAAAUCAACGGAUAAGACGUUGUAUCUUGAACGAAGAAAUGUUGCUUCGUCGCAACAUCCCCAAUCCGAAUUUUGACAUCUGGACAAGCUCCAUAUAAUUCGCCUCGUGUGUUAUUAGCUGCUCGUAUUGCCCAUCCAUGUUCCAUAUCAAUUGGCCAUUUUUGCUUCUUAUAAAGAUCUUUAGACAUGAGAUUUAUUUCAGUACCAUGGUCCACCAAAGUAACUAUUGGUUCUUCUAUAUCUCCUACCUUCACCAAUACCUCAGUAGUUGUCCCCGCCCAAUGCUUUCGAGUAUAAUGGCUCAAAGUUUCCAUUUCCUUGUCACUAGAAUCUUCGAAACGUACUCGCUGAUUAUACCCAUUCUUUUCAUUUGUUGGUUGCUUGUAACCAAUAUCAACCUCUUCUUCAUCUCUACAUAUUCUUGCAUCAAUAGCAUGACUCAUUCAAGUUUCGUCCAUUAAUUACCUCUUUCGCUUAAUGCUGUCAAUGAUAACAUCAUGAAACUCCUUCUUUGCAAUUUCCAAGACUUCUUUCAAUGUGAAUUCCACCUUAGCGUUUAAUAUACGUUCUUCCAACACUCCUUUCAAAUUUGUUGCCGCUUCAAUGUCAGAAAGUAGUUUAUAAGCAAUUGAUUUGCUCUUAUCUUUUGUCUCCGUUGUUUUUUCUCCCAAUGAUGCUGAGGUAUCCUUUACAUGCAAUUCUUGUGAAGCUGCCUCUCGAGCCUUGUCUCCUCGAGUUUGCCUCUUAAAAGAAUUUCCUUCUCUAGUAUCAUCAAAAUUUCUUCAUCUUUUUUCUUCCAUCAAAGCUUCAUGUUGGCUCUUAGCAAUAUAUGCAUGAACUGAAAGAGACUCAACAAGAUCCUUCCAACCUGUUCUUCCUCAUAUUGUAGCUGCAGUUCUCAAUAACGCUUCUCGAGGUAAUUUCCCUUCUUGCAUUGUAGAAACGGCAGAAGUCCAAAACUCACUAGUUUCCGUACUUCCACCAAUUUCAUCAUCUACUCUAGCACCAUAACUUGCACUUUCUCAUACUACUGUUUCAUGCUCUUUUAAGUAAUCUUGAACCAAUGCUCUCAUUUCUCCCUUGCCAAAAUUGGUUUGAAGAAAAUCCUCAAUAUCUUUCAAUACUAUCUUCCCAUCUUUCCAGCAAAUAAUUCCCUGCCGUAUCAUAUUAUUAAAUUCAUUGCAAUCUUUUCUAGUGUGUGAAGCAUCAUCACACCAAAUGCAUCUUUGUACAUAUCCUUGUUUUGAAACAUUCUUCGAAUUGUUUAUAGAAGUAUUCUCUUCAAGUCUUGCCAAUUUGAUUUGAAGAUCUCGCAUUCCUCGUAUAAUUUCUUCCAUACGAAUAUCUGCUUUCUUAGACAAGGAUGUCGAAGGUUGAACUAUAGGCAUUGUCGGUGGUGUUGUACGUACUGGAGCUUUGGGUGCUUGUACUGUUUUUGGAAUAUUGCUCCUAUCCUUCCUCCUUUCUUUUUUUGUAAGCAACCCCACUGCAUCUUCAACGUUCUUCCACUUCAUUUUCAAUCCUUCAUCUUCUUCUUUGUCUUCAAGAAGGGGUUCUAAUUUCUCUUGCAAUUCUCCAUCAGCAGCUUGAAGAAAUAGAUCAACUUUGUUCGGCUCGAAUGUCAAUUUUUCUACCUUUGAUAAUUGAGAGUACUGCCUCUCAAAUUCCCUUAGUAGCUCUGUUGCUUGCAAAUUCUUAUUGGGCCGUUCAAUCCAUUUCAAAAACAGCUUCUUAGUAACGCGAUCAGCAUCUUCCAAGAAAUAUUCGUCUUUCAAUGCAUGUGAAAAAUCCUCCCAUGAAUUCCCACAACGAUCCGUAAUCGAUGUAAUGUGGUCUCUUAUCUCCGGUAUCGUGGCAAGUCCAAAUAGUGCAACCAUUUUCUUCUCAGAAAUCCGAUUUAAUUCCAUUUCACGAACAUAACAUCUUAAAUACUUUGAAAUAUUCCUUCCAUCAAAUUGAUCAAUUUUAUUGACCACUGCUUGCAAUGCUUUGGUUGCCAAAGCUUCCUUUCGAUCAUUGCUUAGCUAUUGCUGCAUUGACAAUGAGAAGGCUUGAAACAAACUAGCAAUAGACGGAUCCAUGUGCAUACCUUGUCCUUUAGAAGACUCUCCACCAGAAACUUCUCCCAAAAAUCCUUCAAAAUUUUUAUUUUCGUUUUCUAUAAAAAUAUAGAUAAAAUCAACCCAAAUCCAAUACCUUCCACCUCAAGCUUUCACGUCGGGUUCACCACUUAUGUUGUAUUACGUGCUUUCCUGCUCAAGAAAGCGUCCAGCGUCUGACUAUAGAAGGUAGUAUGGAGAUUCACUGAUAGUCAAGCAGUCUAUCAGUUUUUGACUGCUGGAAUAUAAAAGACUGCAACAAUGUACCGUAAAUCUAUACGGAUGCUCUUCGACUGCUUGUCGAAGUCUUUUUUUUUUUUUUCUUUUCCCAGCCGAUAGGUCUCUAGACAUUACAGAGAACCCGGAACAACCCAAACUGUUAAUCUUCAAUACCGCUUUAUACUUACGAUCUUGUAUCCACUGACUGUCUUGUUAGAUUAACCCAAUAAAUUUCAUUCACUCCGCAUACUCAAUCCUAUAGACAUCCUUUUAAUCCUUCAAUCACAGACGUAACUCGAUUUUACAAAACAGUCAAGAGUAUUCAACCCACUUCAUUUAAAAAUCCCGAUUCACCAUUACAACACUGACUUCAGCAGCGAUUGCCUCAGUCUUCUCAAAACUCUGCAAAGAAGAAAAAUCCAAAUUCUAUGUCUUUCCUUCCCCGACCCGAAGCAUGAAGCUCCUCUCUCUAAUUCCCUUGAUCUUCAAAAAAUUCCAAUGAAACCGAACUGGUAACCUUGCAAAAGCUUUGAAAACUCGCUCCCCCCUGAUUCCCCUGAAAAAAAAACCCCCCCCUCAAAACUAUAUCCCAUCUAACCUUAUCCUCUGAAUUUCUUCAAUCUUCCGUCUUAGAUCCGGAAUUGGCUCCCACCUCAAGCUUGGAUCCGAAAUUGGCUCUCGCCGUCAAGCUUUCUCCUCCGUUUUUACCUUUAAGAAAUCCAUUUACCGAAAACAACGUUCCCUAAAAUGGCACAGAGAACACGAUAGCCUGAAACAGAAUCGAAUCCCGUAAUCGGGACCACAUUGAGUCGCCCGACCAAUUCAGGUCCUAUAUUGGGAAAGAUGCUCAAUUGGAUCAAAUUGGUCCUCGCGUCAGAUUGGCUAAGACCCGUAGUAAGACCUGGAUUUCUCGUAAUUAGACUGCAUUGGAUUGACCGGCCAAUUCAGGUCUCAUAUUGGAUAAGAGGACCCGGAUUGGAUUAUUGAAAUUCGAUCCAAUUGGCUCCUCGAACCCGUCGUGAGAAUUGGUCGUUCUAUUUCUUCUGACUCCCAUUAUUGGAAUCGAAUGGAGCAUUUUAGUAUGCCCCGGCUGACUGUAAUGGAGUGACAGAACGUGACCACUCAGUAUUUGUAUUGGAGUUGGUCGAUGCUCCCAAUAUUCGAGGUAACGGAAUAUUAAUAAAAUUCUCCUUUCUUUUAAUUUUCAUUGUAUACUCGUAUUACAACACGACAACGCGUGCUGACAUGAGGUACUCGAGGUUCUUGUGAUUUGUAUACACAGUGACUCGACUAGAAGCUCCUUCUCAAUAAUGACGCCAUUCUUGAAAGAAAUCCACGUUCGCAAGAAGUUCUUUAUCGUGGAUCUCAUAAUUGAUCUCGGCUGCUGAGAAUUUUCUUGAAUGAAAAGCUAUCGGAUGAAGUUUGUCAUGUGUUCCCAUUUGUAAUAAAACUGCACCUAAAGCAAAAUCUGAUGCAUCUGUUUCCAUAAAAAAUGCCUUGGAAAAAUCAACACGAUAUAAGACUAGUGCAGAGACAAACGAUGUCUUCAAGGCUUCAAAUGCUGCUUCCGCUUCUUGAUUCCAUUGGAAUUUAUCUUUACUAGUCAAGUGUGUAAGUGGAGCUACAACUCGUGAAAAAUCUUUGAUGAAGAUCCGAUAGUAAUUGGCAAAUCCCAAGAAACAUUAGACAUCUCUUACAGUCCUUAGAAUCUUCCAAUCCAUGAUUAUUUGGACUUUCUUAGAAUCCAUCAUGAGACCAUCAUUUGAAAUGAUGUAUUCUAAAAAGUCAACUUGAGUAGUGUGAAAUACACACUUUUUCAUCUUGGCGUACAAUCCUGCAUCUCUAAGUUUUUGUAAUACUUGACGAACAUAUAUUUCAUGUUCUUCGAUGUUCUUGGAAUAGAUCAAGAUAUCGUCUAGAUAGCAGACGAUAAAAUUGUCUAAGAAUUCAUGAAAUACAUCAUUCAUGAGAUGUGGAAAAGCAGCUGGUGCAUUCGUGAGUCCAAAGGGCAUGACAUUAUAUUCGAAAUGUCCAUACCUAGUUCGAAACGUAGUCUUCCAUUCAUCUCCUUCUUUGAUCCGUACUUGAUUAUAUGCUCCUCUUAGAUCUAUUUUUGUAUAGAUCUUAGCUUGAUUCAACUGGUCAAGGAGUCCUGAUAUCAAAGGUAAUGGAUACCUGUUCUUGAUUGUGAUCUUGUUGAGUCCUCGAUAAUCAACACACAUUCGUAAAGAUCCAUCUUUUUUCUUUACGAAUAGAAUUGGAGCUCUUGCUGGAGAUUUUGAAUGGCGUAUGAAAUUCUUCGCUAAAUUCUCGUCAAUAUAUGUCUUGAGUUCAGCCAUCUCAUCUUGCGAUAAACUGUAAAUUGGUCCAAAUGGUGGCUGAGUUCCUUCCUUGAGGUCGAUUGAAAAAUCAUAUGGGCGAUGCUCAGGAAAAAUAUCUACAUUUUAUUUCUCAAAAAUGUCUUGAUACUCUUGAUAUUGACUUGGAAUGCCAAUUGAAGUCUUUACGUUUUCAGAAAUAGGUGCAACAUAAAUAGCAAAAGUUGAUCCUUCUUUUGCUGCGUGUAUAAAUGCUUUUGCACCUAUAAGUACGGGUUUUACUAUAUUAGACUUAUAAUUUUUUACUUGGUUGGUAGAACUAUUAAUAACGCUUUGGAAAAAGUCAAGUUUAAGCGAAUUCCAAUCUAUUCGAGGGUUAUAUUUUUCUAGCCAGGAUAAACCUAAAAUAACUGGAUUGGACGGGGAUUUAAUUAUGUUAAAAGCUAUGUAGCUAUCAUGACCGUCUAUUGUUACUUUUAUAGGAUGAGUUUCAUGAGUGACAUCUCCAGAAGACAAGGGACGACCAUCUAUGACUUCUAUAUAUACUGGUUUAGGUUUCUGCACAAAGGGUAUUUUACAACUUUUAACAAAUUGUUCAUCUAAAAAACAUGUUGAGGCUCCCGAAUCUAAUAAAGCAGAGGCUUUGUAAUUCUUAGGUCCUAAAUAUAAGUCUAUUAUAAAACAAGGAGAGGGUUCUGAGGAGAGGAUAGGACCUUCAUUAGGAAUUGUACAAGGUUCCAGCUGCACGGUCCCUAUUGUAGCUGGACGAAUCCGUUUUCCGACAUGUUGUCUUCUUUGACCGUCGUACCCCUCAUUUUAUAGUUGCGUCAUUUCUUUGGACAAUGUUGAGCAGUGUGCUUAGGUUCUCCGCAAUAUAAACAUAAUCCUUCUUGACGACGACAAAUCUUUUCUUGCUCAUUUAGGGAUUUAAAACGUACCGCGUCAAUUUGCAUGUCUUCUACUUCUGAAUGUACGUUUGGCAAAGAUGUUGAUGUUGCCAUUGAGUAAUAACGUUGAGGUUCCCGUCACUGAUUCUCGGAUCGAAAUUCGAAAAGUCGAUUAUCACAUUUUACCGCAAAAUCGAUUGCUUGACUCAAAGUUUGAGGAUCAGGUAAGUUGAGCAUCAAUUUCUUUACUUUGUAUUAUAAUCCAUAAAGAAAUUGAUUGAUGAGUGCAGCAUCAUCCCUCUUCAUGUCAAUUGCAAGUUGUCAAAAUUGUGAAGCAUAUACUGUUACUGAGCGAUUUCCUUGUCGCAGAAUUCGGAUCUUAUUUGUUGCAACACGAGUUGCAUCGUGUUCACCAUACAUAGAUCGAAACUCCGCCAAAAAAGCUUCCAAAUUGUCCAAUAUUGGAUUUGGUUGUUCAAGAAAAGACGAAAACCACGAUAAUGCAGAACCAGAAAGUAGAGUGCCAAUAAACCUGACUUGUGAUCCUGGAGUUGGAUAGCUUUGCGGUUGAAGUUCAAUUGCCAAUUGUACUUGAUUGAUGAACCCUCGAAACUUUGAUCUCGUACCAUCAAAUUUCUCAUGUAAGGCAAUUCUUGGUUCUCUAGUGCUUAUAGGGUGUUGUACAAUUGGAGAAGGAACGUGAUUUGUUGUAGAUGUUGAAGCAGCUCCGAUCAUCUCUAUAUCUCCACUUUCUGCUAUUCUUGUUCUUUCCUGUGUUGGUGAAUUGAGUUGAUGCAUCGCAAGCAUUAACUCCCUCAUUUGCUCUUGCAUUUGUACCAUUGCACUCUUCAUUUCAAUGAGCUCUGCUAUAAUGACACUAAGAAGAAAAAUUUGUUUGAUAUUGCUCAAGACAAAAGAAAAGAAAGACUUGAUAACAAAGAAGAUACUAAGAACAAUAUCAGUUUAGAAGUGGGUAAUCCGCAAACUUCUAAUAGGCUUAUGUCUUGUCAAGAGAAAGGGGUAAUCCACUCUUACUCAAGAAAAAAUAAAGCUCUGAUAUUGUAAGUGUACUCUUGUCAAUCUGUCAAGGACAAAGACUCGAUGAGGGAAAAUAUACACCAAAAGGCUAUCUCGAUAUAAUAAGUCAAAAUAUAAAUAAGUAGGUAUAUUAAAAGGAAACUGGAAUGGCUAUUGCCACAAGACAAGAAACUAAAGACUCUUGAACCUGGACUAGAAGCAAUAAAGGAGUUGACAAGAGUGAAGAAGCCUUCACUCUUGUCUCUAUAUAUACUAUCUAACUUGGGGCUACGUGGCGACGUUCUAUAGGACCUCCAAUAUGUGUUGACUUUGUAGGACACAUGCCUUGACUUACAAGGCAAGUUUUUCUACGUGUGGGCCACAUAGUUAGCUUGAUCUUCAAGCUAACAACGUGUGUGGCACAUGGCCAACUUGUUGACCACGUUUCUAAUCCAAAAAGUCAAUUAAAGACACCUAUGAAGUCAAAGCAGCGUCUAGGAAGUUUUUAGGAAGCUUCUAUAUUAAAUAUUAUACAAUUAACUUACUUUUAUCUACUUUUACUUACUUCUACCUAUUUCUAUAUGUAAUUAUUAGCUUACAUGAUUAUGGCCGUGACACUACGUGUUCUUCAAGCUCAUCAUGAUUUUUUAGUAGUAGGACAUUUUGAAUACAAUAAAACUUUAGAACUAAUAUCCAUGGACUUUUGGUGGCCUCAAAUGUGGAAAGCAAUCAACGAUUUUGUACAAUCUUGUCAUGUUUUUUUGAGAUCAAAAACUCCUUGUCAUUGACCUUUUGGACUUCUUUGGCCAUUACCCAUUCCAAAACAACCAUGGUCUUUUGUUUCUAUGGAUUUUAUCAUGGACCUUUUAAUCUCAAGUUCUUAUGACUCUAUAUUUGUGAUAGUAGAUCAUUUUAUCAAGAUGGCACAUUUUGUACCAGUUAAAAAAUCUAUCACAUGUGAAAAAAUAACUAAGAUCUUUCUUAAAAAUAUCUAUUGCUACCAUGGAUUAUCCAAGGAUAUAAUAUCAAAUAGGAGAACUCAAUUUGUAUCAAGAUUUUGGCGGACUCUUUUCAAGAUUUUAAAAGUAGAUAUAAAACUAUCUUCAGCAUUCCAUCCUCAAAUUGAUUUACAAACGAAGCAUAUUAAUAAAGUUUUAGAGCAAUAUUAAAGAUGUAUCAUUAACUACUAACAAGAUGAUUGAACAACUCUUUUGCCAAUGGUAGAGUUUAUUUACAACAAUACGGUAUAUUUUUCUAUAAAAAAAAUAUCUUUCUUUACAAAUUAUGAUUAUUAUCCACGACUUGAUACAUUUGACUUUUCAAAAGUUGAUAAUCCUAUUGCAAAAGAUUUGGUAAUUCAUUUGUCAGAGCUACAUACAACAAUGAAGGCAUAGUUAAAAAAAGCUCAUCAACAACAAAAGAUCAAUGCGGAUGUCUAUCAAAAGGAACAACUACCAUUCCACAUGAGUGAUAAGGUAUGGUUACUUUGUCGCAAUUUCAAGAUCACUUGUCCUUGUGAUAAGUAGGACUAUCGAAGGCUUAGACCAUUUUCUAUAUAUAGGUGUAGCAUAUAUAGCAAAAGAUGAUCCUUCUUUUCUACCAUGAAUGAAAGCUUUUGCACCUACUAAUAAAGAUUUGGAUGUAUUGGUCUUACGUAAUUUUACUUUACUAACUCAACCUUGGAUUAUACUAUCAAAAAAGUUAAGAUUACGAGAAAUCUAAUAUAUUUGAGGGUUAUAUUUUUCUAGCUAUGAUAAUCCUAAAAUAAUCAGAUUAGAGGGAGAUUUUAUUAUAUUAAAUACUACUACUCUAUUAUGAUUUUUAAUUGCUACAUCUAAAAGAAUAGUUUCAUGGAUAACAUUUCCAGAAGACAACAAAUGACCAUCUAUAACUUCUACAUGUACAGAUUUAUUUUUCUUCACUAAAAAUAUCUUUUGAUUUUUGGCAAAAUCUUCAUCUAUAAAACAUGUUGAGGCUCCUGAAUCUUACAAGGCAAAGACUUUGUGAUUAUUAGGUUCUAAAUAUACUUCUAUUAUAAAAUAAGGUAAGAGGUCUGAAGAGAGAAUAGACCUUUAACAAAUGUUGCACAUGAUUCUUACUGCAUGGUCCUUAUUAUAGCUGGAGAAAUUCAUUUUUUGACACAUUAUCUUCUUUGGUAAUUGUGCUCCUCAUUUUAUAAUUGUGUUGCUUCUUAAGACAAUGAUGAUUAAUGUGCUUAGCUUCUCCACAAUAUAAACAUAAUCUUUUUUGGCAACGUCGAGUCUUUUCUUGCCUCGUGAGAGGAUUAAAACAUAUCAUAACAAUUUGUAUUGAUUUUGGCUUUGACGAAUACAUUUCAAAAAACUUAGGAGUUUCUGCCAUUACUUGACUUGUUCCUCUCCUAUCAAAUCUUUGUUCUUGAUGCCUUUCAAAUAAAUAAUUAUCGCAUAUAAUGACUUGAGUAAUAAAUUAAUCCAAAGAUUCUACUUUUGGUACUGUUAAUAACAAAUCUUUGAUGCUAUCCUUCAAUCCAUAUCGAAAUUGGUUGAUAAAUGCUUUGUCGUUCCAGUCCACAUUACAAGUGAGGUUUUGGAAUUCGGUAGCAUAUAUAGUGGCUAAUCAUGAUCCUUGCCAUAAAAAUAAAAGCUUCUUCUCUGCUACUCGUUCUCGAUCACUUUCAUCGAAUGUGACCUUAAAUACUUCUAGGAAUGAACUCAAAUCAUAAAGGAGUAAUGAAUCUUUUUCCAUUAAAGGUGCAAAGCAAGAGAGAGCACUUCUUCAUAGUAGUGCGCCUAUGAAUCCAACUUGGAUAAAUCCAUCAAGAUAUUGGAAAGGAUGCAACCUUAGAUAGAGCAUGACUUAUUGCAAAAAUCCUCAAAAUUUUGAUCUUAUUCCAUCAAACUUCUCAGGCAUACUAAUCCUUGUCCUUGUCAUACUUGUAGAAGCAAAACUUCCUAGAUUUGGUUCUGACGAUGAUAUACUUGCUUCUUUCAACUACACAACUUCUUGCCGCAGACUCUAAACUUCUUCUAUAUGCAUAGGCAUAGUACUUCUAUGAUUCACAUUGGAAAUAUGUGAAAUUUCUACUCUUAGAAUGUUGACAAGCUCAUCAAGAUUUGCCAUAGUUGUAAAUCUAUUCUCACAUUUGUUGAAAGUAGCAUCCAUAAUCUUUCCUUCCAUAGACAAUUCAAACAAAUUCAAAAGUAAAAUUAGAGGAGGAUAAUCUGCAACUAUUAAAAACAAAUCUCACAAAGAAGGAUAAUCCACUCUUUUUAAAAAAAAAGAUCAGUGUUAGAAAAUAAUAUUUUUUGAUUGAAGGUAGAUAGUUCGCAAUCUUAAAAAUACUAUAAUAGAAGUGAGGUAAUCCACUCACUUCUAAAAUAAGAUAGAAAAAAUAUGUUGGUACUCAUGGCAAGGUAUCAAGGACAUGAAUCUUGAAAAAAGAGAAUCUUUAAUACAUUUUUCUAUCACUGAAGAGAACUAGAAAGUCACUCAAGAGAUGAUGUAAUAAUAACUAGAAUGGCUAUUGCCAAAAACAAGAAGACUAGAAAUCUUGAAACAAGACUAAGAUUAGAAAGGCGUUGACAAGAGUGAAGAAGGCUUCAUUCUUGCAUCCAUAUAUACUAUCAAACUAAGAGCUACGUGGCGAUAUCUUACAUGACCUUUAACAUGUGUUGACUUUACUAGCCACAUGACUUAUCUUGCAAGGAAAGUUAUCUAUGUAUGCGCCACAUAGUUCGCUUAAUCCACAAGCAACUACAAGGAGAAAACUUGUUCUACAAGCUACCAAUACAUAGUUAGCUUUUUGGUCAAGUUUCUAACCUACAAACACAUCUAAAAUCAAAAUCGCAUCUAUGAAGCUUCUAGGAAGCUUUUCUAUAAGACUUUAUGAAAUUAUUCUAUAUUUAUCUACUUCUAUUUAAUCAUAUAAGUAAUUAUUGAGAUUAAUGUAUAUGUCCAUGACAAAAAGACAAAUAAACUAUCUUCAAAGAAAAUAAAGAUUAGAAUAUGUUGCAAAUAUAAUUUUUCACAUCUUAGAUUUCUUCAACAUAUGAAGAUUGCUCCUCAUAGAACUUGUCUAUUGAAGAAAGAGUAAUAUCAUGGACAUACAUAUUUAUUCUAAUAUUUAUUUAUUUGAUUAAAUUGAAGUAAAUAAAAAUAAAUUUAUUUCAUGAUACCUUCUAUACAAGCUUCAUAAAAGCUUCAUAAACAUUGCUUUGACUUUACAUGUAUUUGUAGUUGAUUCCUAGGUUAGAAAUUUGGUCAACAAAUUAACCAUGUAUUCGUAGCUUGUAGAACAAGUUAACUAUGUGGUACACAUAUAGAAAACUUGCCUUGCGAGUUAAGAUAUGUGUCUUGCAAAGUCAACACAUUUUAGUGGUCUUAUAGGACAUUGCCACAUAGUUCUAAGUUAAAAAUACAUAUGGAGGCAAGAAUGAAGUCUUCUUCACUCUUAUCAACGCCUAUCUUAUCUUUAGUCUUGUUUCAAGACUUUCUAGUCUUCUUAUCUUUGGCAAUAGCCAUUAUAGUUUAAUAUCAUAUCAUCUUUAAAUGAAUUUCUAGUUCUUUUGAGUGACACAAGAGUAUAUUAAGGAUUUCUUCCUUGAAGAUUCAUGUCCUUGAUAUACACUCUAUUAAAACAAAUUUUUAAAAAACAUCUUUUAUAAGCCAAUUUAUCAAGAAUGUCAAAAUCAGGUACAAUGUUAGUUAUGAUAAUGCUAUAAUAUAUAUAAGCAUUGUUUAUUACAAUUUGUGGAAUUCAAUUUGAACAACAAAUUAUAAGAUGCUCAGAUUCAAAAAAUUGAACAAGGAAACAAAUAUUAAACAACUAUAUACAAGAUUGUACAUCUUUAAAUGUGAACUCACCAUAUAUUGGACAAAAAUAAACCUAAUUAUGAGAGAGCUAGUUGAUCAAAUGUUUAAAAUAAUAUAAAAUGUUAAUGCAAAAAGGAAAGAAUGACAACUCACAUGUUAAAAGGAACUAGAGAUGGCAUCGUUAAGGUUAACAGUCUGAACUCCUGCUAGAAAUCUGAACUGAGCAUGAUGCCAGCUUGUGGCCAAAAACAAGUAUGGACGUUAUUAUGCAUGUAUAAAAGGAAAGUGAGAAUUUGCAAAAAGUGAAAUAGGAUAAAAAGAGAACAGACUUAGGAAGUCGUUGAAAGAUAAGUGAAGGCGAGGAUAUUGUAAAGCCCUUCCAAGGGGAAGACAGGAUCGUGAGGAGAAUAUUUUGAAGAUUUUCCAGAACCACGUGUCGACAUCUUCGAACUGCGCUGCGUCUUAUGCGCACUAAUAUGAAUGUGUGAACACGUCCAGGAUCUGCAGCGAAAAAGAACAAAUUCGAAAAGCUGGAACACUGGGUCAAAAGCACGACCGAACCCUGCCACAUUUCCACUCCUCGAUGUUUUACCUUGCAUUGUUUCAUCCAGCCAUGUUUACCAAAACUUCAACUUUCCAUUUGCGAUUGCGUGCUGGUUUUAACUCAUAAUUCAGUGAUCUCAACUGCAUACAGAGCGAGCAUCCUCGACAUACUAUUUUAAGCGUUCAAGUGUGCCCCAUGAAGCCGGUCUGCGCGUGCAAUCGCUACGUGAUGCAUCGCAUGGUUGCUGGUGUCAGCAGCAUUCACCUCGGUGACAAUGUCAAUCAGACACACAUCCCAGCCGACUCGUUCUGUCCUACAUCCAGAACAUGCAAACCAUGAACUCCGCGACUAAUUCCUCAGUUCUUGAUUUGGGUCAGAGAAUAUUGCAACAAGAAGCUUGUGUUUUGGAGACAGACACUAAGAUUGUGCGGUUACGAGGUCUAGAUCUCGCUAACUGUGUGCAGUACUUUGAGGCUGGUCGCUGGUCAACGAUUAAAGGGCAAUGUUAAGUUUGAAUAGAUGUGGAAGGAAAAUAGACGAUCCUUAAGUUUGGAUUAUGUUUAUUGUGAGGAAAAUUACGUGCGAAGUUUUGUAUGUAGAACUGACAAUUGUUUGUUCACAGUGCUUAAACUAAUUGUGCACGUGCUUGACUGUUCAAAGAUUCCUUCUGUAAAAGGCAAUCUGAUCACUGGGUUCACAGUAUUUGUUCACCCAUCGUUAGCACUACAUCUAGUUUAGCCGUCAACCCUGCAUCUGAAGCAUUUAAGUUUUAUUUGGCUUUGUUCAAUAAACAUAUAUCCAACUCCAACCUUACUCCUUUAAUGGACUCUUCUUCACACAUUAAUAUUGUUUAUUGCUAAUGCCACAUUUAUAACAUGUGCUUCACAUCGAAACCAUGUUUCUCCAACGCUCAAAAAAAGUAUUAACAAAGUUCAGAUGUGCACUUUUCACAAAUAAUCGAGGAGAAUAAUAAAUCUACCCACAAUGUGACUUACCCUACAAUGUAAUUGGUAAUUCCACAAGAACAAUGCCCCACCAGCAACAGGCCAUCCCAAGUCAUUUUCUUGAAUUAACAGAUAGAUCAUUGAGGCUGGAAAACCCUCCAUUGCAAUGGAAUUGGGGCCAGCCAUGAGGAGCCCAGCGGCAACAAUUGCCAAACAACAGUGUAACUUGAUUUGAAGCAUCAACAGGUUGUAAAUCUUUGCUGUUUGAAAUAUCAAAAUCCUCGUCAUUAAUCUCCACUAAUGUUAAGCCUCACAUGCCCUAGAAAUGCUAAAUCUAACACUUAUUUUAGUAAAAGUAACAAUUGUAUUAUGGUAUAAGGCAUGUGGUGGUUUGAUUUGAAAUUUAAGUUGAUCAAUUUAAUAUCCUGAUUAAUGCUAAGACUGUGAUCAUCCUAAAUUUAGCAUAGACGUCAAACUAUUUUUGGGGGUGCAAAAAUGUGUCAGUACGGAUCAUCGCUUCGGUGGAACAUCAUGCCUCAUCAGACCAUCCAUUCAUUGCUUCUGUGAAUACCAGAGGAAGUUUCUUCUGGUUCAGCAAGUGGCAUGAGUUCAGAAGUUACUGUUGACGCUUAUCGGGAUACUGACACAUUAUCCACACGCACCAAGCGAGGCCAGUAUGUGGUUGCAUGGUACUGAAAAUGGAACGCAGCUUUUAUCCCGAACUAGAAGACUGAUAAUGCGGACGGCAGAAUGCUCGCCGAGACCACGUCCGGGAUGAUAACUUAAAUGUCAUACACGAGGUGUUCAUGCACUGGAGCUUGCACAGUAUUAAGGUAUUGACCGUUGAUACGGAGCUGUUCGAUACGUCCCCUAAGGCGACGUCUGUCAUUCAAGCAGCAGCCAAGUUACACUUUGCGGAAUUAGUAUCCAAACCAUUCACGAUGACGAUCUGUGUUCUCCAGGCUCUCUACGCAGACUCCACCCGCACCCUUGCCAACAAUGACCUCAGCCUUCCAGACCCCACCAUGUUCACCUCCGAGUACGAAUUCCAUCACCGUUAAAACUGAGCACGAUCGUUGACUGCGGGACAUUUCCGGACUCGUAUAAUGAGUUCCUGGUCAUGGCCGGAUUGUUUUGUUUUUUGUUUUGUCUGUUUGUUGGCACAAAUUAAAAAGGUUGCAUUGCAGGGAGUAACCAAUAGAGUUAAGAAACCUUGCCUGCCUUGGGAUUGUACGAGUGACUCGACAUAUAGUUAUAUUGUAACCCAGUCGUAUAUGCUAAUUUUGUUAAAUUGCCAUCUUAAUUAUUUACCAGAUUGCAUACAUAAGAUUUGGAUGUUUUCCAUGUCUUGUCAAAAAUUUUAAACUAGAAAUUUGGUAUAUUUUCUUUGCAUGGCAAUUUCUAGAUGAAUUUGGUCCAUUCCAUGCAACUAUAGUCUUAAAGCCAUUGCCAUAUUCUAGUUGUGACACGCUCUAUUGGCCAUUCUUCUUUGUUGAAAACCAUAGCAUUACAUUCCAAUCAUAACUUUCACAUGGUAGAUCGUCUAAACAAUGUCUAGAUUAGCUUAAAUAUGUUGAAUUGCAUGGAUAAUAGUUUUAUAAAUAUAUAGUAUUGCUAUUGAAUAUUGUACUGCAAUUGCAUAAUAUUAGGUUUUUGCAGUAUUUUGUAAAUGACAACAGAGUAUCAUUUCUAGAUUUGAGUAGUCUUAUGGCAAUGCAAGAAUCUAUGAAGAAUAUUUUUUAUAAUCCUUGCACAAGAUAAGCAAGAAACAUCAAUAUUCAUGCUUAGUUUUUCCUCUCAUUUAUUAACAACUAUUGCCUUAUGAUACAUAUUACAUAUGAAAAUUGCUUCUUUUUAAAUAUGUUGCCAAUGCCAAGUAUUCUUUCAAUUGAAAGAAAGAUUGGGAGGGAUUUGGUCCUUUUAUUUUGUGUUAUGUAAAUCAACAUACAACUCUAAAUUACCUAAUUGCUCCCUUAUCAUUUUAGUGGUGACGUCUUGAAUUGAAAUGUCUCCUAUUCAAUAAAAUCUAUUAAGGUUAAGAUUGACUCUAAUCAUUGAAUCAAAGUAAAAGCAGUUUUUUUUUUUUUUUUUUUUUUUUUUUUUAUAUUCUUUUAGAUUGUUCAAUAACUUGUAUGUUUUAAAGGAUAUAAUUCAAGUUGACAUUUUCUAUAGAAUUAGGUACAUUGCUCCCAUAGAAGUCAACUAUUAUCUUCAACCAUAAGUGAUGAUAAAGAAUUAGAAAGAGUGUCAAUAUAUUAAGGAUAUGGAUCUUGAAGAAUUGAAAGAUCAAGACACUCUUGUAUUACUCAAAAAGACUAAAUAAUCAUAUAAAGAUAAUAUAUUAAAUUAAAAUGACUAUUAUCAAAGAUAAAAAGACUAAAAAGAUUUGAAACAAGACUAAGGACUAGAAAGGUAGUAUUAAGAAUGAAGAAGGCUUCAAUCUUGCUUCCAAAUAUACUAUAUAAUUAAGAGCUAUAUGAAAAUAUUCUGUAAGACUUCCAAUACGUGUUGGCUUUGCAAGACACAUAUCUUAACUUAUAAGGCAAGUUUUCUAUAUGUAUACUACAUAAGUAGCUUGUUUUACAAGCUAUCAAUACAUAUCACAUGUGGUUAAGUUUUUGACUAAGUCUCUUACCUAUCAAUUGACUAUAAACACAUGUAUAGUCAAAAUUGAGUCUAUGAAGCUUUUAAGAAGCUUUUUUAGAAGAUAUUAUAAAAUUAAUCUACUUUUAUUCAAUCAUAUAGGUAAUUAUUAGAAUAAAUAUAUAUGCCUAUGAAAGUAUGUUAUUUAUAAUUAUACAAAAUUGGAAUUCUAUGAAAAGUCAUACUAUAGAUAUUCAUAAAAUGAGCAUAAAAGAACUUGAAGAUGAUAGAAGUUUAGAAUUGUUUUUGAAUUAUUCUUAUACAAACCAAAUUGGAUUAUAUAUAGAAUUUAAAAAUAUAAAUUAAAAGAUUAUAGAGGCUUAUAAUGCCUUAUUAUUAAGUCUAAAAGUUAUAAGAUCAUUCUUGAGAGUACAAAAGAAGGUAAGAUGUUGAGAGCAAACUUUAAAAAGUGUCACGGCCAUAAUCAUGUAAGCUAAUAAUUACAUAUAGAAAUAGGUAGAAGUAAGUAAAAGUAGAUAAAAGUAAGUUAAUUGUAUAAUAUUUAAUAUAGAAGCUUCCUAGAAACUUCCUAGACACUGCUUUGACUUCAUAGGUAUCUUUAAUUGACUUUUUGGAUUAGAAACGUGGUCAACAAGUUGGCCAUGUGCCACACAUGUUGUUAGCUUGAAGAUCAAGCUAACUAUGUGGCCGACACGUAGAAAAACUUGCCUUGUAAGUCAAGGCAUGUGUCCUACAAAGUCAACACAUAUUAGAGGUCCUAUAGAAUGUCGCCACGUAGCCCCUAGUUAGAUAGUAUAUAUAGAGACAAGAGUGAAGGCUUCUUCACUCUUGUCAACUCCUUUCUUACUUCUAGUCCAGGUUCAAGAGUCUUUAGUUUCUUGUCUUGUGGCAAUAGCCAUUCCAGUUUCCUUUUAAUAUACCUACUUGUUUAUAUUUUGACUUAUUAUAUCGAGAUAGCCUUUUGGUGUAUAUUUUUCCUCAUCGAGUUUUUGUCCUUGACAGAUUGACAAGAGUACACUUACAAUAUCAGAGCUUUUUUUUUUCUUGAGUAAGAGUGGAUUACCCCUUUCUCUUGACAAGACAUAAGCCUAUUAGAAGUUUGCGGAUUACCCACUUCUAAACUGAUAUUGUUCUUAGUAUCUUCUUUGUUAUCAAGUCUUUCUUUUCUUUUGUCUUGAGCAAUAUCAAACAAAUUUUUCUUCUUAUUGUCAUUAUGGCAGAGCUUGUUGAAAUGAAGAGUGCAAUGGCACAAAUGCAAGAGCAAAUGAGGGAGUUAAUGCUUGCGAUGCAUCAACUCAAUUCACCAACACAGGAAAGAACAAGAAUAGCAGAAAGUGGAGAUAUAGAGAUGAUCGGAGCUGCUUCAACAUCUACAACAAAUCACGUUCCUUCUCCAAUUGUACAACACCCUAUAAGCACUAGAGAACCAAGAAUUGCCUUACAUGAGAAAUUUGAUGGUACGAGAUCAAAGUUUCGAGGGUUCAUCAAUCAAGUACAAUUGGCAAUUGAACUUCAACCGCAAAGCUAUCCAACUCCAGGAUCACAAGUCAGGUUUAUUGGCACUCUACUUUCUGGUUCUGCAUUAUCGUGGUUUUCGUCUUUUCUUGAACAACCAAAUCCAAUAUUGGAUAAUUUGGAAGCUUUUUUGGCGGAGUUUCGAUCUAUGUAUGGUGAACACGAUGCAACUCGUGUUGCAACAAAUAAGAUCCGAAUUCUGCGACAAGGAAAUCGCUCAGUAACAGUAUAUGCUUCACAAUUUUGACAACUUGCAAUUGACAUGAAGAGGGAUGAUGCUGCACUCAUCAAUCAAUUUCUUUAUGGAUUAUAAUACAAAGUAAAGAAAUUGAUGCUCAACUUACCUGAUCCUCAAACUUUGAGUCAAGCAAUCGAUUUUGCGGUAAAAUGUGAUAAUCGACUUUUCGAAUUUCGAUCCGAGAAUCAGUGACGGGAACCUCAACGUUAUUACUCAAUGGCAACAUCAACAUCUUUGCCAAACGUACAUUCAGAAGUAGAAGACAUGCAAAUUGACGCGGUACGUUUUAAAUCCCUAAAUGAGCAAGAAAAGAUUUGUCGUCGUCAAGAAGGAUUAUGUUUAUAUUGCGGAGAACCUAAGCACACUGCUCAACAUUGUCCAAAGAAAUGACGCAACUAUAAAAUGAGGGGUACGACGGUCAAAGAAGACAACAUGUCGGAAAACGGAUUCGUCCAGCUACAAUAGGGACCGUGCAGCUGGAACCUUGUACAAUUCCUAAUGAAGGUCCUAUCCUCUCCUCAGAACCCUCUCCUUGUUUUAUAAUAGACUUAUAUUUAGGACCUAAGAAUUACAAAGCCUCUGCUUUAUUAGAUUCGGGAGCCUCAGCAUGUUUUUUAGAUGAACAAUUUGUUAAAAGUUGUAAAAUACCCUUUGUGCAGAAACCUAAACCAGUACAUAUAGAAGUCAUAGAUGGUCGUCCCUUGUCUUUUGGAGAUGUCACUCAUGAAACUCAUCCUAUAAAAGUAACAAUAGACGGUCAUGAUAGCUACAUAGCUUUUAACAUAAUUAAAUCCCCGUCCAAUCCAGUUAUUUUAGGUUUAUCCUGGCUAGAAAAAUAUAACCCUCGAAUAGAUUGGAAUUUGCUUAAACUUGACUUUUCCCAAAGCGUUAUUAAUAGUUCUACCAACCAAGUAAAAAAUUAUAAGUCUAAUAUAGUAAAACCCGUACUUAUAGGUGCAAAAGCAUUUAUACACGCAGCAAAAGAAGGAUCAACUUUUGCUAUUUAUGUUGCACCUAUUUCUGAAAACGUAAAGACUUCAAUUGGCAUUCCAAGUCAAUAUCAAGAGUAUCAAGACGUUUUUGAGAAAUAGAAUGUAGAUAUUCUUCCUGAGCAUCGCCCAUAUGAUUUUUCAAUCGACCUCAAGGAAGGAACUCAGCCACCAUUUGGACCAAUUUACAGUUUAUCGCAAGAUGAGAUGGCUGAACUCAAGACAUAUAUUGACGAGAAUUUAGCGAAGAAUUUCAUACGCCAUUCAAAAUCUCCAGCAAGAGCUCCAAUUCUAUUCGUAAAGAAAAAAGAUGGAUCUUUACGAAUGUGUGUUGAUUAUCGAGGACUCAACAAGAUCACAAUCAAGAACAGGUAUCCAUUACCUUUGAUAUCAGGACUCCUUGACCAGUUGAAUCAAGCUAAGAUCUAUACAAAAAUAGAUCUAAGAGGAGCAUAUAAUCAAGUACGGAUCAAAGAAGGAGAUGAAUGGAAGACUACGUUUCGAACUAGGUAUGGACAUUUCGAAUAUAAUGUCAUGCCCUUUGGACUCACGAAUGCACCAGCUGCUUUUCCACAUCUCAUGAAUGAUGUAUUUCAUGAAUUCUUAGACAAUUUUAUCGUCUGCUAUCUAGACGAUAUCUUGAUCUAUUCCAAGAACAUCGAAGAACAUGAAAUACAUGUUCGUCAAGUAUUACAAAAACUUAGAGAUGCAGGAUUGUACGCCAAGAUGAAAAAGUGUGUAUUUCACACUACUCAAGUUGACUUUUUAGAAUACAUCAUUUCAAAUGAUGGUCUCAUGAUGGAUUCUAAGAAAGUCCAAAUAAUCAUGGAUUGGAAGAUUCUAAGGACUGUAAGAGAUGUCUAAUGUUUCUUGGGAUUUGCCAAUUACUAUCGGAUCUUCAUCAAAGAUUUUUCACGAGUUGCAGCUCCACUUACACACUUGACUAGUAAAGAUAAAUUCCAAUGGAAUCAAGAAGCGGAAGCACCAUUUGAAGCCUUGAAGACAUCGUUUGUCUUUGCACCAGUCUUAUAUCGUGUUGACUUUUCCAAGGCAUUUUUUAUGGAAACAGAUGCAUCAGAUUUUGCCUUGGGUGCAGUUUUAUCACAAAUGGGAACAGAUGACAAACUCCAUCCGAUAGCUUUUCAUUCAAGAAAAUUCUCAGCAGCCGAGAUCAAUUAUGAGAUCCACGAUAAAGAACUUCUUGCGAUCGUGGAUUCCUUUCAAGAAUGGCGUCAUUAUCUAGAAGGUGCUUCUAGUCGAGUCACUGUGUAUACAGAUCACAAAACCUCGAGUAUUUCAUGUCAGCACGCGUGUUGAAUCUUCGUCAAGCUCGUUGGAGUAUGUCUUUGUCAAGAUUCGAGUUCAUUAUCACUUAUCGGCCAGGAAAACAACAAGGUUUAUCCGAUGCCUUAUCUAGACGUUCUUAUUUUGCACCAAAAGAAGAAGAUGCAGCUUUUGAGCAACAAAGAACGGUCCUCUUGAAACCGUAGCAAUUUCAUCUCGGAGCAAUGAAAUCAACAUUGAUUGUUGAUUCAACUUUUCUCAAGCAAAUCCAGUCCAGUAUGUCCUCAGACCCUUUUAUUUAUGAUAUCAAGAAUAAUUCUUUCAAGUCUCAUGAUCCUUCUAAGUUCGAGUUUAAGAAUAAUCUAUUAUAUUUUGAAGGACGCCUAUAUGUUCCAAAAGGAGAAGCAAGUUUACGUAUUCUUUAAUCACGUCAUGACUUUCCAGCAGCACGGCACUUUGGAUAUAAUAAGACUUUGGAACUCAUAUCAAGAGAUUUUUGGUGGCCACAAAUGUGGAAGUCAGUCAAAGACUUUGUACAAUCAUGUGAUAUUUGUUCAAGAUCAAAAAUUCCUCAUCAUCGACCUUACGGACUUCUUCAGCCAUUACCUAUACCAGAACAACCAUGGUCUUUUGUUUCUAUGGAUUUCAUCACAGAUCUUCCAAACUCAAGAUCUUAUGAUUUUAUAUUUGUGAUAGUAGAUCGUUUCACCAAGAUGGCACAUUUUGUGCCAUGUACAAAAUCUAUCACAGGUGAAGAAACAGCUAAGCUUUUCAUUGAUAAUAUCUAUCGCUAUCAUGGAUUACCUAAAGAUAUCAUAUCGAAUAGGAGAACUCAAUUUGUGUCGAGAUUUUGGAGGACCCUUUUCAAGAUUUUAAAAGUAGACAUAAAACUAUCUUCGGCUUUUCAUCCUCAAACUGAUGGACAAACAGAGCACGUAAACCAAGUCUUGGAGCAAUAUUUAAGGUGUACUAUCAACUACCAACAAGAUGAUUGGACAAACCUUCUGCCAUUGGCAGAGUUUGCUUAUAAUAAUACGGUACAUUCUUCCACGCAACAAACACCUUUUUUUGCCAAUUAUGGCUAUCAUCCACGACUUAAUACUUUUGAUUUUUCAAAAGUUGAUAAUCCUGCAGCAGAAGAUAUGGCAAAUCGGUUGUCAGAGUUACAUGCAAUAAUGAAGACACAAUUGAAAGAAGCUCAAGAACGACAAAAGAUAAAUGCAGAUCUAUAUCGUAAGGAGCAACCACAGAUCAACGUCGGUGAUAAGGUAUGGCUACUUCGUCGCAAUAUCAAGACUACUCGACCUUGUGACAAGUUGGACUAUCGUAGGCUUGGCCCCUUUUUUGUUUCUGAACAGAUCAACCUAGUUGCAUAUCGGUUACAUCUACCAGAGUCAAUGAAGAUCCAUCAUGUAUUCUACGUGUCUCUUUUUGAACCAUAUAAGACAGUGGAUAUACAAAGAAGAAGACAAAUGCCACCGCCUCCUAUAGAAGUAGAUAAUAAUGAAGAAUUUGAGGUGGAAGAGAUAUUAGACUCAAGGCGGCGCCGAAAUAAGCUGGAAUAUCUUGUUCAUUGGCAUGGAUAUGAUAUUAGUGAACGCACAUUGGAGCCAUCCAGGAAUCUAGCAAAUGCAUCAACUAAAGUCAAAGUUUUUCAUCAACGACAUCCAUCAAAACCAAGAUGAAAAUCUCUCUUAUAAAAGAGACAAGAUUGAGGCAAGAUAACAUUCAAUUUCCUAUCCUUGUUUGUAACUUCUUUGCAUUUGUGAUGCUAAUUAGAUGGAGAGCCAACAACCAGCAGAUUCAACUCAAGAACCUUCGUUUGCUGACCUGCCGGAUGAGACAUUACGAUUGUCACAACCUUCAAGAUGACGCAAUCGAGAUAAAGAUCUUCAAGAACGACAUGUUCUUCCUCGAACAGAUGGUGAGAUACAACGCGUUUGGUAUCACGAUUUGGGAAGGGACUCUCGAUGUUUGGUGAUUUUGCUAGAAGCAGGAACAACUCCUAAUGGUGUUCCAAAUAUUCUAUUCGUAGGAAGUUAUGAAGGCCUCAAUAAUGAUCAAAUAACUGGGUGGUCUUCCCGCCCUGGUAUGGGACACUACCGAUGGUUGAGAGGCCCUAUCAAUCAUCUUCGAAGAGAACAGAGAUCAGAGUAUGUGGCGAAUACAAUUUGUCGCAUCAUAGAUUUCCUCAACAUAUGAUGACCGCUCCUCAUGGAACUCGUCUCUAGAAGGGGGGGUAAUGUCACGGCCAUAAUCAUGUAAGCUAAUAAUUACAUAUAGAAAUAGGUAGAAGUAAGUAAAAGUAGAUAAAAGUAAGUUAAUUGUAUAAUAUUUAAUAUAGAAGCUUCCUAGAUACUUCCUAGACGCUGCUUUGACUUCAUAGGUGUCUUUAAUUGACUUUUUGGAUUAGAAACGUGGUCAACAAGUUGGCCAUGUGCCACACAUGUUGUUAGCUUGAAGAUCAAGCUAACUAUGUGGCCCACACGUAGAAAAACUUGCCUUGUAAGUCAAGGCAUGUGUCCUACAAAGUCAACACACAUUGGAGGUCCUAUAGAACGUCGCCACGUAGCCCCUAGUUAGAUAGUAUAUAUAGAGACAAGAGUGAAGGCUUCUUCACUCUUGUCAACUCCUUUCUUGCUUCUAGUCCAGGUUCAAGAGUCUUUAGUUUCUUGUCUUGUGGCAAUAGCCAUUCCAGUUUCCUUUUAAUAUACCUACUUGUUUAUAUUUUGACUUAUUAUAUCGAGAUAGCCUUUUGGUGUAUAUUUUUCCUCAUCGAGUCUUUGUCCUUGACAAAAAGCUUAAAAAGAGAGCAAGAAAUUUGGAUGAAGAUGAAGGAGAUAUGGAUCAUAUGGUUUGGAUCAUUUUUAAAAGAGCUUUGACGACCUAAAAAUUUAAAAAAAAAAAAAAAGAAAAAAAAAAAACAUAUUUUAAGAAAUAUUUUAUUUUUUUGCUAUUAACUUGUUUAUACAUGGCUUAUUAAAAGAAAGAAAGAAAGAAAAUUGAAAAUAUAAAUAAAUAAUAAAAUAUUGGAUUUAGAAUAAGAUAUAAAAUUUAUAUUAAAAAUAUUAAUUUAUUACUUAUUAGUGAAUAUUGAUGGAAAUGAGAAUAUCAAAAUACAUGACCAUUUAAAAGAUAUAGAUCAAUUAAUAGUUGAAAGAGAUUCUAUAUAUAAAGGCUCAAGAAUAUGAAACAUGAAAUGAGUGCCAAUUCAGGAAUUCUAAAUAAAAAUAUGUGACUUGAUAUUUCUAUAAAUAAAAUAUAAAAAAUCAACUAUAUUAUAAAAUAUUUUGUAUAUAGUAAUUAUGCAUACAAUAUUAAAUCAUAGUAGUAUUAGAUAGUAGAUAAGUGUUUAUAAUUAUAAAUUAUUUGAAAUUUAGCUUAAAAUUUUAAAUGAAAUAAAUAAAAAUAAAAUGUAUUAGAUGUUAAUUAUGAUUUAUUUAAUUAAAAUGACUAUUAUCAAAGAUAAAAAGUCCAAAUAUUCUUAAAAAAAGAAUAAGGACUAAAAAGAUAUUGAUAUGAAUGAAGAAGGCUUCAAUCUUGCUUCCAUAUAUAUUAUCUAAUUAAGAGCUAUAUGAAAAUAUUCUAUAAGUCUUCCUAUGCAUGUUGGCUUUGCAAGACACAUAUCUUAACUUAUAAGGCAAGUUUUCUAUAUGUGUGCCACAUUAGUAGCUUGUUUUAUAAGCUAUCAAUACAUGUGACAUGUGGUUAAGUUUUUGAUUAAGUCUCUUACCUAUCAAUCAAUUAUAAACACAUGUAUAGUCAAAAUUGAGUCUAUGAAGCUUUUAAGAAGCUUAUCUAGAAGAUAUUAUAAAAUUAAUCUAGUUUUGUCUACUUUUAUUCAAUCAUAUAGAUUAGUAUGAGAAUAAAUAUAUAUACUUCUUAUAAUAUGUUAAUUAUAACUAUACAAAGUUGGAAUAUUAUGUCAAGGAUAUGAAUUAGAAGGAGAUGCAUAAACUUAAAAAUAAAUUAUAUAAAAUAAGUAUCAAAUUAAAUAUAAAAUAGUAUAUAUAUUUAAAGUCAACUUAAACGGUAUUUCUAAAUGAUAAGUAAACUAAAGACUCUUAAAUCUAGAAUAGAAGCAAGGAAGGAGUUGAUAAGAGUGAAGAAGGCUUUACUGUUGCCUCUAUAUAUAUUAUCUAAGUAGGAGCUAGAUGACAAUAUUCUACAGGUCCUGAUAUGUGUUGACUUUGCAAGAAACAUGUUUUAGCUUAUAAGGCAUGAUUUCUUUGUGUAGACUACAUAGUUAACUUGUUCUUCAAGCUACUAACAUAUGUGGUACUUGGCCAACUUGAUGACUAAGUUUCUAAUCUAAAAAAUCAAUUAAAGACAUCUAUAAAGUCAAUGCAUUAUCUAUGAAGCUUCUAAGAAGCUACUAUAGUAGAUAUUAUGGAAUAACCUACUUUUAUCUAUUAUAAUCUAAAUCAUAUAUGAAAUUAUUGGUUUAUAUGUAUAUGUCUAUUGUCGUAUUGUAAAUACUUAUAGUAUGUAAGAAUUUGUUAAAACAUAUUAUAUGUUAAUAAAUCUAGAUGUGUGUUAGAGUGGUUAGUAGAUUAAAUUAAAAGGAGUUGGUAUAAGAAACUUUACUUUGAUUUUAUUUACUUGUUUUAAUUUUGGCAUCAAAGAAAAUAUAGGACCUCAAUAUUUAGUAUGAAGCCUUGGAAGAAAGUAGAAGCUUAAGGAUGAAAAUCUAAACUAAUACGAGGGUAAUUGGGAGGAUGAAAAUAAAGCAUAGUUGGAUAAAGGCAAGGAAUAGGGAACUUCGUCCUUAUUGGUCAAAUACCAUAUCCAAUGGGUUUUGAAGAAGCUGCCCACGACCUUAACAAGAGUUUUGGUGACUUCAAAGAAAGCAUUUUGGAAAUUAAAAGCUAGGAUUUUAAAGUUUAGGAUUUGGAUUACAAUUUUUAUGUAAAAAUUAAAAGAUUUGGAGUCAAGGUAAAAAACAUAUAGCUAUUUGAAUGUAAGGUGUUAAUUUAAGAUAUAUUGCUAUUCUUUUGAGGAUACAAGGAGUUAUACGAUAGCUUUUGAAGAUUGAAAGAUGCGACUCAAACGACAAUUUCAAUGCCUAUAUUUUUUAUGAAAGUAUUGUUACUUUUGGAAUUUAUAUGAAAGAGUUAUGAAGAGUUGAAGGUGAUGCUUUCAAAUCAAAGGUAGUGAGUGAGUGGUUUUAUUUAUGGUAAUGAUUGGAGCUAUAACUUGAGUUUUUGGAAAAAAUUUUGGCUCAAACUUUUUGACAUUGAAAUUUAUUGUAGAAGUUAAUAAGAAUAUAUCAAUACCUCAUAUAAAGUUUGAGUUUAUUUGGAUGGUUGGAUUAAGAGAUAUGAUGUGUUGAAGUUUGGAAAAUUUUUCACAUAAGGAUAUAUAAGGUUUUAGAGGAUUUUAUCAUAUUUUGGAUGUUGUUGGUUACUUGAGGCUUAUGUAUUUAGUGUAAAUGCUCAAAAAAAAAUUUAUUUAUAAACUUGGGGCUUUUCUUAUUUUAAAGCUUGAUUGAAUAAUUAGUGACAAUAAAAAACCCAUCAUUUUUUGGAAGCAAAUUCUUUCUAUUCUGACAUAUUGGUGCUUCAAGUAAGAGAGCCUUAAGGCACUAAUUAUCUCAAGAAGUUGAAAUGGAGAAUCAAAAUUCAGGGUUUAGAUUAUCUAGAAGAAAGGAUGUCCAUAAUUUAUUUUGGACAUUUUCUCAAUUUAUGGAAGAAAGGCAACAUGUGCAUGGAGACAAUAGAAGCACUAUUAAGGUCAUAUAAGUAGUAGUAGACAAAAUUAGGAGGUUUGAUGGUAGCAAUAUCACCAAUUUUUUAAGGAUUUACACAUAUAAAAUGGAAGUGCAUCAAGUUCCAGAAAUGAAGAUGAUCACUAUCUUUGAUUUGGUAGUAAUACCAAAAAUUAGAGAGAGGGUGCAAGAGUUGCAUGUAGAGGCUAUAUAAUGGAAGAAAUUUGAAGAACUCUUGAAAGAUGAAUUUUUUGAGGAUGAAUCAGAAAGAAUGACCAAGGUGACUUUUUUAGAGUGGAUUGAGCAAAGGCUAGGGAAUCAAAUGGCUCUAAAUGAAUUAAUUAGGAAAUUUGAAACUAAUUUUGGUCAAUUUUUACGAUAAUAGAGGCAACUAUUAGAAACAAGAAAAAAUAGGUUAUUUUUACAAGCAGGUGAUGAACACUUUGAAGACAAGCUUCUCUUUCACUUAGUCGACAAGCCACCUGAGAGUGGUUUUUACAAAUAAUUGGAAGCUAAAAAAAGAGAUAGUGGGACUUUUGGCUAAACAACAAAAAAUUAAGACUCGUGAUUUAAUAUCAAAAUUAGAACCAAUGACUACAUUUUAAAAUAUAGUGCUACUUCAAAAGAUAAUAAAGAUUGUUAACGAUGACACUCUUAAAGAAUUAGUUAAAAGCAUACGAGAUUUAAAGGUGGAAAUGAUUAAGUUAAAAAAAUCUCAAAUGGUAAGCUCAUCAAAGGUAGUUGAAGAUUCAAAAGGAUUUGUUCAGAGAUGUAUGUGGUUUCUAUGAGUAUUCACUAAUAUCACAGCCUUGCCAAUGAACAAGAUAUUCUAAUUUAUUUUGCCACUACCUUGAAUCUAGAAUUUCUUCCAUUUCAAAUUCUUCAAUAUUAUCCACUUCUAUAGGAGGAGGUAGAGCUUAUCUUCUUUUUCAUAUGUUUAUAGUCUUGUAUGGUUCAAGAAGAGAUAUGUAGAAGACAUGAUAGAUCUUUAUUGCCUCCGAUAGAUAUAAUUGAUAAGCAAUUAGAUUGAUUUGUCUACAAAUAGGAAAAGGUCUAAGCCUAUGAUAUUAUAACUUAUCACAAAGACAAAUAGUCUUAAUAUUACGAUGAAGCAAUCAUACCUUAUCACCUAAAUUAAAUUGUGGUUAUUCCUUUUGAUAUGCAUUCAUAUUGAUCUUCUGUCAUUCUUGAGCUUCUUUUAAUUCCACCUUCAUUAUUGCAUAUAGCUGGCACAAAUAAUUUGCUAAACCUUUUAUCAUAGUGUAUCAACUUUUGAAAAGUCAAAAGUAUCAAGUCAUGGAUAGUAACUAUAAUUGGUAAAGAAAUAUUUUAUUACAUAUAAAAAUAUAUUGUAUUAUUAUAAGCAAACUAUACUAAUCGCAAGAGGAUUCUCCAAUUGACUUAUUGAUAAUUGAUGGUACAUCAUAAGUAUUCCUUCAAAACUUGGUUUAUUUUCUUUGUUUGUCUAUUAGUGUGAGGAUGAAAGGUUGAAGAAAGCUUUAUGUCUAUCUUUAAAAUCUUAAAAAGAGUUCUCCAAAAUCUUGAUACAAAUUGAGUCUUCAUAUCUGAUAUAAUAUCUUUGGACAAUCUAUGAUAUUGAUAGAUAUUGUUGAGGAAAAAUUUGAAACUUUCUUUACGUGUGAUAGAUUUCGUACAUGGUAAAAAAUAUGUCAUUUUGGUAAAACAAUCUACUAUCACAAAUAUAGAAUCAAUCAAACUUGAAAUUAGAAGAUCCAUGAUAAAAUCCAGAGAAAUCAAAGACUAUGAUUUUUUUGGAAUAGAUAAUGGUUGAAGAAGUCCACAAGGUCGAUGGUAAGGAGUUUUUGACCUUGAACAAAGGUCAUCCGAUUGAACAAAGUCUUUUAUAGCCUUCUACAUUUGCGGUGUUGGGGUAGAGAGAAUUUGCCUCAAGAAAGCGUUGAGCUUUUGGCUGCCACUAAAUACUUAAUCAAGUCUAAAAUAUAAAAAUACCAAUUUUAUAUAUAUAAUAUUUUUCUUUUUUGGACAAUUACAUCAAAACAUAAGCCCGAGUAUGAAGAAAACACCCAAAUAUAUGAUAAAGUAUCUUAAAACCUUAUAUAUCCUUAUGAGAAAUAUUUUUUGAACUUUAACAGCUUAUAUCUUACGAUUGGAGAGUCCAAACAACCUUAAAUUAAAUAUAAAGUACUGAUAUGCUUUCAAAAACUACUACAAAAAAAUUCAAUUAUAAAUUCAUUACGGAUCUUGAGAUAUCACCAAAAUCCUAACAAUAGCUUUAAAUCCUAGCUUACAUACACCUGCGUGCUAAUUUCUUCAUAUCUCACAAAAUAAAUAUUCAAAUACCAUGAAACUUUAAUCUAUAGCUUUUUGAUUUAAUAACUCACACUUAUGGAAAUUUUGAGCCAAAAAUUUAUCCAGAAACUCAAGAUAUGGCUCUAACCAUUACUAUCAAUAAAAUGACUCACUUACUACCUUUGAAUUACAUGUGCUAUCUUCAAUGCCCUAUAUCUCCUUCAUCUAAACUUGGUAUUCAUCAAAAAAUAUAUGUAAAGUGUAGGCCAAAAAGUGUUCUUUCCAACUCUAGUCGCCAAACUUUCAUUGCUCUCUGUAUGUAUAUGUUAUGCUUCAAAGAAUGAGAGUAGAUACAAAUUUGACACCUUAACUUUGAACACCUAUAUCUUCUUUACGAAAAUUCGAAAUCAUACAAAGUAUUCACCCAAAUUAUAUCCAAAAUCCUGAAUUUAUUGACCCUAGCCUUUAAACCUCGAAUGACUUCAAAAGAGAAACCUUGAUCCCUAAUAAGGCCUUGGGUAACCUCCUUGAAGUCCAUUGGGCAUGGGCUUUGAUCAAUAGGAAUGAAGUUUUCCAUUCUUUGCCUUCAUUCAACCAUGCCUUGCUUUCAUCCUUCCCAAUAAGCCUCCUAAUAAUUAAGAAUUUCUUCUUUAGACUCUAAUCUCUUCUAAAGGCUCCAUACUUAACAUUUAGGUUUUAUAAUUUUUUUUGAAAUACUAUAAAUAAAAAGAUAAAUUCAAAAUAAAGUUUCUUAAAUCCACUUUCUUUAAAUUAAUCUAUUUAACCAUUCUAACAUACACCAAGCCUUGUAAACAUAUUAUGUAUUCUAAUUAAUUUUUACAUACUAUAGGCUUUUACAGUAUGAUAGCCGCCACCAAAAAUCUUUAGAUUUUAGCUCCAAAGUCUUGUUAUAUCUAAAAUCCUGUGCUUCUAGAAAGUUGUGACGUGCUUGAAGAACACAUAAACGUACUUCUCUUUCUAGCACAUAUAUGUGUCCUUUGAAAUAAAAUAGGUUGUUCUUGAAUUCAAACUUAGAAGUAUCACAAGACUUAAAAGAAGUAUUCUUGAUAUCAUAAAUAAGAGGAUUAAAGGACAUACUUGAUUGAAUUUGUUUGAAAAAAAUUGAAUCAAUAAUCAAUGUUGAUUUCACUACUUAAAGAUAAAAUUGUUCUGGCUUCAUUAAGAUUAUCCUUUGUUGAUCAAAAGGUACAUAUCCUUCUUUAGGUACAAGAUAAGAACACUCAGAAAGGGUAUCAAAUAAACUUUAUUAUUUUUAUAGGUGAUAAGAGAUAUUGAACUCAAAUCUUAACAAAAACAUAUUAUAAUGAGCCUACAAAUAAUUCAAAACACAAAUUUAUAUGAAAUACUUGAGGUUCUUGUAAUCCAUAUAUACAAUGAGCAAAUUAGAAGCACCCUCUAGAUGAUGAUGCCAUCUUUGGAAAGAAUCUAUAAUAGCAAAUAGCUCUUUGUUAUGGAUCUUAUAAAUAAUCUUGGUUGCUAAAAAUUUCCUAGAAUGAAAAGGUAUUAGGUGAAGUUUAACAUCUAUUUUUAUUUGUAAUUAUACGACACCCAAAGCAAAAUCUGCUCCUUCUAUUUCUAUAAAAAUGCCUUAGAGAAGUCAACGUGAUACAAAACUCAUGCAGAAACAAAGGUUGUCUUUAAAACUUCAAAUGCUACUUCUACAUUUUGAUUCCUUUGAAAUUUUUCCUUAUAAGUCAAACGUGUAAUUAGAGUUCUAAUUUGAAAGAAGUCUUUGAUGAAGAUCUCACAGUAAUUGACAAAUUUCAAAAAAUAUUAUACAUCUCAGAUCAUUUUUGGGAUCUUCCAAUCCAUAAUUGUUUAAACUAUCUUAAGAUCCAUCAUAAAUUUGUCGUUUGAAAUGAUGUAAUCUAAAAAGUCAACUUAAGUAGUAUAGAAGAUACACUUUUUUAUCUUGGCAUAGAGUCUUACAUCUCUUAAUUUUUGUAAGACAUGGCAAAUAUGAAGUUCAUAUUCUUCUAUAUUCUUAGAAUACAUCAAGAUGUUGGUUAGAUAAUAAAAAACAAAAUUGUCCAAAAACUCUCAAAAAACAUUAUUCAUAAGAUGUUGAAAAGCUACUGGUGCAUUUAGAAGUCCAAAAGACAUGACAUUAUAUUCAAAAUUUUUGGACCUAGUUUGAAAUGUAAUCUUUCAUUUAUCUCCUUCUUUCAUGCAUAUUAGAUUGUAUGCUCUUCAUAGAUCCAUUUUUUUUAUAGAUCUUAGCUUGAUUCAAUUGAUCAAAAAAAUCUAGAUAUUAAAGGUAAUAGAUACCUUUUCUUGUUGGUGAUCUUGUUGAGUCCUUAUUAAUCAACACACUUCCACAAUGAUCCAUCUUUUUUCUUCACAAAUAGAAUUGGGGCUUCUACUAAAAAUUUCAAAUGACAUAUGAAGUUCUUGGCUAGAUUUUUUUCAAUAUACUCCUUGAAUUUGGUCAACUUAUUUUGUAAUAAAUUGUAAAUUGGUCCAAAUGGCAGUUGUACUUCUUCUUGAAAGUUAAUUGAACAGUCAUAGGGACAAUAUUUUAGAAGAGUAUCUGUAUUUUUUUUCAAAUACAUCUUUAAAAUCUUGAUAUUGGCUUGGAAUAUGACUUGAAGUCUAUGCACCAUUAGAAAUGGAUGUGACAUAAAUGACAUAAGGUGAUCUUUCUUUUGCAGUAUGUAAGAAAACUCUUUCAUCUAUAAACAUAGGUUUAAUUGUACUAGACUUGUGAUUUCCUACUUGAUUAACUACACUCUUAGUUAUAUUUUUAGAAAAAUUAAGAGUACAAAAAAUCCAAUCUACUCGAGGAUUGUAUUUUUUUAACCACAAUAAAUCUAAAAUGAUUGAAUUAGAAGUAGAUCUAAUGAUAUUAAAUAUUACAAAACUAUUAUGACUAUUAAAUAUUACUUCUAUGGAAAAGGUUAGUGAGUAACAUCUCAAGAAGACAAAUGGCAACCAUCUAUGAUUUCUACGUGAACAGGUUUAAUUUUCCUUAUUAAAAAUAUGUUAAGUCUUUUGGCUAAUUCUUCAUCUAAGAAACACGCUGAGGCUCCUAAAUCUAACAAGGCAAAGACUUUGUAAUGUAUAGGUCCUAAAAUAAUAUUUGAUGUAAAAUAAAGAGAGGAUUUUGAGGAGAGAAUAUAAUCUUUAUUAGGUAUUGUAUAAGUUUCUAGCGACACGGUCUCUAUUGUAGUUGCAUAAAUUUGUUUUGUGAUAUAUUAUCUUCUUUGAUAUUUACAUUCUUCAUUUUAUAAUUCCUUCGAUUCUUUGAAUAAUGUUGAUCAAUGUGCUUAGGUUCUCAAUAAUAUAAGAACAAUCCUUCUUGACAACAAUUGUUUUUCUUGCUUAGUAAGAGGUUUGAAAUAUACUAUAUCAAUUUACAUAUCCUCUACUUUUGAAUGUAGUAUCACAGACAUAUCCAUGUAAGCUAGUAAUUACAUAUAUAAAUAGGUAAAAGUAAGUUAAUUCUAUAGUAUUUAAUAUGGAAGCUUCCUAAAAGCUUCAUAGACGCUGCUUUGACUUCAUAGGUGUCUUUAAUUGACUUUUUGGAUUAAAAAUGUGGUCAACAAGUAAGCCAUGUACCACACAUGUUAUUAGCUUGAAGAUCAAGCUAACUAUAUCGCCUACACAUAGAAAAACUUGCCUUGUAAGUCAAGGCAUGUGCCCUAUAAGUCAACACAUAUUAGAGGUCAUAUAGAACGUCGCCAUGUAGUCCCUAGUUAGAUAUUAUAUAUAGAGACAAGAGUGAAGCCUUCUUUACUCUUGUCAACCUUUUUCUUGCUUCUAGUGUAGUUUCAAGGGUCUCUAGUUUUCUUGUCUUUUGGCAAUAGCCAUUCCAAUUUCUCUUUCAAUAUACAUACUUGUUUAAUUAUAUUUUCUUACUUUUCUUUGAGUGAAGGCUCACUUAUCUGAAUUACUUUUUCAUCGAGUUUUUGUCCUUGAUAGAUUGAAAAGAGUACACCUACAAUAUCUGAGCUUUAUCUAAUCUUGAUUAAGAGUAGAUUACCCCUUUUUCUUGAUAAGAUAUAAGCAUAUUAGAAGUUACAAAUUAUCCUCUUCUAAACUGAUAUUGUCUUUAGUAUUUUCUUUGUUCUCAAGUCUUUUCUUCUAUUUGUCUUGAGCGAUAUUAGACAUCUUCUUUUCUCUAAGUAUUAUCAUGGCAGAACUCGUUGAAAUAAAGAGUGCAAUGGUACAAAUGCAAGAACAAUUGAAGAAGUUAAUGCUUGCGAUGCAUCAACUUAAUUUACCACCAUAAGGAGCAACAAGAUUAGCAGGAAGUGAAGAUAUAGAAAUGGUUGGAGCUGCUUUAACAUCUACACCAAACCAUGUUCUUUCUCCUAUAGUGAAACGUCCUUUCAGUAUUAGAGAAUCAAGAAUUAUCCUACCUGAGAAGUUUGAUGGCACCAGAUCCAAGUUUUGAGGAUUUAUCAAUCAAGUGUAACUUGUGAUUGAACUUCAACUCCAAAGCUAACCAAUUCGAGAAUCACAAGUUAGAUUCAUUGGUAUGUUUCUUUUAAGUUUAGCACUAUCGUGGUUUUCAUAUUUUCUUGAAUGACGAGAUCUAAUAUUAGAUAAUCUAAAGGCUUUUCAGGUGAAGUUUCGAUCCAUGUAUGGAAAACAUGAUACAAUUCGUGUUGCAAUCAAUAAGAUCCAUAUUUUACGACAAGACAACUGAUUAGUAACGUUGUACGCUUCAUAAUUUGAUAACUUGCAAUAGAUAUGAAGUGGAAUGAUAUUGCACUUAUUAGCCAAUUUUUCUACGGAUUACAAUAUGAGGUAAAAAAAUUAAUGCUCAACUUACCUGAUCCUCAAGCAUUGAGUCAAGCAAUUGACUUUGCAGUGAAGUGUAAUAAUUGCCUUUUUGAAUUUCGAUCUGAGAACUGUAUAAGUGAAUCUCAACGUUACUAUAAUUCAAUGGCAACACCAACACUUCUUCAACACAUACAUUCGAAAGUAGAUGAUAUACAAAUUGAUGCAGUACAUUUCAAACCUUUUACUGAGCAAGAAAAGACUCGUCAUCGUCAAGAAGGAUUAUGUUUAUAUUGUGGAGAACCAAAGCACACUACUCAAUAUUAUCCAAAAAAAUGACGCAAUCAAAAAAUGAGGAGUAUGGCUGUGAAAGAAGACAAUAUGUCGAAAAAUGAGUUUGUCUAGUUACAAUAGGGACCGUGCGGCUGGAACCUUAUACAACAUCUAAUAAAGGUCCUAUUCUCUCUUCAAAGCCUUCUCCUUAUUUUACAUUAAAUAUUAUUUUAGGACCUAAACAUUACAAAGCCUCAGCCUUAUUAGAUUCAGGAGCCUCAACGUGUUUCUUAGAUGAAGAAUUUAUUAAAAGAUAUAACAUAUCUUUAGUAAACAAAACUAAACAUGUUCAUGUAGAAGUCAUAGAUAGUCAUCUAUUGUCUUCUGGAGAUAUUACUCACGAAACCCUUCCUAUAGAAGUAAUAAUCAAUGGUCAUAAUAGCUUUGUAGUAUUUAAUAUCAUAAGAUCUCCCUCUAAUCGAGUCAUUUUAGGUUUAUGGUGGUUAAAAAAAUACAACUUUUAAAUAGAUUAGAUUUCUUGAACUCUUACUUUCUCUAAAAGUAUAACUAACAAAGUAGUUAAUCAAGUAGAGAGUCAUAAGUCCAGUUCAAUUAAAUCCGUAUUUAUAGGUGCAAAAGCUUUCUUACAUGCUGCUAUGAAAGAAUCACCAUAUAUUAUUUAUGCCACACCUGUUUUUACUAGUGAAAAGACUUCAAGUGGCAUUCCAUGCCAAUAUCAAGAAUUUCAAGAUGUAAUUGAAAAAAAGAAUGCUUAUACACUCUCGAAACAUCAUCCCUAUGAUUGCUCAAUUGACCUUUAAAAAACAGCACAACCGCCAUUUGGACCAAUCUACAAUUUAUCAUAAAAUGAGUUGACUAAAAUCAAUGAGUAUAUUGAAGAAAAUCUAGCCAAGAAUUCUAUACGCCAUUCUAAAUCUCCGAUAGGAGCUCCAAUUUUAUUUGUAAAGAAAAAAGAUGGAUCAUUGCGGAUGUGUAUUGAUUAUCGAGGACUCAACAAGAUUACUAUCAAGAAUAGGUAUCCACUACCUUUAAUAUCUGGACUCCUUGAUCAGCUGAAACAAGCUAAGAUCUACACAAAAAUAGAUCUCCGGGGAGCAUACAAUCUAGUACGCAUCAAAAUAGGAGAUGAAUGGAAGACUACGUUUUGAACUAGGUAUGGAUAUUUUGAAUACAAUGUCAUGUCUUUUAGACUUACAAAUGCACCAGCAGCUUUUCAACAUCUAAUGAAUGCUAUUUUUUGAGAUUUUUUGGAAGAUUUUGUAGUCUGUUAUCUAGAUGACAUCUUGAUCUAUUGUAAGAAUCCAGAAGAAUAUGAAUUUCAUGUUUGUCAUGUAUUACAAAAAUUAAGAGAUGUAGGACUCUAUGUGAAGAUAAAAAAGUGUGUAUUUCACACUACUCAAGUCGAUUUCUUAGGUUACAUCAUUUCAAAUAAUGGACUUAUGAUGGAUCCUAAGAAAGUUCAAACUAUUAUAGAUUUGAAGAUCCCAAAAACGGUAAGAGAUGUCCAAUACUUUUUGGAAUUUGCCAACUACUAUCAAAUCUUCAUCAAAGACUUCUCUCGAAUUGCAGCUCCACUUCCACGUUUGACUUGUAAAAACAAACUACAAUGGAAUCAAGAAGCGAAAGUUGCUCUUGAAUCUUUAAAGACAACGUUUAUUUUUGCUCCAAUCUUGUAUCCUGUUGAUUUUUCCAAAGCAUUCUUUAUGGAAACAGACGCAUCAGACUUUGCUCUGGAUGCAGUUUUAUCAUAAAUGGGAACAGAUGACAAACUUCAUCCAGUAGCCUUUCAUUCAAGAAAAUUCUCAACAGUAAAAAUCAAUUAUAAGAUUUAUGACAAAGAACUUCUUGCAAUUGUGGAUUCUUUUCAAGAAUGGCAUCAUUAUCUAGAAGGCGCUUCCAAUCCAGUCACUGUGUAUAUGGAUCACAAGAACCUCGAGUAUUUUAUAUCAACACCAGUAUUAAAUCAUCGUCAAGCUCGUUGGACCAUGUCUUUAUGAAGAUUCGAGUUCAUCAUCACUUAUAGGCCAGAAAAACAACAAGGUUUGUGUGAUGCCUUGUCUAGACGUUUAUAUCUUGCACCAAAAGAAGGAGAUGCAGCUUUAGAGUAACAAAGAACUGUUCUCUUGAAGCCGAAGUAAUUUCAUCUUUGAGUAAUAAAAUCAAUAUUGACUGUUGAUUGAACUUUUCUUAAGCAAGUCCAGUUAAAUAUGUCUUUAGAUCCUCUUGUUUAUGAUAUCAAGAAUAAUUCUUUUAAAUCCUAUGAUCGUUCUAAAUUCGAAUUCAAGAACAACCUACUUUAUUUCGAAGGAUGCUUGUAUGUUUAAGAAGGAGAAGCACAUUUACGUAUUCUUCAAGCUCGUCACGACUUCCUAAGAAUAGGAUAUUUUGGAUAUAAUAAGACUUUGGAGCUGAUAUCUAGGGAUUUUUGAUGGCCUCAAAUGUAAAAGGCAGUGAAAGAUUUUGUACAAUCAUGUGAUAUUUGCUCAAGAUCAAAAACUCCUCGUCAUCGACCUUUUGGACUUCUUUGGCCAUUACCCAUUCCAAAACAACCAUGGUCUUCUGUUUCUAUGGACUUCAUCACGGAUCUUCCAAUCUCAGGUUCUUAUGACUCUAUAUUCGUGAUAAUAGCUUAUUUUACCAAGAUGGCAUAUUUUUUACCAUGUACAAAAUCUAUCAUAGGUGAAGAAAUAGCUAAGCUUUUUCUUGACAAUAUCUAUCGCUAUUAUGGAUUAUCAAAGGAUAUUAUAUCAUAUAGGAGAACUCAAUUUGUAUCAAGAUUUUGGCGGACUCUUUUUAAGAUUCUAAAAGUGGAUAUAAAACUAUCUUCGGCAUUCCAUCCUCAAACUGAUGGACAAAUGGAGCGUGUUAAUCAAGUUUUGGAGUAAUAUUUAAGAUGUAUCAUUAACUACCAACAAGAUGAUUGGACAACUCUUUUGCCAUUGGCAAAGUUUGCUUAUAAUAAUACAGUACAUUCUUCUAUAAAAUAAACACCUUUCUUUACUAAUUAUGGUUAUCAUCCACGACUUGAUACUUUUGACUUUUUAAAAGUUGAUAAUUCAGCUGCGAAUGAUUUGGUGAUUCAUUUAUCAGAACUACAUGCAAUGAUGAAGGCACAGUUAAAAGAGGCUCAAGAACAACAAAAGGUCAAUGCGGAUGUCUAUCGAAAGGAACAACCAUCAUUCAUCUUGGGUGAUAAGGUAUGGCUACUUUGUCGCAAUAUCAAGACCACUCGUCUUUGUGACAAGUUGGACUAUCAAAGGCUUGGACCAUUUUCUAUUUCUGUACAAAUCAAUCCAGUUGCAUAUCGUUUACAUCUACCGGAGUCAAUAAAAAUCCAUCUAGUAUUCCAUAUGUUUCUUCUUGAACCAUAUAAGACAAUGUAUAUACCAAGAAGAAGACAAGCUCCACCUCCUCCUAUAGAAGUGGACAAUAAUGAAGAGUUUGAAGUAGAAGAAGUCUUAGAUUCAAGGCGACACCAAAAUAAAUUGGAAUAUCUUGUCCAUUAGCAUGGAUAUGAUAUUAGUGAACACACCUGGAAGCUAAUAAAGAAUCUUGCAAAUGUAGCAAAGGCAGUGGAGGCUUUUCAUCGACGACAUCUAUCAAAAUCAAGAUAAAAAUCUUCUUUAUAAAAGAAACAACAUAUAGGCAAGAUAACAUUCUACUUUCAAUCCUUGUUUAUAGCUUCUUUGUAGUUGUGACGCUCAUGAGAUGGAAAAACAACAACGAGUAGAUUUGGCUUAAGAGCCUUUAUUUAUUGACCUGUCAGAUGAAAAAUUAUGAUUGUUACAACCUUCAAGACGAUGCAAUCGAAAUGAAGAUCUUCAAGAAUGACAUGUUCUUCUUCGAAUAGAUGGCGAGAUACAAUGUGUUUGAUAUCACGACUUGGAAAGGGACUCUCGAUGAUUGGUGAUUUUACUAGAGGUAGGAACAACUCCCGAUGGUGUUUCAAAUGUUUUAUUCGAAGGAAGUUAUGAAGGCUUCAAUAAUGAUCAAAUAACUGGGUGGUCUUCCUACCCUGCUAUAGGACACUACCGAUGGUUGAGAGGCCCUAUCAAUCAUCUUCGAAGAGAACAAAGAUCACAGUAUGUGGAGAAUACAAUUCGUCGCAUCAUAGACUUCUUCAAUAUAUGAUGACCACUCCUCGUGGAACUUGUCCCUAGAAGGGGGGGAUAAUGUCAUGGACAUACUCAUGUAAGCUAGUAAUUAUAUAUACAAAUAGGUAAAAGUAAGUUAAUUCUAUAGUAUUUAAUAUAAAAGCUUCUGUCAAGGACAAGAACUCGAUGAAAAAACAAUUCAAACAAGUGAGCAUUCACUCAAAGAAAGAUAAAAAAAUAUAUAUAUAAACAAGUAUAUAUAUUGAAAGAGAAAGUAGAAUGGCUAUUGCCAAAAGACAAGAAAACUAGAGACCCUUAAAACAGACUAGAAGCAAGAAAGGAGUUGACAACAGUGAAGAAGCCUUCACUGUUGUCUCUAUAUAUACUCUCUAACUAGGGGCUACAUGGCGGCGUUCUAUAGGACCUCCAAUAUGUGUUGACUUUGUAGGGCACAUGCCUUGACUUACAAGGCAAGUUUUUCUACGUGUGGGCCACAUAGUUAGCUUGAUCUUCAAGCUAACAACAUGUGUGGCACAUGGCCAACUUGUUGACUACGUUUUUAAUCCGAAAAGUCAAUUAAAGACACCUAUGAAGUCAAAGCAGCGUCUAAGAAAUUUCUAGGAAGCUUUUAUAUUAAAUAUUAUAGAAUUAACUUAUUUUUACAUACUUUUACUUACUUCUACCUAUUUCUAUAUGUAAUUAUUAACUUACAUGAUUAUAGCCAUGACAUUACCCCCCCCCCUUCUAGGGACAAGUUCCAUGAGGAGCGGUUAUCAUAUGUUGAGGAAAUCUAUGAUGCGACAAAUUGUAUUCUCCACAUACUCUGAUCUCUGUUCUCUUCGAAGAUGAUUGAUAGGGCCUCUCAACCAUCAGUAGUGUCCCAUACCAAGACAGGAAGACCACCCAGUUAUUUGAUCAUUGUUGAGGCCUUCGUAACUUCCUUCAAAUAGAAUAUUUGGAACACCAUCAGGAGUUGUUUCUACCUCUAGCAAAAUCACCAAACAUCGGGAGUCCCUUCCCAAAUCGUGAUACCAAACGUGUUGUAUCUCACCAUCUAUUUGAGGAAGAAUAUGUCGUUCUUGAAGAUCUUCAUCUCGAUUGCGUCGUCUUGAAGGUUGUGACAAUCGUAAUGUCUCGUCCGGCAGGUCAGCAAAUAAAGCCUCUUGAAUUAAAUCCGCUCGUUGUUGGUUCUCCAUCUCCUGAGCGCCACUACUACAACGAAGCUACGAACAAGAAUUGAAAGUAGAAUGUUAUCUUGCUUAGAUGUUGUUUCUUUUAUAAAGAAGGUUUUCAUCUUGAUUUUGAUGGAUGUCGUCGAUGAAAAGCCUCCACUGCCUUUGUUGCAUUUGCAAGAUUCUUCAUUGGCUCUGAUGUGUGUUCACUAAUAUCAUAUCCGCACCAAUGGACAAGAUAUUCUAUUUUAUUUCGACGUCGCCUUGAAUCUAAGACUUCUUCUACUUCAAACUCUUCAUUAAUGUCCACUUCUAUAGGAGGAGGUGGAGCUUAUCAUCUUCUUGGUAUGUCUACUAUCUUGUAUGGUUCAAGAAGAGACACAUGGAAUACUGGAUGGAUUUUCAUUACCUUCGAUAGAUGUAAACGAUAUGCAACUGGAUUGAUUUGUACAAAAAUAGAAAUUGGUCCCAGCCUUCGAUAGUCCAAUUUGUCGCAAGGACGAGUGGUCUUGAUAUUACGACGAAGUAGCCAUACCUUAUCACCCACGUUGAGUUGUGGUUGCUCCUUACGAUAUACAUCUGCAUUUAUCUUUUGUCGUUCUUGAGCUUCCUUCAAUUGCGCCUUCAUUAUUGCAUGUAACUCUGACAACCGAUUUGCAAUAUCUUUUGCUGCAGGAUUAUCAACUUUUAAAAAAUCAAAAGCAUCAAGUCAUGGAUGAUAGCCAUAAUUGGCAAAAAAAGGUGUUUGUUGCGUGGAGGAAUGUACCGUAUUAUUAUAAGCAAACUCUGCCAAUGGCAGAAGGGUUGUCCAAUCAUCUUGUUGGUAGUUGAUGGUAUACCUUAAAUACUGCUCCAAGACUUGGUUUACGUGCUCUGUUUGUCCAUCAGUUUGAGGAUGGAAAGCCGAAGAUAGCUUUAUGUCUACUUUUAAAAUCUUGAAAAGGAUCCUCCAAAAUCUCGACACAAAUUGAGUUCUCCUAUCCGAUAUGAUAUCUUUACGUAAUCCAUGAUAGCGAUAGAUAUUAUCAAUGAAAAGCUUAGCUGUUUCUUCACCUAUGAUAGAUUUUGUACAUGGCACAAAAUGUGCCAUCUUGGUGAAACGAUCUACUAUCACAAAUAUAAAAUCAUAAGAUCUUGAGUUUGGAAGAUCUGUGAUGAAAUCCAUAGAAACAAAAGACCAUGGUUGUUCUGGUAUAGGUAAUGGCUGAAGAAGUCCGUAAGGUCGAUGAUGAGGAGUUUUUGAUCUUGAAUCAAUAUUACAUGAUUGUACAAAGUCUUUGACUGACUUCCACAUUUGUGGCCACCAAAAAUCUCUUGAUAUGAGUUCCAAAGUCUUAUUAUAUCCAAAGUGUCCUGCUACUGGAAAAUCAUGACGUACUUGAAGAACACGUAAACGUGCUUCUCCUUUUGGAACAUAUAGGCAUCUCUUACUGUCCUUAGAAUCUUCCAAUCCAUAAUUGUUUGGACUUUCUUAGAAUCCAUCAUGAGACCAUCAUUUGAAAUAAUGUAUCCUAAAAAGUCAACUUGAGUAGUGUGAAAUACACACUUUUCCAUCUUGGCGUACAAUCCUGCAUCUCUAAGUUUUUGUAAUACUUGACGAACAUGUAUUUCAUGUUCUUCGAUGUUGUUAGAAUAGAUCAAGAUAUCGUCUAGAUAGCAGACGACAAAAUUGUCUAAGAAUUCACAAAAUACAUCAUUCAUGAGAUGUUGAAAAGCAGCUGGUGCAUUCGUGAGUCCAAAGGGCAUGACAUUAUAUUCGAAAUGUCCAUACCUAGUUCGAAACGCAGUCUUCCAUUCAUCUCCUUCUUUGAUCUGUACUCGAUUAUAUGCUCCUCUUAGAUCUAUUUUUGUAUAGAUCUUAGCUUGAUUCAACUGGUCAAGGAGUCCUGAUAUCAAAGGUAAUGGAUACCUGUUCUUGAUUGUGAUCUUGUUGAGUCCUCAAUAAUCAACACACAUUCGUAAAGAUCCAUCUUUUUUCUUUACGAAUAGAAUUGGAACUCUUGCUGGAGAUUUUGAAUGGCGUAUGAAAUUCUUCGCUAAAUUCUCGUCAAUAUAUGUCUUGAGUUCAGCCAUCUCAUCUUGCGAUAAACUGUAAAUUGGUCCAAAUGGUGGCUGAGUUCCUUCCUUGAGGUCGAUUGAACAAUCAUAUGGGCGAUGCUCAGGAAGAAUAUCUGCAUUCUUUUUCUCAAAAACGUCUUGAUACUCCUGAUAUUGACUUGGAAUGUCACUUGAAGUCUCUACGCUUUCAGAAAUAGGUGCAACAUAAAUAGUAAAAGUUGAUCCUUCUUUUGCUGCGUGUAUAAAUGCUUUUGCACCUAUAAGUACGGGUUUUACUAUAUUAGAUUUAUAACUUUUUACUUGGUUGGUAGAACUAUUAAUAAUGCUUUGAAAAAAGUCAAGUUUACGAGAAUUUCAAUCUAUUCGAGGGUUAUAUUUUUCUAGCCAGGAUAAACCUAAAAUAACUGGAUUGGACGGGGAUUUAAUUAUGUUAAAAGCUAUGUAGCUAACAUGACCGUUUAUUUAUACUUUUAUAGGACGAGUUUCAUGAGUGACAUCUCCAGAAGACAAAGGACGGCCAUCAAUGACUUCUACAUGUACGGGUUUAGUUUUCUGUACAAAAGGUAUUUUAUGACUUUUAACAAAUUGUUCAUCUAAAAAACAUGCUAAGGCUCCCAAAUCUAAUAAAGCAAAGGCUUUGUAAUUCUUAGGUCCUAAAUAUAAUUCUAUUAUAAAACAAGAAGAGGGUUCUGAGGAGAGGAUAGGACCUUCAUUAGGAAUUGUACAAGGUUCCAGCUGCACGGUCCCUAUUGUAGCUGGACGAAUCCGUUUUCUGACAUGUUGUCUUCUUUGACCGCCGUACCCCUCAUUUUAUAGUUACGUUGUUUCUUUGGACAAUGUUGAGCAGUGUGCUUAGGUUCUCCGCAAUAUAAACAUAAUCCUUCUUGAUGACGACGAAUCUUUUCUUGCUCAAUUAGGAAUUUAAAAUGUACCAUGUCAAUUUGCAUGUCUUCUACUUCCGAAUGUACAUUUGGCAAAGAUGCUGAUGUUGCCAUUGAGUAAUAACGUUGAAGUUCCCGUGUACGACUCUCGAAUCGAAAUUCAAAAAGUCGAUUGUCACAUUUUACCGCAAAAUCGAUUGCUUGACUCAAAGUUUGAGGAUCAGAUAAGUUGAGCAUCAAUUUCUUUACUUCGUAUUAUAAUCCAUAAAGAAAUUGAUUGAUGAGUGCAGCAUCAUCCCACUUGAUGUCAAUUGCAAGUUGUCAAAAUUGUGAAGCAUACAUUGUUACUGAGUGGUUUCCUUGUCGCAGAAUUUGGAUCUUGUUUGUUGCGACACGAGUUGCAUCAUAUUCACCAUACAUAGAUCGAAACUCUACCAAAAAAGCUUCUAAAUUACCUAAUAUUGGAUUUCGUUGUUCAAGAAAAGACGAAAACCAGGAUAAUACAGAACUAGAAAGUAGAGUGCCAAUAAACCUGACUUGUGAUCCUAGAAUUGGAUAGCUUUGCGAUUGAAGUUCAAUUGCCAAUUGUAUUUGAUUGAUGAACCCUCGAAACUUUGAUCUUGUACCAUCAAAUUUCUCGGAUAAAGCAAUUCUUGGUUCUCUAGUACUUACAGGGUGUUGUACAAUUGGAGAAGGAAUGUGAUUUGGUACAGAUGUUGAAGCAGCUCCAAUUAUCUCUAUAUCUCCACUUUCUGCUAUUCUUGUUCUUUCCUGUGUUGGUGAAUUGAGUUGAUGCAUCGCAAGCAUUAACUCCCUCAAUUGUUCUUGCAUUUGUGCCAUUGCACUCUUCAUUUCAACAAGCUCUGCCAUAAUGUUACUAAGAAGAAAAAUUUGUCUGAUAUUGCUCAAGACAAAAGAAAAAGAAAAGACUUGAUAACAAUGAAGAUACUAAGAACAAUAUUAGUUUAGAAGUGGGUAAUCGGCAAACUUCUAAUACGCUUAUGUCUUGUCAAGAGAAAGGGGUAAUCCACUCUUACUCAAGAAAAACAAAGCUCUGAUAUUGUAAGUGCACUCUUGUCAAUCUGUCAAGGACAAGAACUCGAUGAAAAAACAAUUCAAACAAGUGAGCAUUCACUCAAAGAGAGGUAACAAAAUAUAUAUAAACAAGUAUAUAUAUUGAAAGAGAAACUGGAAUGACUAUUGCCAAAAGACAAGAAAACUAGAGACCCUUGAAACAGACUAGAAGCAAGAAAGGAGUUGACAAGAGUGAAGAAGCCUUCACUCUUGUCUCUAUAUAUACUAUCUAACUAGGGGCUACAUGGCGACGUUCUAUAGGACCUCCAAUAUGUGUUGACUUUGUAGGGCACAUGCCUUGACUUACAAGACAAGUUUUUCUACGUGUGGACCACAUAGUUAGCUUGAUCUUCAAGCUAACAACAUGUGUCGCACAUGGCCAACUUGUUGACCACGUUUUUAAUUCGAAAAGUCAAUUAAAGACACCUAUGAAGUCAAAGCAACGUCUAGGAAAUUUCUAGGAAGAUUUUAUAUUAAAUAUUAUAGAAUUAACUUAUUUUUACCUACUUUUACUUACUUCUACCUAUUUCUACAUGUAAUUAUUAACUUACAUGAUUAUGGCCGUGACAACUUCCUAGAAGCUUCAUAGACACUGCUUUGACUUCAUAGGUGUCUUUAAUUGAUUUUUGGGAUUAGAAACGUGGUCAAUAAGUUGGCCAUGUGCCACACAUGUUAUUAGCUUGAAAAUCA